UAAGUAGCGGCAAGUGAAGGGGGAAGAGCCUGGCCCCAUGCAAUCCCUUGCAUUAUGCGGUCCAUGUGUCUCGGAAGAUGUAGCCGUUUUCAAAGGGUGUCUAGCACUAUAGGGUGCGCGUAAAACUUAGAUGAAUAUUCUCGCGUCGGAACUUUGGGCUCGUAACCCUGUGAAAGAAAACUGUUGUCGUGUGUUGAUGUCAGUGUGAAGUCCAUAUUCUAGAGUGUCGUGGAUGUGUUGGCCCCCGCCUACGGGCUGUUUAUGAAACCUAUACUUGGUUGGUUGGUCCUCUAGUGACUUUGUUUUGCUGUUUCUUCUGUUUGUUUUUCUCUAUAAGCAAGUCUUGUUGUUAGUUGUUGUACCCAGAGUGUAGCCAAUCACCAUAUUUGGGCAUAUUAAACAUGUUGUUUCGGUCUGAAAUUUCAGCAUGGCCUUCUUAUAAGAGUACGACGGCACUUCCACGAGCAGUAGCCGGAGGAGGGGAAAAACAGAGGGGAUGGUCUGUGAGGUCACAUCCAGGGAUCACAAAGCUGUCGGUUCGCGAGACGACGUGAAGAGCAUCUCUGGGCUUGGGUAUGUUUGCAUUGGUAUGAAAAGUCUGGGCUAAUUAAGUCGCCAAUUACAGCUCCAACGAUGAUCGCUGGAACAUCAUACUACUCCUAGUCCACAUAGUUAUUUAGACUACCCUGAAUCACCAACUGGGCAAGAGAACAUGUGGCCAUCUUCGUCUUUGUCCUGUAGUGGCUGAUCUCACCUGUUGCAAACCAUGUUCUGAUGUGAAACUUCGGGUCUUUGAUGGUAGUAGAAACUGGUGUUAUUCAUCACCAUGGCUAGCCGAUGCUCGUACGGCCUCCCUUCCAUGACUGCUAUCGCUUCUCAUGCUGGCUCGCCAACUAGGGUAUGGUUGGUUGAUGAAAGAAAAACUCUACCACACACCAAAUUUAGAUCCCGCUUUCUUAUAUAUGUGCAAAUUUUUUGGUACAACCAUGCUCCACAUCCAACUCUAUCUUAUCUUUCCAGAGUGGAGGAAGGGGACACUUUGCGGGACUUUCAGUAGAAAAUUUUCCAUACAGAUAGAAGCACCUAUUAAAAAGAUACUCCAAAGGCUUCCGGAUCAUAGUCUCAUUAGCUGAAGAACACACAUGCUAAUCUAUAUUAAGUGCAUUCAAAUCAUGCCUUUAUUAACUAGUCCAAGGCCUCAUCAGCCACAACAUCAUAAAUACAAAGAGGAAAAACAUGAAACCAAGUUUUACACAAAUCAUUGGGGCAACCUUCCCUUGCCAUGAUGGAAUUAGCCCUAUUAGUUGUUCUUCUAUUCCACUUCACCCGAUGCUCUUCUAAAGCAGAUAACAAGUCCAUUAUGUCUUCACAGAGAGGCCCCANNNNNNNNNNNNNNNNNNNNNNNNNNNNNNNNNNNNNNNNNNNNNNNNNNNNNNNNNNNNNNNNNNNNNNNNNNNNNNNNNNNNNNNNNNNNNNNNNNNNNNNNNNNNNNNNNNNNNNNNNNNNNNNNNNNNNNNNNNNNNNNNNNNNNNNNNNNNNNNNNNNNNNNNNNNNNNNNNNNNNNNNNNNNNNNNNNNNNNNNNNNNNNNNNNNNNNNNNNNNNNNNNNNNNNNNNNNNNNNNNNNNNNNNNNNNNNNNNNNNNNNNNNNNNNNNNNNCCACACCCUGAUUGUCAUUAAUGAAUACAAUUGUUUGGUCAAAUAUGUUAUUUGAGAGUAGUUCAUGAUGGCCUUUCUAGUUGGAGAGAAUAAUUCUUUCCUUGAUGAUUUCUCUUACAAAGAUCAAGCAUAUAUAUCGAGGGAGAGAGAACCCACUCCCCUGGAACGUAGGCAUGCAGGCCAUGAGAACUAGGAGAUCCUAACAAGGGUGCAUAGACGUCCUGCACAAACGGUUCUCCGUGUUAUGGCAGGUUACAUUCUCAUGUUUUUUUACUUUACAGUGCUUACAAGUUGAGAUUUGAAAAAAUCUAGCCUAGAACAUAAGUCAUCAAAACUCAUGGCAUUUUGAAACUUUAGUCAUAAAAAGAUAUCAAAUAUCAGACACAAAAAGGGACUGCUAGACAAAAACGCAAAAAGAAUGAAAAUAAAGAAGUGGCACAAUAGUUACCGAGCGUUGAUAUGUCUCCAACGUAUCUAUAUUUUUUAUUGUUCCAUAAUAUUAUAGCCCGACAGCCCCAUCCUCUACUCCAUCGAUGCGUCCACUGGGCGAGAUCGGUGGUGUGCCAUCUGAGGGAGUCCCGGAUUAGGGGGUGUCCGGAUGACCUGACUAUGACCUUUGGCCGGACUCCUGGGCUAUGAAGAUACAAGAUUGAAGACUUCGUCCCGUGUCCGGAUGGGACUUUCCUUGGCGUGGUACGUAAGCUUGGCGCAGAUAUGUAGAUCUCCUCCCAUUGUAACCGACUCUGUGUAACCCUAGCCCUCUCCAGUGUCUAUAUAAACUGGAGGGUUUUAGUCCGUAGGACGAACAACAAUCAUACCAUAGGCUAGCUUCUAGGGUUUAGCCUCUCUGAUCUCGUGGUAGAUCUACUCUCGUACUACCCAUAUCAUCAAUAUUAAUCAAGCAGGAGUAGGGUUUUACCUCCAUCGAGAGGGCCCGAACCUGGGUAAAAACAUCAUGUCCCUUGUCUUCGUUACCAUCUGCCUAGACGCACAGUUCGGGACCCCCUACCCGAGAUCCGCCGGUUUUGACACCGACAUUGGUGCUUUCAUUGAGAGUUCCUCUGUGUCGUCAUCUUUAGGCCCGAUGGCUCCUCCGAUAAUCAACAACGAAGCGGUCCAGGGUGAGACUUUUCUCCCCGGACAGAUCUUCAUAUUCGGCGGCUUUGUGCUGCGGGUCAAUUCGCUUGGCCAUUUGGAGCAGAUCGAAAGCUAUGCCCCUGGCCAUCAGGUCAGAUUUGGAAGUUUGAACUACACGGCCGACAUCCGCGAAGACUUGAUCUUCGACGGAUUCAAGCCACAGCCGGGCGCGCCGCACUGUCACGAUGGGCAUGAUCUAACUCUGCCACCGAACAGUGUCCAGGAGGCCGCCCCAGCGUCCGCUCCGACCCUUAGCUCGAAGCCGACUACGCCAAUCGAGGACGGGUGGCUGGACACCGCCUCGGGGGCUGCAAUCCCUACGGCGAUCGAGCCGAAUACCAGCCUUGUCCUUGACGAAGCUCGUGACUCCCAGGUGCCGGACUCCUUUCCAGACUCCAAACCUUCCACGCCCCUGCCGAUCGAACCCGAUUGGGCGCCGAUCAUGGAGUUUGCUGCCGCUGACAUCUUUCAGCACUCGCCCUUCGGCGACAUUCUGAAUUCACUAAAGUCUCUCUCUUUAUCAGGAGAGCCCUGGCCGGACUAUGGUCAGCGAGGUUGGGAUGCGGACGACAAAGAAAUUCAAAUUCCACCCACCACCUACUUCGUAGCCACUGUCGAUGAUUUAACCGACAUGCUCGACUUCGACUCCGAAGACAUCGACGGUAUGGACGCCGAUGCAGGAGACGACGAAGAACCAGCGCCUAUAGAGCACUAGAAGGCCACCUCGUCAUAUGACAUAUACAUGGUGGACACCCCCAAAGAAGGGAAUGGCGAUGGAACAACGGAGGUUGACCCCUCCAAGAAGCAGCCUAAGCGCCGGCAUCAGCGGCGCCGCUCUAAAUCCCGCCAAAGCAAAAACGAUGAUUCCGGCACGGGAGAUAAUAUCACCCUGGACAGUGCCGAAGACAACCCCCUCCAGCAGGAUUCAGCACAGGAGGAUGGAGAAGCCAGCCCUCAUGAGAGAGCGGCAGACAGAGAGGUAGAGGACGAUAAUCACAUGCCUCCCUCCGAAGACAAGGCAAGCCUCGACGACGACGAAUUUAUCGUGCCUGAGGAUCCCGUCGAACAAGAGCGUUUCAAACGCAGGCUUAUGGCCACGGCGAGCAGCCUCAAGAAAAAACAGCAGCAGCUUAGAGCUGACCAAGACUUGCUAGCCGACAGAUGGACUGAAGUCCUUGCAGCCGAAGAGUACGAACUCAAACGCCCCUCCAAGAGCUACCCAAAGCGUAGGCUGCUAUACCAAUUAGAGGAGGAAGCACCUAAACCUACAUCACCAGCGCACGACGCGGCAGACCGGCCACCUCGUGGCCGCGACAGAGAGGCCUCUCGGCCAUCCACUCAAGCCGCACCCCGGCGUCGCUCAAAAAAUACCAAGGCACGGGGAAAGGUGCCAGACCUGCGAGAUAUAUUGGAGGACAAGGCAAGGCAAACAAGAUCGAUCUCCGGAUCGCGUGGGCGCCCCACGACACGUAACGAUAACCGUCAUGCCGGAUAUGGCAAAUACGGCCAGGCCAAACACAGCAGACAAAGCUCAUUUGAGCUACGACGUGAUAUAGCCCAGUACAGAGGCGCCGCACACCCACUAUGCUUCACAGAUGAAGUAAUGGAUCAUCAAAUCCCCUAGGGUUUUAAACCCGUAAACAUUGAAUCAUACGAUGGCACAACAGAUCCUGCGGUAUGGAUCGAGGACUAUCUCCUUCAUAUCCACAUGGCCCGCGGUGAUGACCUACACGCUAUCAAAUACCUCCCACUCAAGCUUAAAGGACCAGCUCGGCAUUGGCUCAAUAGCUUGCCAACAGAGUCAAUUGGUUGCUGGGAGGACCUGGAAGCCGCAUUCCUCGACAAUUUCCAGGGCACCUAUGUGCGACCACCAGACGCCGAUGACCUAAGCCACAUCAUUCAGCAGCCAGAGGAAUCGGCCAGACAAUUCUGGACAUGGUUCUUAACCAAGAAAAAUCAAAUAGUCGACUGUCCAGACGCAGAGGCCCUCGCAACCUUCAAACAUAACAUCCGUGACGAAUGGCUUGCCCGGCACCUAGGACAGGAAAAGCCGAAAUCCAUGGCAACCCUCACAACACUCAUGACCCGCUUUUGCGCGGGAGAAGACAACUGGCUAGCUCAUAGUAAUAACAUGACCAAGAGCCCUGGUAAUUCGGAUACCAAGGACAACAAUGACAGGUCGCGUCGCAACAAAUACAAGCGCCGCAUUAAUGGCGACAAUACUGAGGAUACGACAGUCAAUGCCGGAUUCCGAGGCUCCAAACCCGGUCAGCGGAAAAAGCCAUUCAAAAGAAGUACUCCGGGCCCGUCCAAUUUGGACCGAAUACUCGAUCGCUUGUGCCAGAUACACGGCACCCCUGAAAAACCAGCCAAUCACACCAACAGGGAUUGUUGGGUGUUCAAGGAGGGAGGCAAGUUAAGCGCCGAAAACAGAGACAAGGGGCUGCAUAGCGAUGACGAGGAGGAGCCCCGACCGCCGAACAAUAGGGGACAGAAGGGCUUUCCCCCACAAGUGCGGACGGUGAACAUGAUAUACGCAACCCAUAUCCCCAAAAGGGAACGGAAGCGUGCACUCAGGGACGUAUAUGCGUUGGAGCCAGUCGCCCCAAAGUUCAACCCAUGGUCCUCCUGCCCGAUCACUUUUGAUCGAAGGGACCACCCCACUAGCAUCCGCCACGGCGGAUUCACCACGUUGGUUCUAGACCCAAUCAUUGACGGAUUUCACCUCACUAGAGUCCUUAUGGACGGCGGCAACAGCCUGAACCUGCUUUAUCAGGAUACAAUGCGAGAAAUGAGCAUAGAUCCCUCAAGGAUUAAACCCACAAAGACGACCUUUAAAGGCGUCAUACCAGGUAUAGACGCCCACUGUACAGGCUCAGUUACCCUCGAAGUGGUCUUCGGAUCCCCGGAUAAUUUCCGAAGCGAGGAGUUAAUCUUCGACAUAGUCCCGUUCCGCAACGGCUAUCACGCGCUGCUCGGACGAACCGCAUUUCCAAAGUUCAAUGCGGUGCCGCACUACACAUAGCUCAAGCUCAAGAUGCCAGGCCCUCGAGGAGUCAUUACGAUUAAUGGAAACACCGAACGCUCUCUCCGAACAGAGGAGCAUACGGCGGCCCUCGCGGCGGAAGUACAAAGUAGCCUCUCAAGGCAAUUCUCCAGUCCAGCUAUUAAACGUCCAGACACCGUCAAGCGCGCCCGGAGUAACCUACAACAAGACCGCCUGGCACGUUCCGAGCAAGUGUAGCAGUGCGGCCCCAACCCCAGCCCUCGCGAAAUUGCGAAACCAGUACCACGCGUACAUAAUUACGCUCUAGAAAUAUCAUGGGCAUAGGGGGAGGGGCACAACCAUGGCACGCCCAAAAUGCGGCUUAACCGCACUAGGGGCUCCCGAUUUUGUCAUUUCUUUUUUCUUACUUUGAGGACUCCAUUCUCCGGAAGGCCUGUCCGGCAGUACAAUCGCCGAACACACGAUGCAACAGCCAGGGAGGCAGCAAGCUACGUCAAAUAUCCAGGUGGUCUCUAUAACGAGCUAAAUACCUGUCUUACAUAAAGUCUCACAGCUUUCCCUUGGAGGGGGACAUGUCAAAUAAUCCCAUCUCUUGCUUAUCGCACUAUUUGUAUCGUUCUGCUUUCACAGCAGCCUUUUAACAAACAAUGCAUAGCUCUUGUCUAUUAUUGCAUUCAUUUUUUAUGUAAAUAUGUUCAGUCAUGACAUUAUGCAACCGUACACUUUGGUACGGCCAACACACCAGGGGCUUAAGUACUCCAGAAUAUGGUGUGAGAAGUCCGAACACUCUCACGAGUGCGGCACCCCGAACUUAUAGCAUUAUAUGCAUCGGCUCCGAAUCAUGUCUUGGGUCAAUAGUUGGGUUUGCUCGGCUCCCAUGUUUUGGUACCUUACGUUCCGUUAUAUCGGCUAAGGUAGCGCUGGGAGAACUACUGCGAUUGUGCCCCAGUUGAGCUGGGUUAAGCACCUCAGUAGAGAAAGCUAAAACUGACCGUCAUGAUAGGGCGAGAGCCGGUCGCUGUUCGAGAGGUUUCGAGUCCCUAAAGACUUAUGCCGCUUAGAGCGAGGAGCUGGCUUUGUCUGGCCUAGGCGUGGAUAGCGCCCCGAACUCGGUCUUCCGAAUACUAGGGGCUUCGCCGAAAUUUAAAAUUAUAGAAUUCUAUGGCUAAGUGAGAGUGAUAAAGCAUUAUAGUCCGAUUGCCUUGUUCGUUGUGCUGAGCGCCUCCCUCGAAGCACCCAAUAAUGGGAACAAGAGCGCUCAGGUUUAUCCCGAACACCCCAGCACUCGUGGCAUGGGGGUAGAAGCCGACGACUCGCCAUCUCUCAGAUUUGAUAAAUGGCCGCACAGAAGGUAAUAUUGUAAAUUCAAAAAGCAUUGCUUAGCGCAUAUGAACAAGUCUUCAGCGCACAGGAUAACACGAGCGAGUUUACUCAAAUAUUACAUAUUUGGAACAUUCAUUCGCCACAAGGAGGGCACCCUUCAGGACACCCUCAUAAUACAUCUCGGGCUGCGAUGCUCCUUCCCCUCCGAUGGCCCAUCUGUCACCAGCUUCUCAGCAUCCAGCUUGCCCCAGUGUACUUUAGCACAGGCAAGGGCCCUACGGGCGCCUUCGAUGCAUACGGAGCGCUUGAUGACUUCAAGCCGUGGAAAGGUAUCCACCAGCCGCCUCACCAGCCCAAAGUAGCUCCCGGGCAUGACCCCCCAGGUCAUAGCCGGACUAUUAGGCCCUUCAUGGCCUGUUCGGCUACCUUAUGGAGCUCGACCAACUACUUCAGCUGGUCGCUCAAGGGCACCGGGUGUCCGGCCUCAACAUACUGGGACCAGAACACCUUGUCCGUCGAGCUCCUUUCCUCGGCUCGGUAGAAUGCGGCAGCAUCGGACACACUGCGGGGCAGAUCUGCGAAUGCUCCUGGAGAGCUCCGGACUUGGGUAAGUAACAAGUAAUUCACUUUCACGUGCUUGCUUUGCAUAAAGAAUGCCUUACUCGCCGCUAUCUUCUUCGUCGCCUCAAUUUCCUGGAGGGCUUUUUGGGCUUCGGGCUUGGCAGAUUUGGCGCUUUCAAGAGCCGAGGCAAGCUCGGACUCUCGAGUCUUUGAGUCAAGCUCCAAACUCUCGUGUUUUUCACAAGAGCGUGGAGCUCUUGCCGCAGCUCCUCCACUCGCGCUCCUCCUUUUCUUGCUCGAUGCGCUCCACGGCCGCAUUGUCUUCGGCCUUGGACAGCGCUUCCUUCAGGGUCGCCACCUCGGUUGUGGCCCCUAUAACACUCACGUUGGUCCUGUCACUAUUUGCAACCAGGUAUUUUUAUAUACUUACAUAAGGUACUACUUACCUUCCUUGUCCUCGAGCUGCUUCUUGGCAAGGCCGAGCUCGUUCUCGGACCGCUCGAGGCUCUUCUUCAAUGCAUCGACCUCCGCAGUCAGUGCGGCAGAGGUCAGCAGCACAACCUGCAUUCCCAUCUUGACAUAUUUAUGUUAGACUCCUGCGUAUAUCUUUUUAGAUCCUCAGUCCGGAUUUUCUUUCCGAACACCAAACUGAGCAUCAGAGGCUACUAUCUAUGCGGUAAUAUUUUUACAUGUCUUAAAUACAUACCUCAAAACCUGUUAGAAGGCUGGCACAGGCUUCUGUCAGCCCGCUCUUGGCGGAUUGAACCUUCUGGAUCACCGCACUCAUAAUAGUGAGGUGCUCCUCGUCGAUGGAGGCACCGUUAAGCACCUCCAGCAAAUUGUCCGGUGCCUCCGGUUGGACGGAGGACACCGGCGUCGUAGGCUUGCCCUUCUUACGAGGGGGCCGCCUGCCGGACUCCGGAACCACUGAGGGUUCCGGUGCGGUGUCCGGCCCAUGGCCGGACUUAGAUCCCUCUGGGGUUUCAUCCCCUUUGCGCCUGGAGCCCGGGAGGUCGCCUUGCGGCGCCUCCAGGACCACCUCCUCCUGGCUUAGCCCCUUUUGGGACUUCACCUCGGCAUCGUCCGCGGGGCAAGGGGAGGUAGCAGUCAGGAGUGAAAGACUAUUCACAUCUGACGAAUCCAGGGAGCCGCUCGACGAAGCGUCGAGCCGGGCCUUGGGCGGACUACAUGAUUAUAUUUGGUGUCAGAAGAUACUGUGCAAUAAAGGAACGCCAUGAGUUAUUCUGGUACCCGGAUACUUACGAUUUUGCCAGGGGCUUGGCCCUGGACGGCCACUCCUCUCCGCCGUCGUCGGCGCUGGUGGAGUAGUCCGGAAGAAGGGUCUUUCCCUUCUUGGACCCUCCGGCCUCCCCAGUUGGGGCGGCCUUCCUUUUCUUUCCUCCCCCCGUUGGAGGGGGAGAGGCUUCUUCUUCCUCCUUCUCAUUUUCGGGGGAGGAGUGCGUUUCGGGGUCGUCAGGCGAUGAAUCUGACACCACCAGGCGCCAGGAACUCUUUCGAGUUCCCGUGGCCUUCUUCUUGGCCUUCUUCUUCGGCACCAUGUGAGGUGUCGGGACCAGAAGCUUUGCCAAGCGUGCAUCUACUGGGCCUUCGGGCAAAGGAGCCGGACAGUCAAUCUGUCUGGACGUCUUCUUCCAGUCCUGUCAAAGGAGCGGGAGCUUAGAUCCCGCGUAGAGUCAAACUAUGAAAAACAAGUAUCCUGUAAAGGGUAAAACAAGCUUACUGCGCUGGCUUGGCGCUUCGCGCAGAAUCCGCGAUCCUCGGUAAUGGGAGGGGAAACCUCGGAGCCCUUGAAUAGCACCUUCCAGGCAUCUUCGUGCAUUGUGUCAAAGAGCCUGGACAAAGUUUGAUGCUGGGCCGGGUCGAACUCCCACAAGUUAAAAGCCCGUCGUUGACACGGGAGGAUCCGGCGGAAGAGCAUGACCUGGACUACGUUGACAAGUUUAACCUUCUUGUCCACCAGGUUUUGGACCCAGGUUUGGAGUCCGGUCACCUCUUCCGGAUUACCCCACGACAGGCCCAUCCCUUUUCAGGAGGUGAGCCGUGUGGGGAUGCCAGAUUGGAAUUCGGGGGCCGCUGCCCAUUCAGGGUCACGCGGCUCGGUUAUGUAGAACCACCCCGAUUGCCACCCUUUGAUGGUUUCCACAAAGGAGCCCUCGAGCCAUGUGACGUUGGGCAUCUUGCCCACCAUGGCGCCUCCGCACUCCGCUUGCCGGCCGCCCACAACUUUCGGCUUGACAUUGAAGGUCUUCAGCCAUAAGCCGAAGUGGGGCUUGAUGCGGAGGAAGACCUCGCACACGACGAUAAACGCCGAGAUGUUAAGGAUGAAUUUCAGGGCCAGAUCGUGGAAAUCCAGGCCGUAGUAGAACAUGAGCCCCCGAACAAAUGGGUGGAGUGGGAAACCCAGUCCGCGGAGCAAAUGGGGGAGGAACACCACCCUCUCAUGGGGCCUGGGGGUGGGGAUGAGCUGCCCCUCGUCUGGAAGCCGGUGCGCAAUGUUGUUGGACAAGUAUCCAGCCUUCCUCAACUUUUUGAUGUGCCCCUCCGUGACGGAGGAGGCGAUCCACCUGCCUCCCGCUCCGGACAUGGCUGGAGAAGGUCGAGGUGGGAAGUGCGGACAUGGGCGCUGGAGCUCGAGUGCGCGGAAAUGGAUAAGCGAAGGAGGAAGAGGGCGUGGAUGGAAAAGGUGGAUCCUUAUCCCCUUAUAUGAGCGGACGAAACUGUGUGCCCCCACCAGCCUGGUAAAACUCGCUUAUCUCCCAAGUGCCCUGAUUAAUGGCACGGUUGGGUUACCCAUGCCCGUAUUGAUGAGAAUCCCGGAAUAAGAGGACAUGAUCUCUGCUUUGACAAGACGUGCCAAGGAAAUCGCCUCGCUGAACGCGCUGAGGUGGGACAGUAAAACGAUUCGAAUGAAGGCUUGGCCGUGGGAUGAUGUCAUGCUACGGAAUACGUCAGCAGAUUAGAUUUGUACAAACAUUAUUCUCUCUACGGUGGUAUGUGGAACUUAUUUUGCAGAACCGACACUAUCCUUGUGUUCAAAAUCUUCUAUGAAGUAUUCGGAGGAGGAACCCGCCUUGCAAUGCUGAAGACAAUUUGCGCACCGGACUCGUUGUCAUCGAAGCCUGGUUCAGGGGCUACUGAGGGAGUCCCGGAUUAGGGGGUGUCCGGAUGACCGAACUAUAACCUUUCUCCGGACUCCUGGGCUAUGAAGAUACAAGAUUGAAGACUUCGUCCCGUGUUCGGAUGGGACUUUCCUUGGUGUGGAAGGCAAGCUUGGCGAUACGGAUAUGUAGAUCUCCUCCCAUUGUAACCGACUCUGUGUAACCCUAGCCCUCUCCGGUGUCUAUAUAAACCGGAGGGUUUUAGUCCAUAGGACGAACAACAAUCAUACCAUAGGCUAGCUUCUAGGGUUUAGCCUCUCUGAUCUCGUGGUAGAUCUACUCUUGUACUACCCAUAUCAUCAAUAUUAAUCAAGCAGGAGUAGGGUUUUACCUCCAUCGAGAGGGCCCGAACCUGGGUAAAAACAUCGUGUCCCUUGUCUGCUGUUACCAUCCGCCUACAUGCACAGUUCGGGACCCCUACAAGAGAUCCGCAGGUUUUGACACCGACACCAUCCUCACAUUAGGGGGUUCAACCCCCCAUCUCAACUGCGAUUCCUGGAUCAUCAUGGACACCUCCUCUCCACUCCAUCUCCCACAUGAUGGCCCCUCUAGCACUAGAUACUUAAUGAGUGAUGGUGGUUCACAUUUUAUUCAUGGUGCUUUUCGUAAAAUGCUUGCUAAGUAUGAUGUUAAUCAUAAAAUUGCAUCUCCAUACCAUCCACAGUCUAGCGGUCAAGUAGAAUUGAGUAAUAGAGAGAUUAAAUUGAUCUUGCAAAAGACUGUUAAUAGAUCUAGAAAGAAUAUGUCCAAGAAACUUGAUGAUGCAUUAUAGGCCUAUAGAACUGCAUAUAAAAAUCCUAUGGGCAUGUCUCCGUAUAAAAUGGUUUAUGGAAAGGCAUGUCACUUACCUCUCAAACUAGAACAUAUGGCAUAUUGGGCAAUUAAAGAGCUCAAUUAUGAUUUCAAACUUGCUGGUGAGAAGAGGCUUUUUGACAUUAUCUCACUUGAUGAAUGGGGAACCCAUGCCUAUGAGAAUGCCAAACUAUUUAAAGAAAAAGUUAAAAGGUGGCAUGACAAAAGGAUACAAAAGCGGGAGCUUAAUGUAGGUGAUUAUGUUUUGCUAUACAACUCCCGUUUAAGAUUUUUUGCAGGAAAACUUCUCUCUAAAUGGGAAGGUCCUUACGUUAUCGAGGAGGUCUAUCGUUCCGGUGCUAUCAAAAUCAACAACACUGAAGGCACAAAUCCGAAGGUGGUGAACGGUCAAAGAAUCAAACAUCAUAUCUCAGGUAAUCCCAUAAAUGUUGAAACCAAUGUUACUGACACUGUAACCCCGGAGGACUACAUAAGGGACACUUCCCAAAAUGUUUUAGACUCCAAAAGGAAUAGGUAUGUGGUACGGUAAGUAAACUGACUCCAAAACAGUUAUAAUAGCAAAUUUUCUCUGUUUUGGAAUAUUUAAAAAAUUAGGAAAAUAAGAAGUAGUCCGAAGGAGACACGAGGCAUCCACGAGGGUGGAGGGCAUGCCCUACCCCCUGGGCGCGCCCCCUGCCUCGUGGACACCUCGUGUGCCCUCCGGAUUCCGUUUUCUUGCACGAUACUUCUUUUUGUCGGUAAAAAUUCAUUAUAUAAUCUCCCAAAGGUUUUGACCAUCGAACCAUGACAAAAUCAUCUGCUUUUGUUCUGAGCGGUUUUUCUGACAGAUCUAGAUCACCAUGGCGUCUUCAAGCGCCCCCAAGGACAAGUUUUCAAGUGCCAAGGGAUGGUGGAACACGGACUCAACGCCAACCACAUGAUGGUCGCGGAGUUCACCAACAACCACAAGUUGGAUGCCAAGAACAUUGGGGAGACCAUCUUCAAGCUUCAUGAGAAAAUCGAGCACCUCCAAGCCUAGAUCUAUGACUUGCAAAACCAAAACUGUGAGUAUGAAUAUAGAUUCAAGAGGAUGAGUUUGGCUGCAGAUUUGAGGAUCCCGGAGACUCGAUCAUCCUUCUAUGAUGGUGAGCCUAUGCCCUGGAAGAUGGACCACAAGCCUACAUCAUCAACAACUCCAUCAUCACCCCCCCAAGAAAGGGACAUAAACACAUGGGUAUGGGCACUCCCCUUGGCAACUACCAAGCUUGGGGGAGCUGCCCCGGUAUCGUAUCACCAUCACAUUUCUAUCUUUACUGUUUUUCUUAGUUCGAUCCUUUUGGUUAUAUCUUGAUCUAGUAGAAUAAAGUUUUAGUUCGAUCUAGCUUUGAUUUUUGUGUUGAUACCUAUCUAUGUAAUCGAGUCCGUGAGCUAUAUAUAAUAAAGAUUAGUUUUGAGUUGAGGGCUUUGCUAUCUUGCUAUGAUAUUGAGGGAAUAAAAGAAAAAGAAAGAAUAAAAAUAAAUAAAAAGAUCAUAUUGACCUUUUGGAGAGUAAUGACUUUACACAUAAAGAGUAUGAUGAAUAAAAGUUGUUGACAGUUGACAAACAUAGUUUUGGUCAUCGUGGCAAUUAAUAGGAAGUAAUAAACAAAGAGAGGUUUUCACAUAUAAAUAUACUAUCUUGGACAUCUUUUAUGAUUGUGAGCACUCAUUAAAAUAUGACAUGCUAAAAAAUUGAUGUUGGACAAGGAAGACAACAUAAUGAGUUAUGUUUGCUUAUAUCCUAAAUAAAUUAUAUUGUCAUGGAUCAUCCAACAUGUUGAACUUGCCUUUCCCCCUCAUGUUAGCCAAAUUCUUUGCACCAAGUAGAGAUACUACUUGUGCUUACAAACAUCCCUAAACCCAGUUUUGUCAUGAGAGUCCACCAUACCUACCUAUGGAUUGAGUAAGAUCCUUCAAGUAAGUUGUCACCGGUGCAAGCAAUAAAAAUUUCUCUCUAAAUAUGUAUGAUCUAUUAGUGUGGAGAAAAUAAGCUUUAUACGAGCUUGUGAUACGGAAGAAAUAAAAGCGACAGACUGCAUAAUAAAGGUCCAUAUCACAAGUGGCAACAUAAAGUGACGUUCUUUUGCAUUAAGAUUUUGUGCAUCCAACCAUAAAAGCGCAUGACAACCUCUGCUUCCCUCUGCGAAGGGCCUAUCUUUUAUUUUUACCUUCUACCGUUAUACAAGAAUCUUGGUGAUCUUCACCUUUCCUUUUUAUACUUUAUCCUUUGGCAAGCUCUGUGUGUUGGAAAGAUCCUGAUAUAUAUAUAUCCAAUUGGAUGUGGGUUUUCAUAAAGUAUUAUUGUUGAUAUUACCCUCGAGGUAAAAGGUUGGGAGGCGAAAGUAUAAGCCCCUACCUUUCUCUCUGUCCGAUUGAAACUUCAUAUUCAUAAGUAUCGCGUGAGUUUUAGCAAUUGUGAAAGAUUAAAUGAUAAUUGAGUAUUUGGACUUGCUGAAAACCUCUUAUAUUGACUCUUUCCGAUGUUAAGAUAAAAUUGCAAUUGCUUCAAUGACUGAGAUUAUAGUUUGCUAGUUUGCAAUGAAGUUUCUGAUUCAUACUUUACAUUGUGAAUAGAUUGUUACUUUAGCAUAAGAAAUCAUAUGAAAAUAUAUAUGUUGCUGUUCUAAGAAUGAUCAUGAUGCCCUCAUGUCCGUAUUUUAUUUUAUCGUCACCUCUAUCUCUAAACAUGUGGACAUAUUUUUCGAUAUCGGCAUCCGCUUGAGGACAAGCGAGGUCUAAGCUUGGGGGAGUUGAUACGUCCAUUUUGCAUCAUGCUUUUAUAUCAAUAUUUAUUGCAUUAUGGGCUGUUACUACACAUUAUGUCACAAUACUUAUGCCUUGUCUUUCUUAUUUUACGAGGUUUACAUGAAGAGGGAGAAUGUCGGCAGCUAGAAUUCUGGGCUGGAAAAGGAGCAAAUAUUAGAGGCCUAUUCUGCACAACUCGAAAAGUCCUGAAACUCCACGAAAGUCAGUUUUGGAAUAUAUUAAAAUAUUGGGCGAAGAAAGCACCAGAGGGGGGCCACCCACCGUCCACGAGGGUGGAAGGCGCGCCCUACCCCCUGGUUGCGCCCCCUGCCUCAUGGGCCACCUGGCAGGCCCCCGAUCCCCAUCUUCUCCUAUAUGGUGUCUUUUUCCCUGGAAAAAAAAUCAUAAGGUAGAUUUUGGGACGAAGCGCCGCCGUCUCGAGGCGGAACCUUGGUGGAACCAAUCUAGGGCUCUGGUGGAGCUGUUCUGCCGGGGAAACAUCCCUGCGGGAGGGGGAAAUCAUCACCAUCGUCAUCACCAUGGAUCCUCUCAUCGAGAGGGGCCAAUCUCCAUCAACAUCAUCACCAACACCAUUUCCUCUCAAACCCUAGUUCAUCUCUUGUAUCCGAUCUUUGUCUCAAAACCUCAGUUGGUACGUGUGGGUUGCUAGUAGUGUUGAUUACUCCUUGUAGUUGAUGCUAGUUGGUUUAUUUGGUGGAAAAAACAUAUGUUCAGAUCCUUUAUGCAUAUUAAUACCCCUAUGAUUAUGAACAUGAAUAUGAUUUGUGAGUAGUUAUGUUUGUUCCUGAGGACAUGGGAGAAGUCUUGUUAUAAGUAGUCAUGUGAAUUUUGUAUUCUUUGAUAUUUUGAUGAGACGUAUGUUGUCUCUCCUCUAGUGGUGUUAUGUGAACUCGACUACAUGAUAGUUCACCAUUGUUUGGGCCUAGGGGAAGGCAUUUGGAAGUAAUAAGUAGAUGAUGGGUUGCUAGAGUGAUAGAAGCUUAAACCCUAGUUUAUGCGUUGCUUCGUAAGGGGCUGAUUUGGAUCCAUAUGUUUCAUGCUAUGGUUAGGUUUACCUUAAUUCUUCUUUCAUAGUUGCGGAUGCUUGCGAGAGGGGUUAAUCAUAAGUGGGAUGCUUGUCAAAGGAAGGGCAGUACCCAAGCACCGGUCCAACCACAUAUCAAAUUAUCAAAGUAACGAACGUGAAUCAUAUGAGCAUGAUGAAAACUAGCUUGACGAUGAUUCCCAUGUGUCCUCGGGAGCGCUUUGCUUUAUAUAAGAGUUUGUCCAGGCUUGUACUUUGCUACAAAAAGGAUUGGGCCACCUUGUUGCACCUUGUUACUUUUGUUACUUGUUACCCGUUACGAACUAUCGUAUCACAAAACUAUCUGUUACCAAUAAUUUCAGUGCUUGCAGAGAAUACCUUACUGAAAACUGCCUGCCAUUUCCUUCUAUUCCUCAUUGGGUUCGACACUCUUACUUAUUGAAAGGACUACGAUAGAUCCCCUAUAGUUGUGGGUCAUCAAAUAGUACAUAACAUAACUUGAGCUUUAGAUUUGGCUCAUUAUCACACUGAUGUCAAAUUUGUCAUUUUUGUAUCUUAAAAAUGUUAUAAACUUUAAUACAAAAUUUUUGUGACAUCAUACAUUGAUGUGCGUUAAUGUGCUAGAUUUUUUUUGCCUUUUUAAAAUGUUCUAUAGCAUCCGGUGCACCGGUAGCACCAUUACUGCGGGUGCAUAGGAUACAUCCCCGCGAGCGAUCCGUGGAUGGCUUGGUGCGGACGGGCGCGUGCGGUUGCCGAUCCAUAUAUUCCUGAACUCGGAUCUAGACACAAGAUCCUCCGUUGCAUGCCACAUCCAUGGCUCUAGUGAGCCAGAUCCGCACAUGUGAUAUGUCUCCAACAUAUUUACUUUUUGUUUUGGCCUCUAAUCUAUAUGAUUUGAAUGAAACUAACCCAAACUAACGUUGUUUUAAGUAGAACUACCUUGAUGUUAUUUUUUGUGUAGAAAUAAAAAUCUCAUAAUUGGACGAAACUUCAUAGAGAUUUUUUAUGGAAUAAAUAAAAAAUACCGGAGCCAUCGGCAUCCGUACCAAGAAAAUAAGAGAGAAAGUAAUUUGGGAGCUGCCACCAUCUCUUGUCUUCAUUGGGAGCCCUGAUCUGGAGUCCAUUCCUAGCUCCGGAGAGAGGGAUUCGUCGUGGUUGUAAUCACCAACUCUUCUCCAUCAAUAAUUUCCUGAUUCUCACCACCAAGAGUGUGUAAUCCCUUGCAGGCAUACUAGAGGUAGAGUAAGAUGAAUGAGAUUUCCUAUGUAAUCAUGUCAAUUUGUUAGGGCUUGAUCCCUAGUAUGCACUAUGUUCUGAGAUUGAAGUUGUUAUGACUUUCUUAUACUUAAUGCUUGUCAUUAGGGCCCAAGUGUCAUAAUUUCAGAUCUGAACACUUAUGCUUCUAUGAAUAUAUUUGACAUGCUGAUCUUACCUGCAAGUUGUAUACACCUGUUAUCAUUCCAAACCUUAGACUUCCAAGUUGACCAUUGAAAGUGCUANNNNNNNNNNNNNNNNNNNNNNNNNNNNNNNNNNNNNNNNNNNNNNNNNNNNNNNNNNNNNNNNNNNNNNNNNNNNNNNNNNNNNNNNNNNNNNNNNNNNNNNNNNNNNNNNNNNNNNNNNNNNNNNNNNNNNNNNNNNNNNNNNNNNNNNNNNNNNNNNNNNNNNNNNNNNNNNNNNNNNNNNNNNNNNNNNNNNNNNNNNNNNNNNNNNNNNNNNNNNNNNNNNNNNNNNNNNNNNNNNNNNNNNNNNNNNNNNNNNNNNNNNNNNNNNNNNNNNNNNNNNNNNNNNNNNNNNNNNNNNNNNNNNNNGAAUAGGAAAUUUUUAUAAAAGUCUUCAAAACAUGCAAUGUCUUCGAAAACGCAGAAGAAAAACAAUCACUAAACAGGAUACAUCGGAAUAUAAACCACACUAGACAUGUCGGUAUGUCAACAAAAAUUGACGUAAGAUGCGAAGAUAGAAAACAACUAGGUAGUUCAGAACAAUGAGAAGAUAGUGUGAAGACAAAUAUGUAAUCAGAGGAAAUGUCUUCAUACAAUGUCUUCGAAUAGUAUGAGCACGCAAAGGCUUCACGAAACUAAACAGAAAGUAAAGGAGUGAAGUGAUAGAACUAGUUGCUCAUAGAAGACAUGUGAUUUGUUUGACCAAUUCCAGCUGUUGUGACAACUAUAUGUUUGGUUAAGGAGGCUGAGAUUGAAAUCUGAAGACUUAGUCUUCACCUUAUUCCCCGUAAGCUAAUAUCCGCAAAUCUCACCCAAUCACUCGGGGAAGUCUUCUAGGUAAACUUCCAAACCUUCACAGACUUCGUUCACUAGCAAUCCACAAUGACUCUUGGAUGCUCAGAAUUCGACACCUAACCGGUUGGAAGAUCACAGUCUUCAAGUGUAACAAGUCUUUGGUUCACGCAGAACAGAAAGGCUUCAGUGAUGCUCAAUCACUUUGGGCUCUGGGUGUUUUGGGUUUGUCCUCGCAAGGAAUUUCUCUCAAGGCUUAAGAGGUGGGUUGCUCUCAAACGAUAACAACCAUGUAAUAACUCGAAACAACCACCAACUUAUGCUAGAGGUGGUGGGCUAUUUAUAGCCAGGAGGCAACCCGACAUGAUAUGACCAAAAUGACCCUGGGUCAAUGGGCAACCGACAUGUGUCCAACAACCGUAUUUCAAACACACGCGAUAGCUUUACUUGAGCUCCAACUAAAGCUAACUCAACAAACGUUGGAAAAGGUGUUCUCUCACUGUCUUCACUGGAAGACAUCAAGUCAGUUUCUAACUUUGUUUACCUCGACCCCAUUUAACAAUACGGUGGUUCCUAUGGCUCAAGAAAGGCGAAAAUGAAACUAUCAAAAGACUGUCUUCGUGCUCCAUUGUAUUCAAGCGAAAGUCCUCACGUCCCAUUGUCUUCAAAUAAAUAUCUUCCCGUACCACCAUUAUCUUUAAUGUCUUCAUACAUGUUUAGGAGUCAUAUUUGAUUGGUAAGCCAAAUCUCUAGGGACUUCUAUCUGUGUUCUCCUGUGAAUCUCAUAAAUAGAUUAGUCCCUCAACCAAAUUUGUCGUCAAUACUCCAUAACCAAUGAUAUGUCCAUUUUGCAUCAUGUUUUUAUAUUGAUAUUUAUUGCAUUAUGUGCGGUUAUUAAAUAUUUACGUACAAUACUUAUGUCUUUUCUCUCUUAUUUUACAAGGUUUACACAAAGAGGGAGAAUGCCGACAGCUGGAAUUCUGGCCCGGAAAGGAGCAAAUCUAAGAGACCUAUUCUGCAUAACUCCAAAAAUCCUCAAAAUUUAAAGAGAAUUAUUUUGGAAUAUAAAAAAAAUAUUGGGCGAAGAAAAUACCAGAGGGGACCCACGAAGUGGCCACAAGAUGAGGGCGUGCCCUACCCCCUGGGCGCGCCUCCCUGGCUUCAGGGCCCCUUGGCAAGCCUUUGGUGCCCCUCUUCUACUAUAUGAUGUCUUUUGACCUGGAAAAAAUAAAUCAGAAGAGAGCUUUCAGGAUGAAGUGCCGCCGUCUCGAGGCGAAACUUGGGCAGAACCAAUCUAAGAUUCAGGUGGCUUCAGAUUGCAAGGUGGCGUUGCAGAUAUACAUUAGAAGAGCGCAAAUACCUAUAGAGCAAUCAUAACUGAGAUCAUAGAUCGGAAGGCUACUUUUACUAAUUGUACAUUAGCCAUGAAUUUAGGAGCUUGAAUGUUGAAGCUCACAAACUCGUGAAGCAUGCUUUAUCCCUAGGGGUUGACCGCCAUGUUUGGUUAGGUAACCCCAUAGCUGAAGUUGUCUCGCCUUGCUUCAAAUCUACUGGGCGUGCGCUGCGAUUUUGACCUAACGGCCUCCAUUUGCUGGAAUUAAUUGGAAUAGUUGAGAAGAAAGUGACAAACGAAUGCGUAAUGCGUGGGAAUCUGCCGAAUAGUUCAGGUCGAAUCCCGAAGAAAGUUCAAAGCGCUGUUUGAUGAGCCUACGUAGUAUUAGUUCGUUGGUCAGGUAAAGGUUGGCCAGCCAAUGAUGCUUAGCUGGUCUUUUUGAAUGUUUAGCCACACUGGGACUGAGACAUAGCCCAGACUCCCAUGGGGGGCAGCAGAGGGGAAUCUUGGACAAUGGGUGAAAGCCCGAUCUAGCAAUAUCGCGCGAGUGAAGAAGGUCAAUGCUCCUUUUAAAGCUCUUAUGUUGAGUGCGCGAUCAUGACAUAUCUCGAGGAAGAAGCCCCGGNNNNNNNNNNNNNNNNNNNNNNNNNNNNNNNNNNNNNNNNNNNNNNNNNNNNNNNNNNNNNNNNNNNNNNNNNNNNNNNNNNNNNNNNNNNNNNNNNNNNNNNNNNNNNNNNNNNNNNNNNNNNNNNNNNNNNNNNNNNNNNNNNNNNNNNNNNNNNNNNNNNNNNNNNNNNNNNNNNNNNNNNNNNNNNNNNNNNNNNNNUAUGUGCGCGAUCAUGACAUAUCUCGAGGAAGAAGCCCUGGCUCACUCCGUGCCAGCAGCCGCGCUAAGUUGGGGGGGGGGGGUAAGUACUCUUUGGAAUGACUGGGUGUAAAGGGCAUGUAGGCGGCGGGUUGAAAAUGAAACUGUGAAAGUAAUAAAAAGUGGCGGAAUGCUCUCGAAACCAAUUCACUUAAGUGAGACAGAGGAGAGUGGGUGAUUUUCUAUUCGUCCCUAUAAACACUACUCAUCAAUCCGUGUAGGUGCACGGGCUAGAUAUACCAUCAUAGAAUCUUGUAAAUAUACUUUGUAAGCCUAUAACUGGAAACAUAAAACAUGGAACAUGCUUUUCAGUUUUUAUUUUAUAGUGGUGUUUAGUCUUCAAAUUUCAGGCAAAAUUAAAAGUGGACACGUAUAAAUUCUCAAGUUCAUUGAUCAAGCGCAUGCAGUUGUUAUGGUAUACAAAAUCGAACAUGUUGAAGACUCACAUGCAUAUUUGUAGGAAAAACUAAAAAAAAUGUAAUUAUUUCUUACAUCAUUACAUUCAAACCCACACAAAGAAAAUAGUCAAAUAAACAUCAUUUUUCUUUAAACAGAAGGAUCCAACUGACGCCAUAAAAUGUAUCUUUUCCUUAUAUUGGCCAAUUAUUGCUCAUAGCUGUGCAUGUGCUGUGUAAAUAAGAUUUAGAUAUGGUACAUAGAACUUUUGUUAGAUUUAGAUCAUAGCUUCAGUGUGAAUGUUGCUGCAAUGGCACAGAAGUAUGAUCGGUUUGGCAUCAUCUGCUUUGCGAUGAUCCACUCCCGUGCACAGGCUCUAUCCUACGGAUCGUCCUAUCGGACAGCUAGCAGUAUAUGUCAUGCCAAAAGCUUCUUGACCAACAUAUGUGCUAGUAAAUCUAAUUACUCUAAAUUAUGAAAAUAUAGUUAUUCUGAAUUAUGAAAAUAAUUACCCUAAACUAUAUAUGUACCUUAGAUCGUAGAGGCCACCAUCGAACAGAACUAUAUAGGGAGUAGUUGUGCGGUAGUACUGUUGAGAUGUAGAAGUGGAAAAGCAAUAAUGCAUAACAAAAUCAUAUUCUAUCACACGCUUAGCUUAUACUAUAUAUAUUGGCACACAUUUUCUUUGCAUAUGCACCUGGUAGAUUAAACAAUGGAAGCAAACACAGUAGGGCAAACCAAUUUCAGAUUUUUAUCUCAAAUCAAAAGCCUAGAAAAGGUGAAUCUGCCGAAUAGUUCGGGCCGAAUCCUGAGGAAAGUUCAAAGCGCUGUUUGACGAGCCUACGUAGUAUUAGUUAGUUGGCCAGGUAAAGGCUGACAAGCCAAUGAUGCUUAGCUAGUCUUUUUGAAUGAUUAGCCACACUGGGACUGAGACAUGGCCCAGACUCCCAUGGGAGGCAGCAGAGGGAAUCCUUGACAAUGGGCGAAAGCCCGAUCCAGCAAUAUCGAAUGAGUGAAGAAGGUCAAUGCUCCUUGUAAAGCUCUUACAUUGAGUGCGCGAUCAUGACAUAUCUCGAGGAAGAAGUAACUCCAUGCCAGCAGCCGCGCUAAGACGGGGGGGGAGGGAGGGGGGCAUGUACUCUUUGGAAUGACUGGGUGUAAAGGGCAUGUAGGCGGCGGGUUGAAAGUGAAGCUAUGAAAAUCAUAAAAAGUGGCGGAAUGCUCUUGAAAUGAAUUCACUUAAGUGAGAUAGAGGAGAGUGGAUGGUUUUCUAUUCGUCCCUAUAAACACUAGUCAUCAACCCGUGCAGCUGCACGGGCUAGCGACUUGAGUCCGAAAACUUUGUGUUUAAUAUACUUUGGAAAAAGAAUAAACAUUGAAUAACAUUCAUAAUUUCUAAUUAUAAGUGUACUUUUUGAAAUCACGGUUACAUUGUUUAGCCUUUCAAGCAAUGCACAACAAUAAUUAGUGGCAAUGCACAACAAUAACAACAAUUUAUAAUUUCAACCGAGCAUACCACAUCACCUUGGCAGGAAUCUUCUUCCUGGAGCGCUCGCCCUCGACAUCUCCAGGGUCAUCGCGGCUGAUCUUAUAGCGCAAUGCACCACAUACGAGGAACGCGUUCGAAUUCUCAUACUCACCACAGUAGAGGAUGCAGUCAUUAGGGCAUGCAUGUAUCUUCUGCACCUCUAAUCCUAGAGGGCAGACAACCUUCUUUGCUUCGUACGUACUCGGGCAAUUUGUUGUCCUUUGGAAGCAUCUUCUUUAACAUUAUCAGCAACUUUCCAAAUCCCUUGUCAGAUACACCAUUCUCUACCUUCCAUUGCAGCAAUUCUAGUGUGGUGCCCAGCUUUUUCUUGUCAGCUUCACAAUUUGGGUACAACAAUUUCUUGUGAUCCUCUAACAUGCGCUACAACUUCUUCUCCCCCUUUUCACUUGUGCAGUUUCUCUUUGCAUCAGCAAUGGCACGACCUAGAUCAUCAGCGGGCUCAUCUGAUGCCUCUUCUUUAGCUUCUUCCCGCAUUCCUAGCUCAAUUUCUUCCCCCAUUGUUGUACCAUCGUUCAGGGAACCCAUGGCCAGGAUAGCUAUCGUCAUCCUCUUCUUGUUCACUGUCUUCCAUCAUAACCCCUCUUUCUCCGUGCUUAGUCCAAACAUUAUAGUGGGGCAUGAAACCAGACUCAAACAGGUGGACGUGAAUGGUUCUUGACUUAGAGUAAUUCAGAUCAUUCUUACAGUUAGCACAUGGACAAGGCAUAAAACCAUCCGCCCGCUUGUUUGCCUCAUCUGCAAGCAGAAACGUAUGCACACCAUUAAUGAACUGGGGAGAGCAUCGGUCAUCGUACAUCCACUGCCGGUUCAUCUUCAUUUAAACAACACUGAAAAGACCAAAUUAAUACAAGUUCAUACAAAACAACAUACAAAUAACUCUGUAGCUAAAGUAUUUAAAUGCAACAACAAAUGCGAUCAAGAUCGCAACUAAGGUAACAAUUGAUCCAACAACAUAAUGAAACCAAGCCUCACUAUCGAUGGAAUAUUUUUUAAUCUUUCUAAUCUUCAAGCGCAUUUUCUCCAUCUUGAUCUUGUGAUCAUCGACGACAUCGGCAACAUGCAACUCCAACUCCAUCUUCUCCCCCUCAAUUCUUUUCAAUUUUUCUUUCAAAUACUCGUUUUCUUUUUCAACUAAAUUUAACCUCUCGAGAAUAGGGUCGGUUGGAAUUUCUGGUUCACAUACCUCCAAGAUAAAAAUAUCUGUCAACUUGAUGGGCAUAAUUUGUCAUAAACACGAAAUGCAACAAAUAGUUAUAAAAGGGAAUAUACCACAUCCGAAUCAUAACCCGGACGAGGGCCAACGGGGACAGAUAUCAAAACCAUGGCACUAUGUAUAACAAACAACAUACAUGUAAGAUAAUUAUACAAGUAACUAUAUAUCUAAAUAACAAAAACAUGAUUUUUCUUAUAUUAAAAAGAUAAGAACAAGAGACUCAUCACAAGGUGGUGCCGGCGACGGGACGGUGCGGGCGGUCGACGGUGGUUAGGACAGAGACGGGAAGGCACUAAGUAAACCACACCUACAUAUGCAAACUAAGAGUUAUUUGACCUCAAAUUGCAUAUGAAUCAAAUAAACUACAACAUAUAUAUAUUUCCUCCCAAACUAAAAACCCACAAAUCACUAUACUUAUAGAGCAUUGCAAGAGCUAAUGUAACAAUGAGAGAUGAAAGGACGGAGUUGCUAACCUUUGUGAUCACUUGGACGGAUGGGGUGCCUUCAAAUGUUGGAAAAUUUUGGAAAAAAUGGAGGUGGGAGAUCGAGCAAGAGGGGAAGAAAACAAAGAGGAGGGGAAAAGUAGAGGGCUUCGGCUCGGUUGGUUACACGAACCGGGACUAAAGGUCAACUUCUAGUCUCGGUUCGUGGCAUGAACCGGUACUAUAGGUCAUGGUGCGGCCGCAGCCUGCCGCAAGCCUGCCACCACCUCUUUAGUACCGGUUUGUGGCACGAACCGGUACUAAAGGUUCGCCACGAACUGGUACUAAUGAGAGCAGCCCACCUAGCCGUUGGAACCGGCAGUAAUGGUCACAUUAGUGUCGGUUCCAUUAAAAACCGGGACUAAAUUGUUGAACAUUAGGCCCUUUUUCUACUAGUGGUUACUUGACGGGCACUAUUUUUGUAAGGCAAAUGCCAAAUAAUUGGUCGGUAUUAAAUGUUGGUUGCCUAAACAAAAUAUUGUAAAUUUUUGGUCGGCGAAACAAACUCCCAUCUGACUGUCGGCCGAGAAAUGUCCAUGGCAACCCUAACUAAUUGUUGGAUGGGAAAAACACUAUUUGAUAGUCGGUCGGGAAAGGACCAUAGUAGCUCAAAUGGACUGUCGUUCGGGAAACGUCCGUGGCAGGCCCAACAGAAUGUUGGUCUCGAAUGAUACACUAUAGCCGACAAGCAGUCGGUUGGGAAUAACAUGUCGUUCGGGAAAUGGUUUUCCUGUCUGGACUUUCCCCAAGGAUCUUUGCCGUCAGCCAGCUCACGACAAAGAAAGUUUUUGCCAUCAGCUUACAAAAAACUGACGGCAAAGAAAGAGCCAACGACAAAGAGCAUGUUUGCCGUCCAGCAUAGCAGCCGACAAAGAGGGAGGGUGGUCCACUAAGGAGUACCACCUAACGACCACUUUCUUUGGCGUCUGCUAGCGGACGACAAAGAUUGUAGCUAAUGGCUACAUACGGCCCACCCGACACCUCCCACUCUCCAUUUCUCUUUCUCUCUCACUCCAACGUGCCGACCCCGACCCCAACCACCGCCGCCGCUCCCGACCCCCACCUCCCUCGCCGCCCCUGACCCCCCUGCCGCCCCGUCGGUCCACGACCCGCCACCCCGCGGUCCGCUGCGCCCCCCGGCCCCUGCAACCACNNNNNNNNNNNNNNNNNNNNNNNNNNNNNNNNNNNNNNNNNNNNNNNNNNNNNNNNNNNNNNNNNNNNNNNNNNNNNNNNNNNNNNNNNNNNNNNNNNNNNNNNNNNNNNNNNNNNNNNNNNNNNNNNNNNNNNNNNNNNNNNNNNNNNNNNNNNNNNNNNNNNNNNNNNNNNNNNNNNNNNNNNNNNNNNNNNNNNNNNNNNNNNNNNNNNNNNNNNNNNNNNNNNNNNNNNNNNNNNNNNNNNNNNNNNNNNNNNNNCCCCGCCGACCCACUCAGUUGAGCUCCCCCCGUUUUUUCUACUGCUAGUAAUUAGGUUACUUUGUACUAUUGGUUUCUUUUUUUCUACUGCUAGUAAUUAGGUUAGUUAGUAUUUUUAGAGUUGGUUAGGUUAGUUAGGUUAGUUUCUAGGUUAGAUCUUGAAAAAAAUUAUUAGGAGAAGAAAAUAAGAAGAAUUAGAAGAAGAGGAGGGGCAGGAGAAGAAGAAAAAGGGGAGGAGAAGAAGAAGAAGAAGAAGAAGAAGAAGAAGAAAAAGGAGAAGAAGAAGAAGAAGAAGAAGAAGAGGAGGAGGAGGAGGAGAAGAAGAAGAAGAAGAAAAAGAAUAAGAAAAGGGGCAGGAGAAGAAAAGAAGAAGAAGAAGAAGAAGAAGAGGAGGAGGAGGAGAAGAAGAUCACCGGUCCCCGACACCCCGACCCCGACACAACUCCCCGAGACCACCUCGACACCCCAACACGACACCACCGACACCCCGACCCCGAUACCAUCGACACCCUGACACCACUGACACCUCGACACGACACCACCGACAUNNNNNNNNNNNNNNNNNNNNNNNNNNNNNNNNNNNNNNNNNNNNNNNNNNNNNNNNNNNNNNNNNNNNNNNNNNNNNNNNNNNNNNNNNNNNNNNNNNNNNNNNNNNNNNNNNNNNNNNNNNNNNNNNNNNNNNNNNNNNNNNNNNNNNNNNNNNNNNNNNNNNNNNNNNNNNNNNNNNNNNNNNNNNNNNNNNNNNNNNNNNNNNNNNNNNNNNNNNNNNNNNNNNNNNNNNNNNNNNNNNNNNNNNNNNNNNNNNNNNNNNGUUGACACCCCGAUCCCUGACACGACACUCGAGACCCCGACACGGCACCCCCAACCUCGACACAGCACCUCGACCCUAACAUGACACCCCCGACACUCCGACCCCCGAUACCUCCUCAAAAAGGUGCUCUUCGGCCUUCCAGAGGCCGACGGGGUCAUAUAUUUGUGAAUUAUGAGUUAGGUCAGGUAUUCAAUUAUUAUUAUGUACAUAUACAUAUAUAUUAUUAUUAAUUAGUUCAUGUUAUUAGGUAUUCAAUUUUUUAUUAUGUUCAUGAUGAUGAUACACACUUAAUUUUUUUAUUAUGUUUAUGUUGUACUAAUUUCAUUUACUCUUUGUCAUUGCAGGUGUUGACAGAUGGUGGGCGCGGGUCGAGAGCGCUCCGAGCCUCCUUCUUCGGCGCGUGCUGGGAGGUGUGUUGUUAUUCCACCCCAGCACCUUUGGAGAGCGCAUAUAGACAGCACACAGACACCAGCGGGCGCUUCUUCUUCGACCGAGAGAGGUCGGGGGAAGACGAAGAGGGGUACAGCUAGAGGUGGACGUGGCGGCGGGAUAGGUAGGAAGGCUGCUACGCCUUCCUCGCCGCCACCCCAGCUGAUUCUUUGGACCACUGGAGUGCUUCGUCCCAGGUGGACCCGUCUGACUUGGACCCUUCUCGGACUCCGGUCCACAAGCCUCGGGCCAACGAUCCUACAUCCGACGAGACUCGGGUCCUAGAGUCUUGGUCCCAGGAGACUCGGGUCCCAGAGUCUUCGUCCCAUGUGACUCUGGAGACUAGUGGCCAUGCUGAUGGUGGCGAGGACACCUUGUCUGACGAUAGCUACAACGAUGGCGAGCUAGUUGAGGGGGGCAAGAAGGUCUACGAGCAUGGUGGUACAGAUCUCCCAUCCGUGUCGGCGACCCGUGACCAGAGGUGGUUGAUUGAGCCUAAAGGGGAGAAGUAAGUGCAUUUACUCUUUUUUAACCUUUUGCCUUCAUGUUUCUUCAAAUUAAUAUCUAAUGUGUUGGCCUUGUCAUACUGCAGGGGUUGGAUACACGCCUCUGAUGUCCGCAGGCCCAACCAGGUCCUUGGUGUGAUUUGCCGGCACCACUUCCUGGGAUGGGUCACAUUGCCCGAUGAGGGUGAGGUUCCAUAGCUAGCACUGACCUGGGAGCUGCACAAGGCUGCCCCGGCCCCGCCGAGGGAGAUGGUCGACGGUGUCCUGUGCAAUACGGUGGCCGACAUUGUGAGUCGGCGGUUUUGGGUAAUUUCUCCUUUAGAGAAUUAAAAAUCAACAAUACUUAGUGAUUGUACUAAUCAGUGUUGUCUUGUUUGAUUGCAGACCUUCUACAGGUGUCUUGAGGAACACGAGGUGGACACGGCUAUGGUUCUCGAAGCCGAGUGCAAGCGCCUAGUUCAGAACUUAUGGUACGAGGCUCGGGUGCAGGCUAUUCGAGACUACUAUGCCUCGACUAACAUCAGGAGGGCCAAGAAGAAGUGACGCGGCAAGUAUCUGAGUAAGGAGAAGUACAUGAAGGUAAUUACCUAUUCUUAAGGCCUUGUACUUAGUUUCCUUGAUUUGAUUUGUCGGCAUAGCGCUGAAAUUUCUCUUUGUCUAACUUUGGUGCCCCCGAGAUGGUGUGCGGAGAGGAUGGACUGUUGGGAGAGGUUGGUGGAUGAGUGGUGCUCUCCCCAAUGGCUAGCCGUCCACAACAAGGGUAGGGAUAAGUGUGCCUAGAUGCAAGGUGUGCCACACCAUCAAGGGAGCUCCAACCUGUUUGAGUACGGGGAUCACUUGGUAUGUGGUUUGAUCCCUUAAUGAUUCAUGCAAUUUCAUUCUUCAUGCUAGCUUGAGCCCUUAACUAAUAUUUUGUUCCUCUCUUUUAGGCGCGACACAACAAGAAGGAGUUGCCACUACUGUACAACCUCUAUGCCAUGGCCCAUACUGCCCCGUACAAGAAGGCCAAGGCAUUCUUGGAGGAUGACCUCGAUCAUCCUGAGAGCUCCACCAACAUAUCCUCCCAUACGAUAAGCUCAUGAGGUACAGAGUCUUUGGGAAGGCGAUGAAAGGGGAGGACUUCAACCCGAGCCAGAGUCCUUUUGAUCCUAAGCUUGUGAUGCUAUCUGAAGGGAGGAAACAUGGCUCAGUAGCCAUUAGGGGUGGAUGAUACGUUGUCCUAGAAGUCUCCCAGAGAUCAAGAAGCGCCAGACGAGGUCUCUUCCUGACAUGAGGCCUCGAUAACGACCAAUGGAGCUCGCCAUCAAGGCUAGGGCCCAGGAGCUUCUGGCGGAGGCAAACAGGUAGUCGACGCAGAGGGAGAGGGAGUUGGAGGAGAGGACAGCUAGUAUGUUGGAGGCGGAGAGGAACCGGAACAACGCGGGUCACCGGGCCCUAUACGAGCUCCUCGUGGUAAGUUUCUCCUACAUAUUAGCCAAAUCAUGUACGUAAUGUUCGUUUCAUUACUAACUAAUAUGACUGACUUGUGAAAACAAAAUGUGCAGUCCGUUUGCGAGAAAAACGACCAGACCCCUCAGCCGAUGCACCAGCACUAGUGCAGAACCGGGCUAUAGCACUAGUUCGUAAGGGCCUUUAGUCCCGGUUCGGUAACCGGCACUAAAGGGUGGAGACUAAAGGCCCCCCUUAGUACCGCUUCUGCACGAACCGGGGCCAAAGGCCCACCAUGUGGCACAAUCCCGCGUGGUGAUCUGGGGGAUAUUUAGUACCGGUUGGUAACACCAACCGGUAAUAAAGGAUUUUUUUUAUUUUUGAUUUUAUUUUUUUCGACAAAAUUGAAUAUUUUUUCCGAUUUUCAAAUUUCUGAAUUAUUUGACGAUUUUGUCUCUAAUCACCGCUCAUCAUUGCUGUAAUCACCCCUCAUCAAUCCAAAUCGUCUAACUUCCUGGCCGGUCACCCAUCCUCUCACUACUCCAGCCUGAGCAUGCUUAACUUCCGAGGUCUAAGUCUGCACGUGUUGUUUACCUGACAAUAGUAAGUUGUCAAUCCUAUUAACCCUCAGGAAUUUAGCUUGAACAUGAAGUCACAUGUUUCACCGUUUUAGUUUGAAACUAUUGUUCUAAAAAAUAAUUAUUAUUUAGUAACCAAGAUACUUCUUGAAUAAGUAGUCUGACCAUAGUUUGACCAUAGUUUGACCAAAAGUCAAAAAAACUAAAAUAACUAUUUAUUAACACUAAUAUUUCUUGAAUAAUUAGUUUGACCAUAGUUUGACCACAAUUCGACCAGAUUUAACAAAUUUUUUUAAAAAAAACUGAAAUUGGAGCAAAUCUUUUUUUCCUUUUAGAAUUUGAGGGUUCUAAAAAAUUGCAAACAAGCAGUAGGCGGUCAAAAUUGGAUGCGGAUUUUCGUGCUGAUUUUUUUGAUAUAUUAUGCGUUUUUUGACAUCGUAUGCAAAAGAUAUGGCCGUUUUACAUUUUCAUAACACUUUUUUUUGCAAAACAUGUCCAAAUUUAAGUUUUUUAAUUUUCCUAACUAGUAGAUUUAGUAACAUAACUACAUCUCGAACGAUUUUACUUUUUGAAGUUUUUAUCAUUUUCUUUUGCUUUUAACAAAAUUGAAAAGGCGGUCCGGGGGGGGGGGAAUGUUUGAAAAUGGGUCCUUUAGUCUCGGUUUGUGUCUCCAACCAAGACUAUAGGUCAAACCUCUUUAGUCCCGGUUCGUGGCACAAACCGGUACUAAAGGUUAGCCCUGUAGUACCGGUUUGUGCCACGAACCGGGACUAAAGGGGCUCGUGGGGCCCCGCCUGACGCCAGCCUGCCACCACCCCUUUAGUACCGGUUCAACACGAACCGGCAUUAAUGCAUAGCCGUUUGAACCGGGACUAAUGGUACCAUUAGUACUGGGCCAACAUUGAAUCGAGACUAAUGUGUCUCACAUUAGGUCCUUUUUCUACUAGUGCAGAUUGGUAUAGCGGAUGCGGUGAGUUUCAUUUGAAUGGUCAUUAGUUACUAGUAUUCACAUUUCAGUUGCAUCAUGCUAACUAGACAUUGCAAAUGAUCUUUGGUGCAGCACGCCUCCCGGCAAGCAUCGACCGAUCCUUCUUCAUCUCAAACUAGCGCAACCCCGACCAGUCCUUCUCCGUCUGGCACUGGUGCAAUCCAAACCGUUCCUUCACCUCCAUGAUGAUGGUCAGUGUUUUGCUUAACAAAUGCAUACUUAGCUUAAGAAAUGACCUACUUAGCUCCAAAAUGACCUAUACUUAUCUUAUUUUCCUCAAAAAUGACAUAAUAACCUUACUUAGCUCCAAACUGACAUAUUCUACCUAGGAUAGCUAUAAAAUGACCUAUACUUAGCAUUUUUUUCCUCCAAAAUGACUUGAUAUGCUUAGUUAGCUAGAAAAUGGCAUAUCUACCUAGGAUAGCUCAAUAAUGAUCUAUAGCUAGCUUAGCUAGUUCAUUUAUGACAUAAUUAGCUCACUUAGGUAAAAAAUGGCAUAACUACCUAGGAUAGCUGAAUAAUGAUCUAUAAUUAGCUUAGCUAGUUCAUUUAUGCCAUAGUUAGCUCACUUAGGUAAAAAAUGGCAUAACAACCUUGGUUUAGCUCCCAAAUGACCUAUACUUAGCUUAUUUCCUUGAAAAUGACAUAACAACCUUACUUAGCUCUGAACUGACAUACUUUACCUAGGAUAGCUAUAAAAGGGCCUAUAUUUAGCAUUUUUUUUACUCCUAAAUGACUUAAUAUGCUUAGUUAGCUAAAAAUGUCACAACUACUUAGGUCAGCUCCAAACUGGCCUACACUUACCAUUUUGUCCUCCAAAAUGAAUAAAUUUGCUUAGUUAGCUCAAAAAUGGCAUAACUACCUAGGUUAGCUCCAAAGUGACCUAUUUACCUAGCUUAGCUCUAAAAUGACCUACACACUUAGCAUUGUUAGCUAGCUAAAGCUAAAAAAAUGGCAUUUUUACCUACCUUAGUUAGAAUAAGAAGAAGAUAAAGAAGAGGAGAGGAGAAAAGGAAUGAGAAGAUAAAUUCUUCUUUUUCUUCUUCUUCUUCUUUUUCUUCUUCUUUUUCUUCCUUUUCUUCUAGCUAGUCUUCUUCUUCUUCUUCUAACUUUCAUCUUUCCUAAUUUGUAGAUUUGAUUUAGAUGAGGAAGCUUGCAUUGAUGGAGUGUACUCUUCUACUUGUGCUUCCUUUUUGUUUAUGGAAACUUGUUUUGGAUAUGUAUGUAUAUAUGGAUAUGUUGUUGGAAGCCAUUGUAUGGUGGAUAUGUUGUUGGAAACUUGUAUGUUGGAUAUGUUGUUGGAAACUUAUUGUUGGUAUGCUUGUUGAAAUUAUUUUGAAAUGUGUGUGUAUAUAUAUAUCUGUGAAAUUCUGUCAAACUGAAUGAAUUUAAGAAAAAACAGAAAAAACAGGGGCUAUACAGUCUCUUUGUCGUCUGCUGGCAUAUGGCAAAGAGCUUUGCCGUCUGCCGGCAAAGCUGCCACAUGGCAGCUACCUGUGCAACUUGGGGUGCUCUGGGCUGACCUAUUUGGCAGCUUUGCCGUCAGCGGCAGACGGCAAAGACCUUUGCAUAUUUGCCAUCCGCUGGCAGACGGCAAAGAUGCAAAGGCCUUUGUUGUCUGCCAGCUGACGGCAAAGCACACCCUUAACCCCUUAACGGACCUAAGCUGCCACGUGUGGUGUCCAGGCUCUUUGCCGUCUGCCAGUAUACGGCAAAGAGGGCUUUGCCGUAGCUUAUUUAGCUAGACCUGUUGCCAUUUGUUGGCUGACGGCAAAGGCCUUUGCCAUACUCCAGGCAUGCCUUUAUCGUCAGCCAUGGCUGACCGCAAAGUGCCUGAUUCCUUUAGUGUUGGCACAACUUGUAUUCCCGACCAAUCUGGCUUUUGGGGAUGUAGUGCAGUGGUGUACUGAAUGCAGUGUCGUGGUGUAGUGCGGGCAAGUUAAGAAAAAAAUGGACACAUGCGAGGCUAGCACCAUGAUGAACACUACUGAGGUAGAGGAGAUGAUGAAGAAGUUGGGGAUCACGGAGGAUGACUUUGAUGAUGUGGUAGUAGAGGAAGAGGAGGAGCUCCCUGCUGAAGCAAUCCAGUGGAUGGCAAUCAUGCGAGUGCACAUAGAGAAAACUUAUGCUCAGUACUGGUUUUCAGAAACAUGAGGGUGGCUUGGGACUUGGCGAAAGAGGUGAAGAUCUGGCCACUCAACAAUAAUAUGUACAUGCUGCAAUUUUCUUGUUUAGGCGACUAGGAGGGAGUCAUGGACGAUGGGCUCUGGACUUACCGAGGCAACACGGUGCUUUUGGCGUCGUAUGAUGGAUUCACUAAACCAUCAACCAUAGCCUUGGACACAAUUGAGAUGUGGAUCCAAUUCAUGAUCUACCAGAUAGCUACUCCUACCCCCAAUUGAGCCUGGCGCUUGCUAGACCAUCCCGGUUCUCUGAGUUCCAUUGAUCUUAAAAGUUCUAAACUAUCCAAAUAACCCUCUUUCCGAUGCAACCUUGGGACCACAUCACAUAUAUGGCCGACUAUUUUCCAUGGGAAAGACAUAAUGACUUAGGGUUUGAUAAGGAGAAUAGGAGACGGAGAAUCCCCUGAUAUUUGGAACAAUAAUAGGAUAACUAGAGAGCAUAUAAAGAGGCCGAGAACUUCACAAACACCACAGCCGCCGACAAGCUCGCUGAACACAUUGAUCACACUAUGUCAUCAAGGGAUGAACAACUUAUUCAAUCGAUACUUAUUCCCAUUUAUGCGAGACUAUAUUGAAGAUCCCUCUUUGCACGAGACAAAUAUCUUAUUUUUGGUCUUGGAUUGAGGAUAGAAGGGGCAUGUUCACUGGGCAUUCUGCUUACAAGAUGAUACAGUGAACCAAGAUCAGUAGAGAAUCAUGGCUGUAUGAGCAGGGUGGCCGAUCAAACUCAGAGGCUGAUUGUCAAGGAUGGAUAGACUUAUGGCAUAUAAAAGCCCCCCGAAAAUCAAGGUGUUCAUGUGAAUAUUAGCACAAUACUCACAAUGUCCUUCUUCAUCAUAGAAACAUGUCGAUGACAAGUGCUUGUUGUUUGUGCAGGUCUAACGAUAUGUGCAGGCACGCCCUGCCGAAUUGCUUGGUUUCAAGGAGCACUAGGCACUAUCAUACGAGCAAAUUGUCGAGCUAUUGAGUCUGAAUGUAAAUGAUGACGCCAAACAGUGGCUUUUCACCAUGCAUGAGGUGUUAUCACAUGCGGACGAUUUUAUCAUGUUUACGAUCACUUUUGUGGACGAUAUGGGGAGCUCGGCACAAAGCUAUACAUGAGGAGAUAUAUAAAAGCCCUUUCACUUUUCAGGCUUUUGUGCAGAGUUACUUAAUUGAGCUGAGAGCUACCCAAAGCACUCAAAGUCCAGUUCCAGGGGCACCCGUGAUUAGGCCAAGUCAAUGUAUCGCUCCUCGGGAUGAUAUGGUGAAGGUCAAUGUGGAUGCGGCGGUUGGACCAGGCGACACUCGAGGUGCAAUGGGAGCUAUAUGCAGAGAUCAAGCAUGUAAUUUUCUGGGUGUGUCGGCCAUUGUGUUCCCACAUAUAUCAGAUCUUGUUACUGUCGAAUCUUCAGCAAUCAGGGUGGCACUUGCACUUGGUGAUAAUCUCUAUGAGAGGAAGAUUCAGGUGGCUUCAGAUUGCAAGGUGGUGUUGCAGAUAUACAUCAGAAGAGCGCAGCUAUCUACAGAGCAAUCAUAACUGAGAUCAUAGAUCAGAAGGCUACUUUUACUAAUUGUACAUUAGCCAUAAAUUUAGGAGCUUGAAUGUUGAAGCUCACAAACUCGUGAAGCAUGCCUUAUCCCUAGGGGUUGACCGCCAUGUUUGGUUAGGUAACCCCAUAGCUAAAGUUGUCUCGCCUUGCUUCAAAACUACUGAGCGUGCGCUGCGGUUUUGACCUAAAGCCUCCGUUUGCUGGAAUUAAUUGGAAUAGUUGAGAAGAAAGUGACCAACGGAUGCGUAAUGCGUGGAAAGCUGCUGGAUAGUUUGGGCCGAAUCCUGAAGAAAGUUCAAAGCGCUGUUUGGUGAGCCUACGUAGUAUUAGUUCGUUGGUUAGGUAAAGGUUGGCAAGCCAAUGAUGCUUAGCUGGUCUUUUUGAAUGUUUAGCCACACUGGGACUGAGACAUGGCCCAGACUCCCAUGGGGAGCAGCAGAGGGGAAUCUUGGACAAUGGGCGAAAGCCCGAUCCAGCAAUAUCGCGUGAGUGAAGAAGGUCAAUGCUCCUUGUAAAGCUCUUACGUUGAGUGCGCGAUCAUGACAUAUCUCGAGGAAGAAGCCCAGGCUAACUCCGUGCCAGCAGCCGCGCUAAGACGGGGGUGGGGGUGGGGGUGGGGGGAAGUACUCUUUGGAAUGACUGGGUGUAAAGGGCAUGUAGGCGGCGGGGUUGAAAAUGAAACUGUGAAAAUCAUAAUAAGUGGCGGAAUGCUCUUGAAACCAAUUCACUUAAGUGAGACAGAGGAGAGUGGGUGGUUUUCUAUUCGUCCCUAUAAACACUAAUCAUCAACCCGUGCACCUGCACGGGCUAGAUAUACCAUCAUAGAAUCUUGUAAAUAUACUUUGUAAGCCUAUAACUGGAAACAUAAAACAUGGAACAUGCUUUACAGUUUUUAUUUUAUAGUGGUGUUUAGUCUUCAAAUUUCAGGCAGAAUUAAAAGUGGACACGUCUGAAUUCUCAAGUUCAUUGAUCAAGCGCAUGCAGUUGUUAUGGUAUACAAAAUCGAACAUGUUGAGGACUCACAUGCAUAUUUGUAGGAAAAACUAAAAAAAAAUUGUAAUUAUUUCUUACAUCAUUACAUUCAAACCCACACAAAGAAAAUCCUCAAAUAAACAUCAUUUUUCUUUAAACAGAAGGAUCCAACUGACGCCAUAAAAUGUAUCUUUUCCUUAUAUUGGCCAAUUAUUGCUCAAACAGCUGUGCAUGUGCUGUGUAAAUAAGAUUUAGAUAUGGUACAUAGAACUUUUGUUAGAUUUAGACCAUAGCUUCAGUGUGAAUGUUGCUGCAAUGGCACAGAAGUAUGAUUGGUUUGGCAUCGUCUGCUUUGCGAUGAUCCACUCCCGUGCACAGGCUCUAUCCUACGGAUCGUCCUAUCGGACAGCUAGCAGUAUAUGUCAUGCCAAAAGCUUCUUGACCAACAUAUGCACUAGUAAAUCUAAUUACUCUAAAUUAUGAAAAUAUAGUUAUUCUGAAUUAUGAAAAUAUAAUUACCCUAAACUAUAUAUGUACCUUAGAUCGUAGAGGCCACCAUCGAACAGAACUAUAUAGGGAGUAGUUGUGCGGUAGUACUGUUGAGAUGUAGAAGUGGAAAAGCAAUAAUGCAUAACAAAAUCAUAUUCUAUCACACGCUUAGCUUAUACUAUAUAUAUUGGCACACAUUUUCUUUGCAUAUGCACCUGGUAGAUUAAACAAUGGAAGCAAACACAGUAGGGCAAACCAAUUUCAGAUUUUUAUCUCAAAUCAAAAGCCUAGAAAGGGUGAUCCAGGAAAAACAUUAAUCGCUGCAUUGUUGAGAGUCUCAUGUUUCAAUUUCACCAUCCAAUCUCAUAGAAAAAUGUAGGCAGCCGGUGAGGAAUCAGCAGAUGGUUGCCAUGUGCUUCUCGAUAUUUCUUUUCCCUAAUCACCAAAGAACACAUAGGCGAGCCCAGCAGUAACUUGAUAUACAGGAGGCUUCUUUGCUUUGCACCAGUGUAACACGAAAGAACAGAUACGCAGCCGUGAAAGUCGCUGGCUGCAUGAUGGAAGACGCCAACCACAUAUCGUUGAUAUUGAACGCAACGCUUGAAUAUCUUUUUUGACCUCUUCGUUCACCAUAACCUUUCAUAGUGGGAUCCAUCUUUCUUAAGCUUUGACACUUGGAAAUAAUACUUACCAUCAUAUUAAUCAAACCUUGCUGCAUCCACCGAUUUUUUUCCAACUCAUGCAUGUGAAACCAUGGAUAUUUCAUCAGCAAAAAGUACGAAAAAGGACACAACUAUGCACUAUUAAUUAUGUCUGUGCUCAGACGUACCGCUCUCCUGUAGUAUCCACAAAAGGAAAACCAAGAUUUUCAGUUCUCACGCGCCUGAGAAACAUCAUCUAUCUUCUGCUUGCAAUCUUUCCUGAUGAUACAUCAUGUCUGUUGGGGGUAAUAUGAAUUCGAAAGGAUGGAAAAAAGACCUGGGAAGAGGGGAAUUAGGGAUACUGUGCUAAAUUGGGACAGGAGAGGAGAGCAUUAUGCCCUUGAAUGGAAUCCAGGAUGCGAAACGUUGUGCCGCCAUAGCGAUGAUGGCCACAACCAUACUUGCUUCAAAGAGGAACAUCAGUACUGUACCUCCUCCAAGCCUCGAGCAAGCAACACAAUAUUGUACAGGAGGCCCCAUGCCAGCGGUAGGGGCAGAUCGCCGUUCAAUGCCUGCAGAGGGCCUCUCAUCCUUCUAGUACUGAAUAUGCUAGCAGUCGACUAAAAUAGAUGAUUGAGCUGAUACUGUUAUCAUUGCCAUCUGUAAUCGAUAUUGAAUACCUCCUCUUGCAUGCUAGAUCUAAACAUAAAAUUUAGCUCAACUGUACACAUCUGUUUUGACUCGACAGUAAGGAACCAUAAUAUUGCAACCCUGAGGAACAAAGCAACGGAUGAGUACUUGACAACAAUUUAGCUCAAGUGUACAGCUAAAAAUUUAAUUCUGAAGGAGAAAAUUGGUUGCGACAAAAGCAGUCACUUGACAACAAUUAUCACAUUUGUCUAUGAAUAUUUGAACCUAUGGUCUUUGUUGCGCCCUGGUCGGAUGGAUUAAAAAAGGCAACCAUCUAGUACAUAGGGAGAUUGUGCAUAGUUCUUACCUCCAAUAAUCUAAUCAAGGCAGUAGAGGAGGAUUAUGUGCCCUGUGUAAGAGGAACACGCAUCAGUCUGGAGUAGGAUCCAGGAGGCCAUUAUUGAACCAAUUUUCACAUAUCACCAGCUAAUGAAAAAUAAUUUACAAAUAGUAACUCUCAUCGAGUGGAAAUAAUAUCAUGCAUGGUACUUAAGCCAGCCGUACCUGAAACUUGAUGAAUCUAAUAUUUGUUCAAGGAAGUGUCUCAUGGCCUUUAACUAAAACUAACAAUUUACAGUUGACAGUGAUCUAGUUUCAUGAAGCUAUAAUUAUUAGAAGUCACCAGAUGUCUGCCUCUCUUCGAUUUCUGCAAGUAGCACCUAGGUGAGCUCACCAAAUCACCCCAUGUUGCUCUAAGUAGGUAGAAAUUUGGCAGAUACACAAAUAUUAGUACGGUAUCCAUUAAUUCUAAUAAUUGAUAAAGAAGGACACUCCUCUAGCUUCUUAUGUGUGUGUGUGUCUGUGUGUUUGGUGCUGUGUAUUUCGAUGUGAGAUCAGUAAUUCCAACUCCCUACAAUUAAGAUAUGAAUAGUCAGUGGAAACUUACCAUUGGGAACCAUGGCUUGGGGAGCAUGUUCAGACCUGCAAGUUGCUGCUCUCAAUCUAUUGCCCAUGUAUAUGGAUGAUUAUUAAUCUGCUCAUAUGUUUACACCUCCAGACGUUGCCACUGCAGGGAUUACUAACAUGAACACAACCAUCAUCGCCAUUAAGUUAGCAACAUAGAUCAACAUACUUGUCGCCAUGGCGGGUAGGAAAAGUUUCACGUGUGAUGUUCUCUAUUGCUAUCACGUAAUCCUUGUAACUAACAGUCAAACGACAUGCUAGGCAAUCACAAAGGGAAACGUUUCUGGCCGGGGCACCGGCCGAACCUUCGGCCGGUCGCGAGCCACGCUGGCGCCCCGCGCCCGCCCAAGCCGCGCCCCGCGCGAGACUCCUGUUAUUGUUGGGCCCCACAUGGACCACCCCUCCUCCCUUUUUUAUCUUUCCCCUAACUGCCGCCUUCAUCCCCUACCUCCAGACACAUCCUUUCCCGUGGCCAUUUUUCUUCUUCCUUUUCCCUGCGCUGCUGCCUACCGGCGGCCGCUGCCGGCUGUGUGCUUCGCCGAGCCAGGGGGACUACCCGACUGCUGCCAGUCCUCCUCCUCCGCACAUCUUAUCCCCCAAAACAUCUCUCCUUCUCUCUCAAAUAAGCCAUGUUUCAAGACGAGACAAGGUCUGGGAAGGAGGCUGCAACCGGUGCCCGGGGAGCCAGCGACCGGCCAUGAGACGGCGAGCAUGGUGACCUCAGGACGGCGAGGAUAGGGCAACACUCCUCCAAGAAAACAAUCGACGUCGUUAUUUUUGCUACAUGCUUCAACCGGCGUCGGAAUUUGCUACAAACGGCAUCGCGUACUGCUGCCACUGGUGUCACAUUUUGCUGCAAUGCACAAUCAACCUCGCGUUUUUGCUAGAAUAGAUGUCGCUUUUUGCUACAACCGUUUUCAUUUUUUGCUACAUAUGUUCAGGCUGAGCUGUGACCCGAUGACGUCGGCGAUGCCUUUUUUGCUGCAACCGUAAUAGAUUUUUGGUACAUCCAGCAACAAUUUUUGCUACAUCCAUUCUUUUUUUGCCAGCGACGAUACAAUGGCGAGAUACAGCCGCCAGCGAUGAUGACAAGCUUUUUCGCCGAAUAAGCUGCAACGGGCAUCGUGAAAAGCUGGAACCGGCCAUCAGCAGAGCUGCAUCUACUGUGGGUGGUGCCCCGGCAACCAUAUCGGGCACCUCUCGCGGAGCUCGACGCCCAUGGCCAUGGCGACAGCCCUCGCGGAGCUCGACGGCCAUGGCCAUGGCAGCACCCCUCGUGGAGCUCGAUGCCGAUGGCCAUGGCAGCACCCCUCGCGGAGCUCGACGCCCAUGGCCACGGUAGCAUCCCUCGCGGAGCUCGACUCCCAUGGCCAUGGCGUGCCCUAGCAGCCACGGCGGCAUCCCUCGAGUGGAUCUCGACGAACAUGGCCGUCGUGUCCAUCACCAGACGGGGAAUCAUGCAUCUCGCGGGUCACAGGGGGAGCGCGCGUCCCCCGCGAGGAAGGAGACGAGUUUGGGGGAGAAUCGAACGGUUAGAGGCGUGCAAAUCGUACGGCUACCGAGCGACCGACCGAACUUUCAGCCGGUGCGCCGGCGCCUAUCGUUACCCAAUCACAAAAGACAAUCUGGAGGAAGGCAACCGCUUGCACUGCUGGGGAGAGGGUCUAGAAAAUAUAGAACUUUCCCCCAAAAUAAGAAUUUCCUGUAAAAAACAGAGCAGGAGCAGAUGAUGAACCGCGCCGGCAUGUACCUGCCUUUACCUUCUGGCAUGUGCGCCCUCCUUCAAACUACCAUGGAUACACAUCCACAUAUGCAUAGGCCAUCUAGGAUUCGGAAACCUGAAAUAAAAGGAGAUUGUUAGUCUAAUAUGUCACGUUUUGUGACAUAUCUCCUAAUCCCCUAAAUCGAGGAGAAUCGAUAUUGUUGUGAUCUCCCAUUUAUGGUUAAGAUUGUAAAUCUGUCUAUAUAUUGACAUGCAAUGGAAAAGCCCAAGUGUGCAACAAUUCCUAAAUCUUUCAUGGUAUCAGCCUAAGAAAAUCCUCUCGCUUCCGCUCCCUCCAACCCUAGCGCCGUCGACCCUGUUCCCGCGCCGCCGGCCAACACCUCCCUCCCCUCCCCUCCCAUGACGCCCUCCGAACCACCUGCUCCCCAUCCCAACACCGCCCUCUGGGUGCAGGCCACCGCCAUCCCAAGCGUCCGCUCUCUCGUCCCCAUCGUCCUCGAGUUCAAGAGCGCCGUCUUCCCCAAGUGGAGGACCUUAUUCAACUCGCUGUCACCACCUACGCCCUUGAGGACCAUCUCACCGCCGAGACGCCCUCCACCGAUCCAACAUGGCGCCGCCUCGACGUCUUGGUGCUCCGCUGGCUCUACGGCUCCAUGGCCAUGGACAUCGUCGACGUCGUCAUGCCCACCGACCCUGCCACCACCACGGCCUACAAGGUCUGGACCUCCGUCCUCGCUCUCUUCAACGACAACCAAAAGAGCCGCGAGAUUUAUCUCGCCGAGGAGUUCCACAACAUCAAGCAGGAGGAUCGGUCCAUCACCGAGUAUCUUCACCUGCAAAAGACGGUGGCUGACGCUCUUGCCGAGGUCGGUGCCCCCGUAUCUGACCCCGAGCUCGUCACCAACGUCAUCAAGGGCCUUCACGAGCGCUUCGACAGCGUUGCCGACAUCGCCCCCUCCUCACGUUGUUCCCUACCUUCCUCAACUUUCGCAACAUGCUGCUGCUCCACGAGAUGAAGACUUCCCGGCGCUCCACCAACACCUUAGCCUCCGCCUUCUACACCGCCAAAGGACCAGUCCCUGCUCCUCCCAGCGGCGGCGGGUCGUCCUCCGGCGGCGGUGCUCCUCCAAUGCCCACUCCGUUCAACCCUUGGACAGGAGCCAUCCAGAUGUGGCCCAUGCAGUCGCACCCCAACAGCACCGGCGACAUCCUUGGACGGGGUCUGGGAUCACGCGCCCACGCCUACAUGGCCGCUCCCCCGGCUUCUCUCGGCGCGCCCUACGGUGGCCAUAGCGCAGCUCCGUUCGGUGUCGUGCUGCCCUACGCCACAACACCGACGCCGACACCAUCAUGGGACACCGCCGCUCUCGCUCAACAGUUCACCAACAUGACGUUGCAUCAACCCUCUCCUGAGUGGGUCAUGGAUAGCGGCGCGACCGCCCACCUCUCCUCCGAUGUCGGUAUCUUAUCAUCUCUUUCUCCCCAUCCUAUAUAUCGUCACGUGGUGGUCGGCGACGGUUCCACCGUUCCCGUCACCACAUCCGGUCAUUCCUCCCUUCCCUCCCUCUUUCCCAAUAGACCUCUUCAUUUACGUCAUAUCUUAGUCACACCUAACAUUAUCAAAAACCUUAUUUCCGUUCGUCAAUUCACUACUGAUAAUCAUUGCAUCGUCGUUUUUGACCCUUUUGGUUUCUCUGUGAAGGACCUUCAUUCCCGGCGCGAGAUCCUUCGGUGCAAUAGUAUAUGGGAGCUCUACACGUUCACACGUCCUCCGCCUCCUCGCACCCUCGCCACGCUCACCGCCCCUCGUGACGUGUGGCACCGUCGCCUCGGUCACCCCGGCCAUGAUGCCUAUAGUCGCCUCUCGCAACAUAUUUCUCUUCCUUGUAUUAGACAAAUAAAUCAAACCACUUUAUGUCAUGCUUGUCAACUAGGAUGUCAUGUACGUUUACCUUUUUCCUCUUCCACUACUCGUACAACUCGUCCAUUCAAGUUAGUCCAUUGUGAUCUUUGGACUUCACCGAUCUUGAGUGUUUCUGGCGAUAAAUAUUUUUUAGUCAUUCUUGAUGAUUUCACUCAUUUUCUAUGGACUGUUCCGCUUCACCAAAAAUCUGAUGCUUACGCCUCGCUCUCCGCUUUUCGCGCGUUCGCUCACACUCAGUUUGGCUUAUCUCUCGUGUCCAUAGAAUGUGACAACGGUCGUGAGUUCGACAAUAACAAACUUCACUCUCUCGCCGCCACGCACAACAUUCACAUUCGCUUCUCUUGCCCAUACACAUCCCAACAAAAUGGUAAAGCUGAAUGCAUUAUUCGCACUGUCAAUGACAUUGUGCGUUCUCUCUUAUUUCAGGCUAGCCUACCACCUCGUUAUUGGGCCGAAGCACUUCACACCGCCACUCACGUCCUUAACCGUCUUCCUACAAAAACAAUUAGCGGCCCCUCUCCAUACUUUGCCCUUCACAACACCCAUCCCGAUAACUCGUCACUACGCGUCUUCGGCUGCCUAUGCUAUCCCAACACCGCCUCCACUAUGCCACAUAAACUGUCGCCGCGUUCGAGUGCUUGCGUUUUUCUUGGCUAUUCCUCUCAUCAUAAGGGAUAUAGGUGCAUGGACCUCACUACCCACCACAUCAUCAUCUCUCGUCACGUCGCAUUCGAUAAGAUGACCUUUCCCUUUGCCUCCCCACAGCCUACCAACGCCGCCACAUACGACUUUCUUGCCGCCGAUGACAACCUACCCAUAGUUGUCCCACCCCUUCCGAUUACUACCCCUCCACCCACCCCACCACCCUCCCUCCUCCCGCCCCUCCCUCACCACCUGCACCACCCUCACCACCUGGACCUCCCUCACCGGGCGCCCCUCCUGCACACACUCAUCGCACGCGCAACACCUCCGGCAUCCACAAGGGGCCUCGCAAGCGGCUUAACCUGCAUGUUUCGUCUGUCAGCAGGUACUCACCGGUUCCCACCUCCGCCUGUGCAGCUCUCAAGGAUCCCAACUGGCUCGAUGCUAUGACUGCGGAGUACCGCGCUCUCCUCAGCAACAACACUUGGGAUCUUGUGCCUCCUCCUCGGGAUGCUAACAACGUCUCCGGCAAGUGGGUUUUUUGCCACAAGCUCAAGCCCAAUGGCUCCCUCGAUCGCUAUAAAGCUCGUUGGGUGCUUCGAGGUUUCUCUCAGGAGCCAGGUGUCGACUUCGACAAGACAUUCAACCCGUUUGUCAAACCAGCCACCGUGCGUGUCAUCUUCUCCAUCGCGCUCUCUCUUAAUUGGGAGACUCAUCAGCUCGACAUCAAGAACGCCUUUCUGCAUGGCACUCUUGCUGAGGUUGUCUACUGUCGUCAACCCACUGGCUUCAUCGACUCCAGUUGCCCCGACCACGUCUGUCGGCUGAACCGUUCACUCUACGGUCUCAAGCAGGCUCCUCGUGCGUGGUACCAACGCUUCACUGCUUUCACCACUUCAACCGGCUUCAUAUGCUCACGCUCAGACACUUCGUUCUUCGCCCUCCGGUGUGCAGAAGGCACGGCCUUCCUCCUACUUUAUGUGGACGACAUCGUCCUCACCGCCUCGUCGACUCGCUUGCUCGACAUGAUCACGUCCUCUCUCCACGCCGAGUUCGCCAUGACGGACAUGGGCAUCCUCCACUACUUCCUCGGCAUCGCGGUUACCCGCAACUCCUCCGGCAUGCAUCUUUUGCAAGCUAAGUACGCCACGGAGAUUCUGGACAGGGCCGACAUGACUCCUUGCAAGUCGGCCACGACACCUGUUGAUACAUCACCGAAGCUCGCUGCUACUGCCGGUCCUUCAGUGGCCGAUCCCACGGAGUACCGGAGUCUUGUCGGCGCUCUCCAAUACCUCACUUUUAUGCGCCCAGACAUCGCGUAUGUCGUUCAACAUGUUUGCCUUCAUAUGCACGACCCGCGUGAGCAACACCUCGCCGCCAUCAAGCGCAUCUUGCGCUACGUCAAGGGCACGCUCUCAUGGCCUUCAGCUCUACUCGACUUCACCAAGCUCCAUGAUCGCCUACACCGACGCCGACUGGGCCGGCUGCCCCGACACUCGGCGGUCAACGUUAGGAUUCUGUGUUUACCUUGGAGAUAACCUCAUCUCUUGGUCCUCCAAGCGGCAACACACAGUCUCGCGUUCGAGUGCUGAAGCCGAGUACCGUGCCGUGGCAAAUGCCGUGGCUGAGGUGAGUUGGCUUCGGCAACUUCUCUAGGAACUUCAUCGACCAUCUCCUCCUGCGACGAUCGUCUUCUGCGACAACGUCAGCGCCGUCUACAUGUCCACGAACCCAGUGCAACAUCAGCGUACCAAACACAUCGAGAUCGAUCUCCACUUCGUUCGCGAUCGUGUUGCCAUGGGUCAGGUCCGUGUGCUUCAUGUUCCCUCGUCACGACAGUUCGCCGACAUCUUGACGAAGGGUCUUCCGUCGCCGUUGUUUUUGGAUUUUCGGUCCAGUCUCAACGUCCGUUCUCCUCCUGUUGUGACUGUGGGGGAGUGUUAGACUAAUAUGUCACCUAUCGUGACAUAUCUCCUUAUCCUCUAAAUCGAGGAGAAUCGACAUUGUUGUGAUCUCCCAUUUAUGGUUAGGAUUGUAAAUCUGUCUAUAUAUUGACAUGCAAUGGAAAAGCCCAAGUGUGGCAACAAUUCCUAAAUCUUUCACAGAUAUCAAAACUCGAGUGGAAGGGCAAUGAGUAGAGAUUGAAUUGGUUCAUUUUCUUCUAGAUGGACUGCAUUAGGGAUCGUACCUUGCAGUAUAUAGGAGAACAUGGAGAGGCGGCGGAGGAGGAGGAGCGGCGCUGGCAGAAGAGAUGCGGCCAUGCGGGGAAACCUGUUUUUUCUUUGGGUUUCCAUACGAAGACCUCUUUUUUUUUUCUUGUAAGGAGACGUACCUGUGAGAUAAUUUGCUAGGACUCUCAGGGAUUUCAUCUAACGGCUGCAGAUAUUUCAUACUGAUAUCUGAUGGUUAAUUUUAUUAGUUUUAUAGGAUUAACGUGACCCUUUUUAUUUGGGUUCCAUACAAAGAACUAUUUUUCUUGUAAGGAGACGUACGUGUGGGAUAAUUUGCUAGGACUCUCUUAGUGAUUUCAUCCAACGGCUGUAGAUAUUUUAUACUGAGAUCAGAUGGUUAUUUUUGUUAGUUUUGUAGGAUUAACGUGAUGCCUCGUUUGGUGCCUCCAAUUAGUAAAUAUAUAAGAUAAGAUAUAAGAUAUAAGAUAAGAUUGUGAGGUACUAAAAUUAAUUUUUUUGAAAGGAAAAGUUGAAACAGACACUCACUUCCAUGAACACGUGGACACACAACCGGUGGCUCCAUGCAUGCAUGCAUGAUACAUCGCACGCAGUACGCAAGCGGGCUGUUGCCAAGCUAACUAAUGGCGCCCGGCCGACAACACAGUACAGCUAAUAGAGCACUCGCUGCCAAACGCCUACGUGAGAGACCCUCGUGAGCCCAGCUAUACAACAUCCGCUCCUCCACCCAUCCUCGUUCACUCCGCAUCCGCAGCCGAAUUCCCCCGUCUCCACCGCUCAGCCCCCCGGACCGCCGGACCUCUCCUCGCCUUGCCAUGGCAGCCGCAGCACUGAGGGCGCAGCUGAACGCCCAUAUCGCCGGCAUGUACACCAAUGUGAGGCCCUUCCCCUCCCCUCUAGUCGUGUGGUAUUGGAUUUUGGCUUGGCUGGACGACUAACUUGGCCUUUGCCUUUGCUUUGGCGUGGUCGAUGUCGAUGCAGGGUGUGGUGGACGAGGAUACAUUCGAGGAGCUGCGGGACGAGGGCACCGCCGCCGAGGUCUCCCGCCUCUUCAUCUACGACGCCUCCGAGAUCAUCGACGACAUCGACCUCCUGAUGUCCGCCCCCACGCCCUCUGUCAUCUCUCCCUCUGCUCUCUGUCUCGGGAACUGACUCAUCUUAAUUAUCUGCUCUGGAAAUCGCAGGGAGGAGCCUGAAGUGGACUUUGACGAGGUGGAAGCCCUGACGCAGCAGCUCAUGCGGUGCACCUCCAGGUGAUGACUAUCAUAAACCAUUUCUCUCUCUUCCACCUGCUUAUUUUUAACUCUAUGUUUGUUUGCCCGCUGCGUCAAUGUCGUGCGAUUCGGAUCUGUUUAUACUGGGCAAAGGAUUCUUAUUUGUCGGUUGCACUACCCCAUAGGCGUAAUUAGAAGAAUCAAGUUUAGUCGCGUUUAGUGUAACAGAGUUACCAGUAUCCCGAUUAAUAUCAAUGUUAUGAUGAGGAUAAAUUGCUGGCAUUUUUGGAAUAGUCUUGGUAUUAAUGAUCUGCUAUUUUGUGUAUUGCUAAUGGUGUUUUUUCUGGUAUUAAUGAUCUGCUAUUCUAUGUAUCUCUAAUGGUGUUUUUUCUAGUUUGUCCACGGCUUUGAUGUUGUUUUUUAUUUUGAUGUGUCGGCACGGGGUGUGUACCUCACGACACGGCCACACAAUUGAGGUUUGUGUCGUUUUACAGGCGUCGUAUAGCCAUAGGUAGAAGAGCUGAGUUUAGUCAUAUAUCGUGUAACGAAAUUGUUGGUAUUCUUCCCAAUGUUAAUCAAAUCGUAUAGCUUGGCGAGGGGAAUUUUUGUCGUUUUACAAACGUUUGUUCUACUAUCAUGUCUGUUCUUCGGGCAAUGCCAUUAUUCUAGGUUGAGAAUGAAAAAAAUUGUCGUUUUAUAAGCAUGGCUGGUAUUAAUGAUUUGCAAUUCUACAUAAUGCCAAUGGCCAUGUUUCACCAUUGGAACGGUGUUGUUUCUAUUCAGAUUUGUCAGGCGCAGGGUGUGUACGUCAUGGACGUCAUUUGGGUGUCGUAUAUCCAAAAUUAGAAGACCUCAUUGUAGUUGUGUCUCGUGUAGCGGAAUUGUCGGUAUUCAUGACAAUUUCAUGGUCCGGCAAGAAAAACUUUGUCGUUUUCUAAAUAUUUCUGGUACUACUGAUCUGCUAUUGCACAUAGCGGCAAUGGUGUUUUUUUUUUCUGCUUCAUCAAACAAUUUAUGGAGUUGACAAUCAUGAUAGGAAAUGGCUCCUUGCGAAAUUAUUAUUGAGUUGACGUCUCAGUUUAUAAUAAGUUUGAUAAGUUCCUAAUUUCCUGAUCUGCAUUUUUUUUGCAUGUUUCAGUGUUGGUGCACAGCAAGUGAACCUCGCCUGCAUGCACUUCGGCAAUUUCUAUGCCAUACAAUACAAACAAGGGUCAGAACUUAGUAGCUUAUUUAAUACUGCUACACAAUAAUUAUUCCCAACAUUGUUUUUCAAUGUCUCUAUGUAAACCUGACAGCUCAUGUUGUCUUUUCUGUCGUUAUUUUCAGCUCAUAUACCAAUCUAACAUUGUUAAGAAGUAUCCUCAUUUGCUUUUUCACUUCAUCUGCAAUCACGUUAUUGAUAUUACUCGGUUCACUAUCUGAAUAUGCUACUCUUUGAUGGUUCUCUUGUAAUUUAUUGGCUCUAGACUUUUGUUUAUAGAACAACUAAAUUCUUAUAUGGCUAGAGAUUUUUCUCUUUUCAAAUAUAGGGUUACAAUUUUUGAACCAUUUCAUCUCAGUUCUGUUAACCUCUUCAGAAUUUGACAAUGUGGUAAUUUUGCAUUAUUUCAGGUGUCUCGUGUCAUUGACUCUUGUUAGGAAUGAGUUCUAUAUUGUGCGACAUGAGUUGGAGAUCGUGAUGCAGGUAGCACCGUAUGUGCAUAAUGUUGGAUGUUGAUACCAACUUUCCACUAGUUUCAUAACCCAUAGAUUGGUCAUAUUAAGAUAGAGAAAUGGGAACAAUCUUUAAUCCUUAAUCUAAUUCUUUUGACAUUUAGAUUUGGAGCACUUAGUUUGAGGUACCGAAAAGUCUCCUUUAGCCGUUAAAUGAUUAUGUGGUAAUUUUGUCAUCAUGUUCGGUAGAUGCAUAGGGUAGCUAAAAAAGUGGGAGAAAUUCUCUGUUUCCCAGCUUAAAUUAAGCUUCACCAAAUACCCAAAUAAGAAACUAGCUAACUUGUAACAUGGUGAUUAGUGAAACCAUGUGACUUGAGCACCAUUAUGUGCCAUAGACUUAUCUUAAUCAUUUUUCGGAAGGUACUUCUCUUAAUCAUUGACCUAUUAUUCAUAUUUUGUUGCAGCUCGAAGAGCAGAUCGCGGCAUGUGGUCCUGACUCCUAAGUAGCGGCAAGUGAAGGGGGAAGAGCCUGGCCCCAUGCAAUCCCUUGCAUUAUGCGGUCCAUGUGUCUCGGAAGAUGUAGCCGUUUUCAAAGGGUGUCUAGCACUAUAGGGUGCACGUAAAACUUAGAUGAAUAUUCUCGCGUCGGAACUUUGGGCUCGUAACCCUGUGAAAGAAAACUGUUGUCGUGUGUUGAUGUUAGUGUGAAGUCCAUAUUAUAGAGUGUCGUGGAUGUGUUGGCCCCCGCCUACGGGCUGUUUAUGAAACCUAUACUUGGUUGGUUGGUCCUCUAGUGACUUUGUUUUGCUGUUUCUUCUGUUUGUUUUUCUCUAUAAGCAAGUCUUGUUGUUAGUUGUUGUACCCAGAGUGUAGCCAAUCACCAUAUUUGGGCAUAUUAAACAUGUUGUUUCGGUCUGAAAUUUCAGCAUGGCCUUCUUAUAAGAGUACGACGGCACUUCCACGAGCAGUAGCCGGAGGAGGGGAAAAACAGAGGGGAUGGUCUGUGAGGUCACAUCCAGGGAUCACAAAGCUGUCGGUUCGCGAGACGACGUGAAGAGCAUCUCUGGGCUUGGGUAUGUUUGCAUUGGUAUGAAAAGUCUGGGCUAAUUAAGUCGCCAAUUACAGCUCCAACGAUGAUCGCUGGAACAUCAUACUACUCCUAGUCCACAUAGUUAUUUAGACUACCCUGAAUCACCAACUGGGCAAGAGAACAUGUGGCCAUCUUCGUCUUUGUCAUGUAGUGGCUGAUCUCACCUGUUGCAAACCAUGUUCUGAUGUGAAACUUCGGGUCUUUGAUGGUAGUAGAAACUGGUGUUAUUCAUCACCAUGGCUAGCCGAUGCUCGUACGGCCUCCCUUCCAUGACUGCUAUCGCUUCUCAUGCUGGCUCGCCAACUAGGGUAUGGUUGGUUGAUGAAAGAAAAACUCACACACCAAAUUUAGAUCCCGCUUUCUUAUAUAUGUGCAAAUUUUUUGGUACAACCAUGCUCCACAUCCAACUCUAUCUUAUUUUUCCAGAGUGGAGGAAGGGGACACUUUGCGGGACUUUCAGUAGAAAAUUUUCCAUACAGAUAGAAGCACCUAUUAAAAAGAUACUCCAAAGGCUUCCGGAUCAUAGUCUCAUUAGCUGAAGAACACACAUGCUAAUCUAUAUUAAGUGCAUUCAAAUCAUGCCUUUAUUAACUAGUCCAAGGCCUCAUCAGCCACAACAUCAUAAAUACAAAGAGGAAAAACAUGAAACCAAGUUUUACACAAAUCAUUGGGGCAACCUUCCCUUGCCAUGAUGGAAUUAGCCCUAUUAGUUGUUCUUCUAUUCCACUUCACCCGAUGCUCUUCUAAAGCAGAUAACAAGUCCAUUAUGUCUUCACAGAGAGGCCCCAUCUUGGGGGAGGGGGGGGGGGGUUAGUCUACAGAGUUCAACGUUAUAGCCACACCCUGAUUGUCAUUAAUGAAUACAAUUGUUUGGUCAAAUAUGUUGGUUGAGAGUAGUUCAUGAUGGCCUUUCUAGUUGGAGAGAAUAAUUCUUUCCUUGAUGAUUUCUCUUACAAAGAUCAAGCAUAUAUAUCGAGGGAGAGAGAACCCACUCCCCUGGAACGUAGGCAUGCAAGCCAUGAGAACUAGGAGAUCCUAACAAUGGUGCAUAGACGUCCUGCACAAACGGUUCUCCGUGUUAUGGCAGGUUACAUUCUCAUGUUUUUUUACUUUACAGUGCUUACAAGUUGAGAUUUGAAAAAAUCUAGCCUAGAACAUAAGUCAUCAAAACUCAUGGCAUUUUGAAACUUUAGUCAUAAAAAGAUAUCAAAUAUCAGACACAAAAAGGGACUGCUAGACAAAAACGCAAAAAGAAUGAAAAUAAAGAAGUGGCACAAUAGUUACCGAGCGUUGAUAUGUCUCCAACGUAUCUAUAUUUUUUAUUGUUCCAUAAUAUUAUAGCCCGACAGCCCCAUCCUCUACUCCAUCGAUGCGUCCACUGGGCGAGAUCGGUGGUGUGCCAUCUGAGGGAGUCCCGGAUUAGGGGGUGUCCGGAUGACCUGACUAUGACCUUUGGCCGGACUCCUGGGCUAUGAAGAUACAAGAUUGAAGACUUCGUCCCGUGUCCGGAUGGGACUUUCCUUGGCGUGGAACACAAGCUUGGCGCGGAUAUGUAGAUCUCCUCCCAUUGUAACCGACUCUGUGUAACCCUAGCCCUCUCCAGUGUCUAUAUAAACCGGAGGGUUUUAGUCCGUAGGACGAACAACAAUCAUACCAUAGGCUAGCUUCUAGGGUUUAGCCUCUCUGAUCUCGUGGUAGAUCUACUCUCGUACUACCCAUAUCAUCAAUAUUAAUCAAGCAGGAGUAGGGUUUUACCUCCAUCGAGAGGGCCCGAACCUGGGUAAAAACAUCAUGUCCCUUGUCUUCGUUACCAUCUGCCUAGACGCACAGUUCGGGACCCCCUACCCGAGAUCCGCCGGUUUUGACACCGACAUUGGUGCUUUCAUUGAGAGUUCCUUUGUGUCGUCAUCUUUAGGCCCGAUGGCUCCUCCGAUAAUCAACAACGAAGCGGUCCAGGGUGAGACUUUUCUCCCCGGACAGAUCUUCAUAUUCGGCGGCUUUGUGAUGCGGGUCAAUUCGCUUGGCCAUCUGGAGCAGAUCGAAAGCUACGCCCCUGGCCAUCAGGUCAGAUUUGUAAGUUUGAACUACACGGCCGACAUCCGCGAAGACUUGAUCUUCGGCGGAUUCGAGCCACAGCCGGGCGCGCCGCACUGUCACGAUGGGCAUGUUCUAACUCUGCCACCGAACAGUGUCCAGGAGGCCGCCCUAGCGUCCGAUCCGACCCUUAGCUCGAAGCCGACUGCGCCAAUCGAGGACGGGUGGCUGGACACCGCCUCGGGGGCUGCAAUCCCUACGGCGAUCGAGCCGAAUACCAGCCUUGUCCUUUACGAAGCUCGUGACUCCCAGGUGCCAGACUCCUUUCCAGAAUCCAAACCUUCCACGCCCCUGCCGAUCGAACCCGAUUGGGCGCCGAUCAUGGAGUUCGCUGCCGCGGACAUCUUUCAGCACUCGCCCUUCGGCGACAUUCUGAAUUCACUAAAGUCUCUCUCUUUAUCAGGAGAGCCCUGGCCGGACUAUGGUCAGCGAGGUUGGGAUGCAGACGACAAAGAAAUUCAAAUCCCACCCACCACCCACUUCGUAGCCACUGUCGAUGAUUUAACCGACAUGCUCGACUUCGACUCCGAAGACAUCGACGGUAUGGACGCCGAUGCAGGAGAUGACGAAGAACCAGCGCCUAUAGAGAACUAGAAGGCCACCUCGUCAUAUGACAUAUACAUGGUGGACACCCCCAAAGAAGGGAAUGGCGAUGGAACAACGGAGGUUGACCCCUCCAAGAAGCAGCCUAAGCGCCGGCAUCCGCGGCGCCGCUCUAAAUCCCGCCAAAGAAAAAACGAUGAUUCCGGCAUGGGAGAUAAUAACACCCCGGACAGUGCCGAAGACAACCCCCUCCAGCAGGAUUCAGCACAGGAGGAUGGAGAAGCCAGCCCUCAUGAGAGAGCGGCAGACAGAGAGGUAGAGGACGAUAAUCACAUGCCUCCCUCCGAAGACGAGGCAAGCCUCGACGACGACGAAUUUAUCGUGCCUGAGGAUCCCGUCGAACAAGACCGUUUCAAACGCAGGCUUAUGGCCACGGCGAGCAGCCUCAAGAAAAAACAGCAGCAGCUUAGAGCUGACCAAGACUUGCUAGCCGACAGAUGGACUGAAGUCCUUGCAGCCGAAGAGUACGAACUCAAACGCCCCUCCAAGAGCUACCCAAAGCGUAGGCUGCUAUACCAAUUAGAGGAGGAAGCACCUAAACCUACAUCACCAGCGCACGACGCGGCAGACCGGCCACCUCGUGGCCGCGACAGAGAGGCCUCUCGGCCAUCCACUCAAGCCGCACCCCGACGUCGCUCAAAAAAUACCAAGGCACGGGGAAAGGUGCCAGACCUGCGAGAUAUAUUGGAGGACAAGGCAAGGCAAACAAGAUAGACCUCCGGAUCGCGUGGGCGCCCCACGACACGUAACGAUAACCGUCAUGCCGGAUAUGGCAAAUACGGCCAGGCCAAACACAGCAGACAAAGCUCAUUUGAGCUACGACGUGAUAUAGCCCAGUACAGAGGCGCCGCACACCCACUAUGCUUCACAGAUGAAGUAAUGGAUCAUCAAAUCCCCUAGGGUUUUAAACCCGUAAACAUCGAAUCAUACGAUGGCACAACAGAUCCUACGGUAUGGAUCGAGGACUAUCUCCUUCAUAUCCACAUGGCCCGCGGUGAUGACCUACACGCUAUCAAAUACCUCCCACUCAAGCUUAAAGGACCAGCUCGGCAUUGGCUCAAGAGCUUACCAACAGAGUCAAUUGGUUGCUGGGAGGACCUGGAAGCCGCAUUCCUCGACAAUUUCCAGGGCACCUAUGUGCGACCACCAGACGCCGAUGACCUAAGCCACAUCAUUCAGCAGCCAGAGGAAUCGGCCAGACAAUUCUGGACAUGGUUCUUAACCAAGAAAAAUCAAAUAGUCGACUGUCCAGACGCAGAGGCCCUCGCAACCUUCAAACAUAACAUCCGUGACGAAUGGCUUGCCCGGCACCUAGGACAGGAAAAGCCGAAAUCCAUGGCAACCUUCACAACACUCAUGACCCGCUUUUGCGCGGGAGAAGACAACUGGCUAGCUCGUAGUAAUAACAUGACCAAGAGCCCUGGUAAUUCGGAUACCAAGGACAACAAUGGCAGGUCGCGUCGCAACAAAUACAAGCGCCACAUUAAUGGCGACAAUACUGAGGAUACGACAGUCAAUGCCGGAUUCCGAGGCUCCAAACCCGGUCAGCGGAAAAAGCCAUUCAAAAGAAGUACUCUGGGCCCGUCCAAUUUGGACCGAAUACUCGAUCGCUUGUGCCAGAUACACGACACCCCUGAAAAACCAGCCAAUCACACCAACAGGGAUUGUUGGGUGUUCAAGGAGGCAGGCAAGUUAAGCGCCGAAAACAGAGACAAGGGGCUGCAUAGCGAUGACGAGGAGGAGCCCCGACCACCGAACAAUAGGGGACAGAAGGGCUUUCCCCCACAAGUGCGGACGGUGAACAUGAUAUACGCAACCCACAUCCCCAAAAGGGAACGGAAGCGUGCACUCAGGGACGUAUAUGCCUUGGAGCCAGUCGCCCCAAAGUUCAACCCAUGGUCCUCCUGCCCGAUCACUUUUGAUCGAAGGGACCACCCCACUAGCAUCCGCCACGGCGGAUUCACCACGUUGGUUCUAGACCCAAUCAUUGACGGAUUUCACCUCACUAGAGUCCUUAUGGACGGCGGCAACAGCCUGAACCUACUUUAUCAGGAUACAGUGCGAGAAAUGGGCAUAGAUCCCUCAAGGAUUAAACCCACAAAGACGACCUUUAAAGGCGUCAUACCAGGUGUAGACGCCCACUGUACAGGCUCAGUUACACUCGAAGUGGUCUUCGGAUCCCCGGAUAAUUUCCGAAGCGAGGAGUUAAUCUUCGACAUAGUACCGUUCCGCAACGGCUAUCACGCGCUGCUCGGACGAACCGCAUUUCCAAAGUUCAAUGCGGUGCCGCACGACACAUAGCUCAAGCUCAAGAUGCCAGUCCCUCGAGGAGUCAUUACGGUUAAUGGAAACACCGAACGCUCUCUCCGAACAGAGGAGCAUACGGCGGCCCUCGCGGCGGAAGUACAAAGUAGCCUCUCAAGGCAAUUCUCCAGUCCAGCUAUUAAACGUCCAGACACCGUCAAGCGCGCCCGGAGUAACCUACAACAAGACCGCCUGACACGUUCCGAGCAAGUGUAGCAGUGCGGCCCCAACCCUAGCCCUCGCGAAAUUGCGAAACCAGUACCACGCGUACAUAAUUACGCUCUAGAAAUAUCAUGGGCAUAGGGGGAGGGGCACAACCAUGGCACGCCCAAAAUGCGGCUUAACCGCACUAGGGGCUCCCGAUUUUGUCAUUUCUUUUUUCUUACUUUGAGGACUCCAUUCUCCGGAAGGCCUGUCCGGCAGUACAAUCGCCAAACACACGAUGCAACAGCCAGGGAGGCAGCAAGCUACGUCAAAUAUCGAGGUGGUCUCUAUAACGAGCUAAAUACCUGUCUUACAUAAAGUCUCGCAGCUUGCCCUUGGAGGGGGACAUGUCAAAUAAUCCCAUCUCUUGCUUAUCGCACUAUUUGUAUCGUUCUGCUUUCACAGCAGCCUUUUAAUAAACAAUGCAUAGCUCUUGUCUAUUAUUGCUUUCUUUUUUAUGUAAAUAUGUUCAGUCAUGACAUUAUGCAACCGUACACUUUGGUACGGCCAACACACCAGGGGCUUAAGUACUCCAGAAUAUGGUGUGAGAAGUCCGAACACUCUCACGAGUGCGGCACCCCGAACUUAUAGCAUUAUAUGCAUCGGCUCCGAAUCAUGUCUUGGGUCAAUAGUUGGGUUUGCUCGGCUCCCAUGUUUUGGUACCUUACGUUCCGUUAUAUCGGCUAAGGUAGCGCUGGGAGAACUACUGCGAUUGUGCCCCAGUUGAGCUGGGUUAAGCACCUCAGUAGAGAAAGCUAAAACUGACUGUCAUGAUAGGGCGAGAGCCGGUCGCUGUUCGAGAGGUUUCGAGUCCCUAAAGACUUAUGCCGCUUAGAGCGAGGAGCUGGCUUUGUCCGGCCUAGGCGUGGAUAGCGCCCCGAACUCGGUCUUCCGAAUACUAGGGGCUUUGCCGAAAUUUAAAAUUAUAGAAUUCUAUGGCUAAGUGAGAGUGAUAAAGCAUUAUAGUCCAAUUGCCUUGUUCGUUGUGCUGAGCGCCUCCCUCGAAGCACCCAAUAAUGGGAACAAGAGCGCUCAGGUUUAUCCCAAACACCCCAGCACUCGUGGCAUGGGGGUAGAAGCCGACGACUCGCCAUCUCUCAGAUUUGAUAAAUGGCCGCACAGAAGGUAAUAUUGUAAAUUCAAAAAGCAUUGCUUAGCGCAUAUGAACAAGUCUUCAGCGCACAGGAUAACACGAGCGAGUUUACUCAAAUAUUACAUAUUUGGAACAUUCAUUCGCCACAAGGAGGGCACCCUUCAGGACACCCUCAUAAUACAUCUCGGGCUGCGAUGCUCCUUCCCCUCCGGUGGCCCAUCUGUCACCAGCUUCUCAGCAUCCAGCUUGCCCCAGUGUACUUUAGCACAGGCAAGGGCCCUACGGGCGCCUUCGAUGCAUACGGAGCGCUUGAUGACUUCAAGCCGUGGACAUGUAUCCACCAGCCGCCUCACCAGCCCAAAGUAGCUCCCGGGCAUGAGCCCCCAGGCCAUAGUCGGACUAUUAGGCCCUUCAUGGCCUGUUCGGCUACCUUAUGGAGCUCGACCAACUACUUCAGCUGGUCGCUCAAGGGCACCGGGUGUCCGGCCUCAACAUACUGGGACCAGAACACCUUGUCCGUCGAGCUCCUUUCCUCGGCUCGGUAGAAUGCGGCAGCAUCGGACACACUGCGGGGCACAUCUGCGAAUGCUCCUGGAUCCGGACUCGGGUAAGUAACAAGUAAUUCACUUUCACGUGCUUGCUUUGCAUAAAGAAUGCCUUAGCCGCCGCUAUCUUCUUCAUCGCCUCAAUUUCUUGGAGGGCUUUUUGGGCUUCGGGCUUGGCAGAUUUGGCGCUUUCAAGAGCCGAGGCAAGCUCGGACUCUCGAGUCUUUGAGUCAAGCUCCAAACUCUCGUGUUUUUCACAAGAGCGUGGAGCUCUUGCCGCACCUCCUCCACUUGCGCUCCUCCUUUUCUUGCUCGAUGCGCUCCACGGCCGCAUUGUCUUCGGCCUUGGACAGCGCUUCCUUCAGGGUCGCCACCUCGGUUGUGGCCCCUAUAACACUCACGUUGGUCCUGUCACUAUUUGCAACCAGGUAUUUUUAUAUACUUACAUAAGGUACUACUUACCUUCCUUGUCCUUGAGCUACUUCUUGGCAAGGCCGAGCUCGUUCUCGGACCACUCGAGGCUCUUCUUCAAUGCAUCGACCUCCGCAGUCAGUGCGGCAGAGGUCAGCAGCGCAACCUGCAUUCCCAUCUUGAUAUAUUUAUGUUAGACUCCUGCGUAUAUCUUUUUAGAUCCUCAGUCCGGAUUUUCUUUCCGAACACCAAACUGAGCAUCAGGGGCUACUGUCUAUGCGGUAAUAUUUUUACAUGUCUUAAAUACAUACCUCAAAACCUGUUAGAAGGCUGGCACAGGCUUCUGUCAGCCCGCUCUUGGCGGACUGAACCUUCUGGAUCACCGCACUCAUAAUAGUGAGGUGCUCCUCGUCGAUGGAGGCGCCGUUAAGCACCUCCAGCAAAUUGUCCGGUGCCUCCGGUUGGACGGAGGACACCGGCAUCGUAGGCUUGCCCUUCUUACGAGGGGGCCGCCUGCCGGAAUCCGGAACCACUGAGGGUUCCGGUGCGGUGUCCGGCCCAUGGCCGGACUUAGAUCCCUCUGGGGUUUCAUCCCCUUUGCGCCUGCAGCCCGGGAGGUCGCCUUGCGGCGCCUCCAGGACCACCUCCUCCUGGCUUAGCCCCUUUUGGGACUUCACCUCGGCAUCGUCCGCGGGGCGAGGGGAGGUAGCAGUCGGGAGUGAAAGACUAUUCACAUCCGACGAAUCCAGGGAGCCGCUCGACGAAGCAUCGAGCCGGGCCUUGGGCGGACUACAUGAUUAUAUUUGGCGUGAGAAGAUACUGUGCAAUAAAGGAACGCCAUGAGUUAUUCUGGUACCCGGAUACUGACGAUUUUGCCAGGGGCUUGGCGCUGGACGGCCACUCCUCUCCGCCGUCGUCGGCGCUGGUGGAGUAGUCCGGAAGAAGGGUCUUUCCCUUCUUGGACCCUCCGACCUCCCCAGUUGGGGCGGCCUUCCUUUUCUUUCCUCCCCCCGUUGGAGGGGGAGAGGCUUCUUCUUCCUCCUUCUCGUUUUCGGGGGAGGAGUGCGUUUCGGGGUCGUCAGGCGAUGAAUCUGACACCACCAGGCGCCAGGAACUCUUUCGAGUUCCCGUGGCCUUCUUCUUGGCCUUCUUCUUUGGCACCAUGUGAGGUGUCGGGACCAGAAGCUUCGCCAAGCGUGCAUCUACUGGGCCUUUGGGCAAAGGAGCCGGACAGUCAAUCUGUCUGGACGUCUUCUUCCAGUCCUGUCAAAGGAGCGGGAGCUUAGAUCCCGCGUAGAGUCAAACUAUGAAAAACAAGUAUCCUGUAAAGGGUAAAACAAGCUUACUGCGCUGGCUUGGCGCUUCGCGCAGAAUCCGCGAUCCUCGGUAAUGGGAGGGGAAACCUCGGAGCCCUUGAAUAGCACCUUCCAGGCGUCUUCGUGCAUUGUGUCAAAGAGCCUGGACAAAGUUUGAUGCUGGGCCGGGUCGAACUCCCACAAGUUAAAAGCCCGUCGUUGACACGGGAGGAUCUGGCGGAAGAGCAUGACUUGGACUACGUUGACAAGUUUAACCUUCUUGUCCACCAGGUUUUGGACCCAGGUUUGGAGUCCGGUCACCUCUUUCGGAUUACCCCACGACAGGCCCAUCCCUUUUCAGGAGGUGAGCCGUGUGGGGAUGCCAGAUUGGAAUUCGGGGGCCGCUGCCCAUUCAGGGUCACGCGGCUCGGUUAUGUAGAACCACCCCGAUUGCCACCCUUUGAUGGUUUCCACAAAGGAACCCUCGAGCCAUGUGACGUUGGGCAUCUUGCCCACCAUGGCGCCUCCGCACUCCGCUUGCCGGCCGCCCACAACUUUCGGCUUGACAUUGAAGGUCUUCAGCCAUAAGCCGAAGUGGGGCUUGAUGCGGAGGAAGACCUCUCACACGACGAUAAACGCCGAGAUGUUAAGGAUGAAUUUCAGGACCAGAUCGUGGAAAUCCAGGCCGUAGUAGAACAUGAGCCCCCGAACAAAUGGGUGGAGUGGGAAACCCAGUCCGCGGAGCAAAUGGGGGAGGAACACCACCCUCUCAUGGGGCCUGGGGGUGGGGAUGAGCUGCCCCUCGUCUGGAAGCCGGUGCGCAAUGUCGUUGGACAAGUAUCCAGCCUUCCUCAACUUUUUGAUGUGCCCCUCCGUGACGGAGGAGGCGAUCCACCUGCCUCCCGCUCCGGACAUGGCUGGAGAAGGUCGAGGUGGGAAGUUCGGACAUGGGCGCUGGAGCUCGAGUGCGCGGAAAUGGAUAAGCGAAGGAGGAAGAGGGCGUGGAUGGAAAAGGUGGAUCCUUAUCCCCUUAUAUGAGCGGACGAAACUGUGUGCCCCCACCAGCCUGGUAAAACUCGCUUAUCUCCCAAGUGCCGUGAUUAAUGGCACGGUUGGGUUACCCAUGCCCGUAUUGAUGAGAAUCCCGGAAUAAGAGGACAUGAUCUCUGCUUUGACAAGACGUGCCAAGGAAAUCGCCUCGCUGAACGCGCUGAGGUGGGACAGUAAAAUGAUUCGAAUGAAGGCUUGGCCGUGGGAUGAUGUCACGCUACGGAAUACGUUAGCAGAUUAGAUUUGUACAAACAUUAUUCUCUCUACGGUGGUAUAUAGAACUUAUUUUGCAGAACCGGACACUAUCCUUGUGUUCGAAAUCUUCUAUGAAGUAUUCGGAGGAGGAACCCGCCUUGCAAUGCUGAAGACAAUUUGUGCGCCGGACUCGUUGUCAUUGAAGCCUGGUUCAGGGGCUACUGAGGGAGUCCCGGAUUAGGGGGUGUCCGGAUGACCGGACUAUAACCUUUCGCCGGACUCCUGGGCUAUGAAGAUACAAGAUUGAAGACUUCGUCCCGUGUUCGGAUGGGACUUUCCUUGGUGUGGAAGGCAAGCUUGGCGAUACGGAUAUGUAGAUCUCCUCCCAUUGUAACCGACUCUGUGUAACCCUAGCCCUCUCCGAUGUCUAUAUAAACCGGAGGGUUUUAGUCCGUAGGACGAACAACAAUCAUACCAUAGGCUAGCUUCUAGGGUUUAGCCUCUCUGAUCUCGUGGUAGAUCUACUCUUGUACUACCCAUAUCAUCAAUAUUAAUCAAGCAGGAGUAGGGUUUUACCUCCAUCGAGAGGGCCCGAACCUGGGUAAAAACAUCGUGUCCCUUGUCUGCUGUUACCAUCCGCCUAGAUGCACAGUUCGGGACCCCUACAAGAGAUCCGCAGGUUUUGACACCGACACCAUCCUCACAUUAGGGGGUUCAACCCCCCAUCUCAACUGCGAUUCCUGGAUCAUCAGGGACACCUCCUCUCCACUCCAUCUCCCACAUGAUGGCCCCUCUAGCACUAGAUACUUAAUGAGUGAUGGUGGUUCACAUUUUAUUCAUGGUGCUUUUCGUAAAAUGCUUGCUAAGUAUGAUGUUAAUCAUAAAAUUGCAUCUCCAUACCAUCCACAGUCUAGCGGUCAAGUAGAAUUGAGUAAUAGAGAGAUUAAAUUGAUCUUGCAAAAGAAUGUUAAUAGAUCUAGAAAGAAUUGGUCCAAGAAACUUGAUGAUGCAUUAUAGGCCUAUAGAACUGCAUAUAAAAAUCCUAUGGGUAUGUCUCCGUAUAAAAUGGUUUAUGGAAAGGCAUGUCACUUACCUCUCAAACUAGAACAUAUGGCAUAUUGGGCAAUUAAAGAGCUCAAUUAUGAUUUCAAACUUGCUGGUGAGAAGAGGCUUUUUGACAUUAUCUCACUUGAUGAAUGGGGAACCCAGGCCUAUGAGAACGCCAAACUAUUGAAAGAAAAAGUUAAAAGGUGGCAUGACAAAAGGAUACAAAAGUGGGAGCUUAAUGUAGGUGAUUAUGUUUUGCUAUACAACUCUCGUUUAAGAUUUUUUGCAGGAAAACUUCUCUCUAAAUGGGAAGGUCCUUACGUUAUCGAGGAGGUCUAUCGUUCCGGUGCUAUCAAAAUCAACAACGCUGAAGGCACAAAUCCGAAGGUGGUGAACGGUCAAAGAAUCAAACAUCAUAUCUCAGGUAAUCCCAUAAAUGUUGAAACCAAUGUUAUUGACACCGUAACCCCGGAGGACUACAUAAGGGACACUUCCCAAAAUGUUUUAGACUCCAAAAGGAAUAGGUAUGUGGUACGGUAAGUAAACUGACUCCAAAACAGUUAUAAUAGCAAAUUUUCUCUAUUUUGGAAUAUUUAAAAAAUUAGGAAAAUAAGAAGUAGUCCGAAGGAGACACGAGGCAUCCACGAGGGUGGAGGCAUGCCCUACCCCCUGGGCGCGCCCCCUGCCUCGUGGACACCUCGUGUGCCCUCCGGAUUCCGUGUUCUUGCAUGAUACUUAUUUUUGUUGGUAAAAAUUCAUUAUAUAAUCUCCCAAAGGUUUUGACCAUCGAACCAUGAAAAAAUCAUCUGCUUUUGUUUUGAGCGGUUUUUCUGACAGAUCUAGAUCACCAUGGCGUCUUCAAGCGCCCCCAAGGACAAGUUUUCAAGUGCCAAGGGAUGGUGGAACACGGACUCAACGCCAACCACAUGAUGGUCGCGGAGUUCACCAACAACCACAAGUUGGAUGCCAAGAACAUUGGGGAGACCAUCUUGAAGCUUCAUGAGAAAAUCGAGCACCUCCAAGCCUAGAUCUAUGACUUGCAAAACCAAAACUGUGAGUAUGAAUAUAGAUUCAAGAGGAUGAGUUUGGCUGCAGAUUUGAGGAUCCCGGAGACUCGAUCAUCCUUCUAUGAUGGUGAGCCUAUGCCCUGGAAGAUGGACCACAAGCCUACAUCAUCAACAACUCCAUCAUCACCCCCCCAAGAAAGAGACAUAAACACAUGGGUAUGGGCACUCCCCUUGGCAACUACCAAGCUUGGGGAAGCUGCCCCGGUAUCGUAUCACCAUCACAUUUCUAUCUUUACCGUUUUUCUUAGUUCGAUCCUUUUGGUUAUAUCUUGAUCUAGUAGAAUAAAGUUUUAGUUCGAUCUAGCUUUGAUUUUUGUGUUGAUACCUAUCUAUUUAAUCGAGUCCGUGAGCUAUAUAUAAUAAAGAUUAGUUUUGAGUUGAGGGCUUUGCUAUCUUGCUAUGAUAUUGAGGGAAUAAAAGAAAAAGAAAGAAUAAAAAUAAAUAAAAAGAUCAUAUUGACCUUUUGGAGAGUAAUGACUUUACACAUAAAGAGUAUGAUGAAUAAAAGUUGUUGAGAGUUGACAAACAUAGUUUUGGUCAUCGUGGCAAUUAAUAGGAAGUAAUAAACAAAGAGAGGUUUUCACAUAUAAAUAUACUAUCUUGGACAUCUUUGAUGAUUGUGAGCACUCAUUAAAAUAUGACAUGCUAAAAAGUUGAUGUUGGACAAGGAAGACAACAUAAUGAGUUAUGUUUGCUUAUAUCCUAAAUAAAUUAUAUUGUCAUGGAUCAUCCAACAUGUUGAACUUGCCUUUCCCCCUCAUGUUAGCCAAAUUCUUUGCACCAAGUACAGAUACUACUUGUGCUUACAAACAUCCCUAAACCCAGUUUUGUCAUGAGAUUCCACCAUACCUACCUAUGGAUUGAGUAAGAUCCUUCAAGUAAGUUGUCAUCGGUGCAAGCAAUAAAAAUUUCUCUCUAAAUAUGUAUGAUCUAUUAGUGUGGAGAAAAUAAGCUUUAUACGAGCUUGUGAUACGGAAGAAAUAAAAGCGACAGACUGCAUAAUAAAGGUCCAUAUCACAAGUGGCAACAUAAAGUGACGUUCUUUUGCAUUAAGAUUUUGUGCAUCCAACCAUAAAAGCACAUGACAACCUCUGCUUCCCUCUGCGAAGGGCCUAUCUUUUAUUUUUACCUUCUACCCUUAUACAAGAAUCUUGGUGAUCUUCACCUUUCCUUUUUAUACUUUAUCCUUUGGCAAGCUCUGUGUGUUGGAAAGAUCCUGAUAUAUAUAUAUCCAAUUGGAUGUGGGUUUUCAUAAAGUAUUAUUGUUGAUAUUACCCUUGAGGUAAAAGGUUGGGAGGCGAAAGUAUAAGCCCCUACCUUUCUCUCUGUCCGAUUGAAACUUCAUAUUCAUAAGUAUCGCGUGAGUGUUAGCAAUUGUGAAAGAUUAAAUGAUAAUUGAGUAUUUGGACGUGCUGAAAACCUCUUAUAUUGACUCUUUCCGAUGUGAAGAUAAAAUUGCAAUUGCUUCAAUGACUGAGAUUAUAGUUUGCUAGUUUGCAAUGAAGUUUCUGAUUCAUACUUUACAUUGUGAAUAGAUUGUUACUUUAGCAUAAGAAAUCAUAUGAAAAUAUAUAUGUUGCUGUUCUAAGAAUGAUCAUGAUGCCCUCAUGUCCGUAUUUUAUUUUAUCGUCACCUCUAUCUCUAAACAUGUGGACAUAUUUUUCGAUAUCGGCAUCCGCUUGAGGACAAGCGAGGUCUAAGCUUGGGGGAGUUGAUACGUCCAUUUUGCAUCAUGCUUUUAUAUCAAUAUUUAUUGCAUUAUGGGCUGUUACUACACAUUAUGUCACAAUACUUAUGCCUUUUCUUUCUUAUUUUACGAGGUUUACAUGAAGAGGGAGAAUGCCGGCAGCUAGAAUUCUGGGCUGGAAAAGGAGCAAAUAUUAGAGGCCUAUUCUGCACAACUCGAAAAGUCCUGAAACUCCACGAAAGUCAGUUUUGGAAUAUAUUAAAAAUAUUGGGCGAAGAAAGCACCAGAGGGGGGCCACCCACCGUCCACGAGGGUGGAAGGCGCGCCCUACCCCCUGGUUGCGCCCCCUGCCUCAUGGGCCACCUGGCAGGCCCCCGAUCCCCAUCUUCUACUAUAUGGUGUCUUUUGCCCUGGAAAAAAAUCAUAAGGUAGAUUUCGGGACGAAGCGCCGCCGUCUCGAGGCGGAACCUUGGUGGAACCAAUCUAGGGCUCCGGUGGAGCUGUUCUGCCGGGCAAACAUCCCUGCGGGAGGGGGAAAUCAUCACCAUCGUCAUCACCAUGGAUCCUCUCAUCGAGAGGGGCCAAUCUCCAUCAACAUCAUCACCAACACCAUUUCCUCUCAAAACCUAGUUCAUCUCUUGUAUCCGAUCUUUGUCUCAAAACCUCAGUUGGUACAUGUGGGUUGCUAGUAAUGUUGAUUACUCCUUGUAGUUGAUGCUAGUUGGUUUAUUUGGUGGAAAAAUCAUAUGUUCAGAUCCUUUAUGCAUAUUAAUACCCCUAUGAUUAUGAACAUGAAUAUGAUUUGUGAAUAGUUAUGUUUGUUCCUGAGGACAUGGGAGAAGUCUUGUUAUAAGUAGUCAUGUGAAUUUUGUAUUCUUUGAUAUUUUGAUGAGACGUAUGUUGUCUCUCCUCUAGUGGUGUUAUGUGAACAUCGACUACAUGAUAGUUCACCAUUGUUUGGGCCUAGGGGAAGGCAUUUGGAAGUAAUAAGUAGAUGAUGGGUUGCUAGAGUGAUAGAAGCUUAAACCCUAGUUUAUGCGUUGCUUCGUAAGGGGCUGAUUUGGAUCCAUAUGUUUCAUGCUAUGGUUAGGUUUACCUUAAUUCUUCUUUCAUAGUUGCGGAUGCUUGCGAGAGGGGUUAAUCAUAAGUGGGAUGCUUGUCAAAGGAAGGGCAGUACCCAAGCACCGGUCCAACCACAUAUCAAAUUAUCAAAGUAACGAACGUGAAUCAUAUGAGCAUGAUGAAAACUAGCUUGACGAUGAUUCCCAUGUGUCCUCGGGAGCGCUUUGCUUUAUAUAAGAGUUUGUCCAGGCUUGUACUUUGCUACAAAAAGGAUUGGGCCACCUUGUUGCACCUUGUUACUUUUGUUACUUGUUACCCGUUACGAACUAUCGUAUCACAAAACUAUCUGUUACCAAUAAUUUCAGUGCUUGCAGAGAAUACCUUACUGAAAACUGCCUGCCAUUUCCUUCUAUUCCUCAUUGGGUUCGACACUCUUACUUAUUGAAAGGACUACAAUAGAUCCCCUAUAGUUGUGGGUCAUCAAAUAGUACAUAACAUAACUUGAGCUUUAGAUUUGGCUCAUUAUCACACUGAUGUCAAAUUUGUCAUUUUUGUAUCUUAAAAAUGUUAUAAACUUUAAUACAAAAUUUUUGUGACAUCAUACAUUGAUGUGCGUUAAUGUGCUAGAUUUUUUUGACUUUUUAAAAUGUUCUAUUGCAUCCGGUGCACCGGUAGCACCAUUACUACGGGUGCAUAGGAUACAUCCCCGCGAGCGAUCCGUGGAUGGCUUGGUGCGGACGGGCGCGUGCGGGCCGAUCCAUAUAUUCCUGAACUCGGAUCUAGACACAAGAUCCUCCGUUGCAUGCCACAUCCAUGGCUCUAGUGAGCCAGAUCCGCACAUGUGAUAUGUCUCCAACAUAUUUACUUUUUGUUUUGGCCUCUAAUUUAUAUGAUUUGAAUGAAACUAACCCAAACUAACGUUGUUUUAAGUAGAACUACCUUGAUGUUAUUUUUUGUGUAGAAAUAAAAAUCUCAUAAUUGGACGAAACUUCGUACAGAUUUUUUAUGGAAUAAAUAAAAAAUACCGGAGCCAUCGGCAUCCAUACCAAGAAAAUAAGAGAGAAAGUAAUUUGGGAGCUGCCACCAUCUCUUGUCUUCAUUGGGAGCCCUGAUCUGGAGUCCAUUCCUAGCUCCCGAGAGAGGGAUUCGUCGUGGUUGUAAUCACCAACCCUUCUCCAUCAAUAAUUUCCUGAUUCUCACCACCAAGAGUGUGUAAUCCCUUGCAUGCAUACUAGAGGUAGAGUAAGAUGAAUGAGAUUUCCUAUGUAAUCAUGUCAAUUUGUUAGGGCUUGAUCCCUAGUAUGCACUAUGUUCUGAGAUUGAAGUUGUUAUGACUUUCUUAUACUUAAUGCUUGUCAGUAGGGCCCAAGUGUCAUAAUUUCAGAUCUAAACACUUAUGCUUCUUUGAAUAUAUUUGACAUGCUGAUCUUACCUGCAAGUUGUAUACACCUGUUAUCAUUCCAAAUCUUAGACUUCCAAGUUGACCAUUGAAAGUGCUAGCUAUCGACUAGAGGGGGGGGUGAAUAGGAAAUUUUUAUAAAAGUCUUCAAAACAUGCAAUGUCUUCGAAAACGCAGAAGAAAAACAAUCACUAAACAGGAUACAUCGGAAUAUAAACCACACUAGACAUGUCGGUAUGUCAACAAAAAUUGACGUAAGAUGCGAAGAUAGAAAACAACUAGGUAGUUCAGAACAAUGAGAAGAUAGUGUGAAGACAAAUAUGUAAUCAGAGGAAAUGUCUUCAUACAAUGUCUUCGAAUAGUAUGAGCACACAAAGGCUUCACGAAACUAAACAGAAAGUAAAGGAGUGAAGUGAUAGAACCAGUUGCUCAUAGAAGACAUGUGAUUUGUUUGACCAAUUCCAGCUGUUGUGACAGCUAUAUGUUUGGUUAAGGAGGCUGAGAUUGAAAUCUGAAGACUUAGUCUUCACCUUAUUCCCCGUAAGCUAAUAUCCGCAAAUCUCACCCAAUCACUCGGGGAAGUCUUCUAGGUAAACUUCCAAACCUUCACAGACUUUGUUCACUAGCAAUCCACAAUGACUCUUGGAUGCUCAGAAUUUGACACCUAACCGGUUGGAAGAUCACAGUCUUCAAGUGUAAUAAGUCUUUGGUUCACGCAGAACAGAAAGGCUUCAGUGAUGCUCAAUCACUUUGGGCUCUGGGUGUUUUGGGUUUGUCCUCGCAAGGAAUUUCUCUCAAGGCUUAAGAGGUGGGUUGCUCUCAAACGAUAACAACCAUGUAAUAACUCGAAACAACCACCAACUUAUGCUAGAGGUGGUGGGCUAUUUAUAGCCAGGAGGCAACCCGACAUGAUAUGACCAAAAUGACCCUGGGUCAAUGGGCAACCGACAUGUGUCCAACAACCGUAUUUCAAACACACGCGAUAACUUUACUUGAGCUCCAACUAAAGCUAACUCAACAAACGUUGGAAAAGGUGUUCUCUCACUGUCUUCACUGGAAGACAUCAAGUCAGUUUCUAACUUUGUUUACCUCGACCCCAUUUAACAAUACGGUGGUUCCUAUGGCUCAAGAAAGGCGAAAAUGAAACUAUCAAAAGACUGUCUUCGUGCUCCAUUGUAUUCAAGCGAAAGUCCUCAGUCCCAUUGUCUUCAAAUAAAUGUCUUCCCUUACCACCAUUAUCUUUAAUGUCUUCAUACAUGUUUAGGAGUCAUAUUUGAUUGGUAAGCCAAAUCUCUAGGGACUUCUAUCUGUGUUCUCCUGUGAAUCUCAUAAAUAGAUUAGUCCCUCAACCAAAUUUGUCGUCAAUACUCCAUAACCAAUGAUAUGUCCAUUUUGCAUCAUGUUUUUAUAUUGAUAUUUAUUGCAUUAUGUGUUGUUAUUACGUAUUUACGUACAAUACUUAUGUCUUUUCUCUCUUAUUUUACAAGGUUUACACAAAGAGGGAGAAUGCCGACAGCUGGAAUUCUGGACCGGAAAGGAGCAAAUCAGAGAGACCUAUUCUGCAUAACUCCAAAAAUCCUCAAAAUUUACAGAGAAUUAUUUUGGAAUAUAUAAAAAAUAUUGGGCGAAGAAAAUACCAGAGGGGACCCACCAAGUGGCCACAAGGAUGGGGGCGCGCCCUACCCCCUGGGCGCGCCUCCCUGUCUUCAGGGCCCCUUGGCAAGCCUUUGGUGCCCCUCUUCUACUAUAUGAUGUCUUUUGACCUGGAAAAAAUAAAUCAGAAGAGAGCUUUCAGGAUGAAGUGCCGCCGUCUCGAGGCGAAACUUGGGCAGAACCAAUCUAAGAUUCAGGUGGUUUAGAUUGCAAGGUGGCGUUGCAGAUAUACAUUAGAAGAGCGCAACUACCUAUAGAGCAAUCAUAACUGAGAUCAUAGAUCGGAAGGCUACUUUUACUAAUAGUACAUUAGCCAUGAAUUUAGGAGCUUGAAUGUUGAAGCUCACAAACUCGUGAAGCAUGCUUUAUCCCUAGGGGUUGACCGCCAUGUUUGGUUAGGUAACCCCAUAGCUGAAGUUGUCUCGCCUUGCUUCAAAUCUACUGGGCGUGCGCUGCGAUUUUGACCUAACGGCCUCCAUUUGCUGGAAUUAAUUGGAAUAGUUGAGAAGAAAGUGACAAACGAAUGCGUAAUGCGUGGGAAUCUGCCGAAUAGUUCAGGUCGAAUCCCGAAGAAAGUUGAAAACGCUGUUUGAUGAGCCUACGUAGUAUUAGUUCGUUGGUCAGGUAAAGGUUGGCCAGCCAAUGAUGCUUAGCUGGUCUUUUUGAAUGUUUAGCCACACUGGGACUGAGACAUAGCCCAGACUCCCAUGGGGGGCAGCAGAGGGGAAUCUUGGACAAUGGGUGAAAGCCCGAUCUAGCAAUAUCGCGCGAGUGAAGAAGGUCAAUGCUCCUUUUAAAGCUCUUAUGUUGAGUGCGCGAUCAUGACAUAUCUCGAGGAAGAAGCCCCGGNNNNNNNNNNNNNNNNNNNNNNNNNNNNNNNNNNNNNNNNNNNNNNNNNNNNNNNNNNNNNNNNNNNNNNNNNNNNNNNNNNNNNNNNNNNNNNNNNNNNNNNNNNNNNNNNNNNNNNNNNNNNNNNNNNNNNNNNNNNNNNNNNNNNNNNNNNNNNNNNNNNNNNNNNNNNNNNNNNNNNNNNNNNNNNNNNNNNNNNNNNNNNNNNNNNNNNNNNNNNNNNNNNNNNNNNNNNNNNNNNNNNNNNNNNNNNNNNNNNNNNNNNNNNNNNNNNNNNNNNNNNNNNNNNNNNNNNNNNNNNNNNNNNNNNNNNNNNNNNNNNNNNNNNNNNNNNNNNNNNNNNNNNNNNNNNNNNNNNNNNNNNNNNNNNNNNNNNNNNNNNNNNNUGGAAUGACUGGGUGUAAAGGGCAUGUAGGCGGCGGGUUGAAAAUGAAACUGUGAAAAUCAUAAAAAGUGGCGGAAUGCUCUCGAAACCAAUUCACUUAAGUGAGACAGAGGAGAGUGGGUGAUUUUCUAUUCGUCCCUAUAAACACUACUCAUCAAUCCAUGUAGGUGCACGGGCUAGAUAUACCAUCAUAGAAUCUUGUAAAUAUACUUUGUAAGCCUAUAACUGGAAACAUAAAACAUGGAACAUGCUUUUCAGUUUUUAUUUUAUAGUGGUGUUUAGUCUUCAAAUUUCAGGCAAAAUUAAAAGUGGACACGUAUAAAUUCUCAAGUUCAUUGAUCAAGCGCAUGCAGUUGUUAUGGUAUACAAAAUCGAACAUGUUGAAGACUCACAUGCAUAUUUGUAGGAAAAACUAAAAAAAAUUGUAAUUAUUUCUUACAUCAUUACAUUCAAACCCACACAAAGAAAAUAGUCAAAUAAACAUCAUUUUUCUUUAAACAGAAGGAUCCAACUAACGCCAUAAAAUGUAUCUUUUCCUUAUAUUGGCCAAUUAUUGCUCAUAGCUGUGCAUGUGCUGUGUAAAUAAGAUUUAGAUAUGGUACAUAGAACUGUUGUUAGAUUUAGAUCAUAGCUUCAGUGUGAAUGUUGCUGCAAUGGCACAGAAGUAUGAUCGGUUUGGCAUCAUCUGCUUUGCGAUGAUCCACUCCCGUGCACAGGCUCUAUCCUACGGAUCGUCCUAUCGGACAGCUAGCAGUAUAUGUCAUGCCAAAAGCUUCUUGACCAACAUAUGUGCUAGUAAAUCUAAUUACUCUAAAUUAUGAAAAUAUAGUUAUUCUGAAUUAUGAAAAUAUAAUUACCCUAAACUAUAUAUGUACCUUAGAUCGUAGAGGCCACCAUCGAACAGAACUAUAUAGGGAGUAGUUGUGCGGUAGUAUUGUUGAGAUGUAGAAGUGGAAAAGCAACAAUGCAUAACAAAAUCAUAUUCUAUCACACGCUUAGCUUAUACUAUGUAUAUUGGCACACAUUUUCUUUGCAUAUGCACCUGGUAGAUUAAACAAUGGAAGCAAACACAGUAGGGCAAACCAAUUUCAGAUUUUUAUCUCAAAUCAAAAGCCUAGAAAAGGUGAAUCUGCCGAAUAGUUCGGGCCGAAUCCUGAGGAAAGUUCAAAGCGCUGUUUGACGAGCCUACGUAGUAUUAGUUAGUUGGCCAGGUAAAGGCUGACAAGCCAAUGAUGCUUAGCUAGUAUUUUUGAAUGAUUAGCCACACUAGGACUGAGACAUGGCCCAGACUCCCAUGGAAGGCAGCAGAGGGAAUCCUUGACAAUGGGCGAAAGCCCGAUCCAGCAAUAUCGCGUGAGUGAAGAAGGUCAAUGCUCCUUGUAAAGCUUUUACAUUGAGUGCGCGAUCAUGACAUAUCUCGAGGAAGAAGUAACUCCAUGCCAGCAGCCGCGCUAAGACGGGNNNNNNNNNNNNNNNNNNNNNNNNNNNNNNNNNNNNNNNNNNNNNNNNNNNNNNNNNNNNNNNNNNNNNNNNNNNNNNNNNNNNNNNNNNNNNNNNNNNNNNNNNNNNNNNNNNNNNNNNNNNNNNNNNNNNNNNNNNNNNNNNNNNNCAUGUACUCUUUGGAAUGACUGGGUGUAAAGGGCAUGUAGGCGGCGGGUUGAAAGUGAAGCUAUGAAAAUCAUAAAAAGUGGCGGAAUGCUCUUGAAAUGAAUUCACUUAAGUGAGAUAGAGGAGAGUGGAUGGUUUUCUAUUCGUCCCUAUAAACACUAGUCAUCAACCUGUGCAGCUGCACGGGCUAGCGACUUGAGUCCGAAAACUUUGUGUUUAAUAUACUUUGGAAAAAGAAUAAACAUUGAAUAACAUUCAUAAUUUCUAAUUAUAAGUGUACUUUUUGAAAUCACGGUUACAUUGUUUAGCCUUUCAAGCAAUGCACAACAAUAAUUAGUGGCAAUGCACAACAAUAACAUUCAUAAUUUAUAAUUUCAACCGAGCAUACCACAUCACCUUGGCAGGAAUCUUCUUCCUGGAGCGCUCGCCCUCGACAUCUCCAGGGUCAUCGCGGCUGAUCUUAUAGCGCAAUGCACCACAUACGAGGAACGCGUUCAAAUCCUCAUACUCACCACAGUAGAGGAUGCAGUCAUUAGGGCAUGCAUGUAUCUUCUGCACCUCUAAUCCUAGAGGGCAGACGACCUUCUUUGCUUCGUACGUACUCGGGCAAUUUGUUGUCCUUUGGAAGCAUCUUCUUUAACAUUAUCAGCAACUUUCCAAAUCCCUUGUCAGAUACACCAUUCUCUACCUUCCAUUUGCAACAAUUCUAGUGUGGUGCCCAGCUUUUUCUUGUCAGCUUCACAAUUUGGGUACAACAAUUUCUUGUGAUCCUCUAACAUGCGCUACAACUUCUUCUCCCCCUUUUCACUUGUGCAGUUUCUCUUUGCAUCAGCAAUGGCACGACCUAGAUCAUCAGCGGGCUCAUCUGAUGCCUCUUCUUUAGCUUCUUCCCGCAUUUCCGGCUCAAUUUCUUCCCCCAUUGUUGUACCAUCGUUCAGGGAACCCAUGGCCAGGAUAGCUAUCGUCGUCCUCUUCUUGUUCACUGUCUUCCAUCAUAACCCCUAUUUCUCCGUGCUUAGUCCAAACAUUAUAGUGGGGCAUGAAACCAGACUCAAACAGGUGGACGUGAAUGGUUCUUGACUUAGAGUAAUUCAGAUCAUUCUUACAGUUAGCACAUGGAAAAGGCAUAAAACCAUCCGCCCGCUUGUUUGGCUCAUCUGCAAGCAGAAACGUAUGCACACCAUUAAUGAACUGGGGAGAGCAUCGGUCAUCGUACAUCCACUGCCGGUUCAUCUUCAUUUACACAACACCGAAAAGACCAAAUUAAUACAAGUUCAUACAAAACAACAUACAAAUAACUCUGUAGCUAAAGUAUUUAAAUGCAACAACAAAUGCGAUCAAGAUCGCAACUAAGGUAACAAUUGAUCCAACAACAUAAUGAUACCAAGCCUCACUAUCGAUGGCAUAUUUUUUAAUCUUUCUAAUCUUCAAGCGCAUUUUCUCCAUCUUGAUCUUGUGAUCAUCGACGACAUCGGCAACAUGCAACUCCAAUUCCAUCUUCUCCCCCUCAAUUCUUUUCAAUUUUUCUUUCAAAUACUCGUUUUCUUUUUCAACUAAAUUUAACCUCUCGAGAAUAGGGUCGGUUGGAAUUUCUGGUUCACAUACCUCCCAGAUAAAAAUAUCUGUCAACUUGAUGGGUAUAAUUUGUCAUAAACACGAAAUGCAACAAAUAGUUAUAAAAGGGAAUAUACCACAUCCGAAUCAUGACCCGGACGAGGGCCAACGGGGACGGAUAUCAAAACCAUGGCACUAUGUAUAACAAACAAUAUACAUGUAAGAUAAUUAUACAAGUAACUAUAUAUCUAAAUAACAAAAACAUGAUUUUUCUUAUAUUAAAAAGAUAAGAACAAGAGACUCAUCACAAGGUGGUGCCGGCGACGGGACGGUGCGGGCGGUCGAUGGUGGUUAGGACGGAGACGGGAAGGCACUAAGUAAACCACACCUACAUAUGCAAACUAAGAGUUAUUUUGACCUCAAAUUGCAUAUAAAUCAAAUAAACUACAACAUAUAUAUAAUUCCUCCCAAACUAAAAACCCACAAAUCACUAUACUUAUAGAGCAUUGCAAGAGCUAAUGUAACAAUGAGAGAUGAAAGGACAGUGUUGCUAACCUUUGUGAUCACUUGGACGGAUGGGGUGCCUUCAAAUGUUGGAAAAUUUUGGAAAAAAUGGAGGUGGGAGAUCGAGCAAGAGGGGAAGAAAACAAAAAGGAGGGGAAAAGUAGAGGGCUUCGGCUCGGUUGGUUACACGAACCGGGACUAAAGGUCAACUUGUAGUCUCGGUUCGUGGCAUGAACCGGUACUAUAGGUCAUGGUGCGGCCGCAGCCUGCCGCAAGCCUGCCACCACCUCUUUAGUACCGGUUUGUGGCACGAACCGGUACUAAAGGUUCGCCACGAACUGGUACUAAUGAGAGCAGCCCACCUAGCCGUUGGAACCGGCAGUAAUGGUCACAUUAGUGUCGGUUCUAUUAAAAACCGGGACUAAAUUGUUGAACAUUAGGCCCUUUUUCUACUAGUGGUUACUUGACGGGCACUAUUUUUGUCAGGCAAAUGCCAAAUAAUUGGUCGGUAUUAAAUGUUGGUUGCCUAAACAAAAUAUUGUAAAUUUUUGGUCGGCGAAACAAACUCCCAUCUGACCGUCGGCCGAGAAAUGUCCAUGGCAACCCUAAUUAAUUGUUGGAUGGGAAAAACACUAUUUGAUAGUCGGUCGGGAAAGGACCAUAGUAGCUCAAAUGGACUGUCGGUCGGGAAACGUCCGUGGCAGGCCCAACAGAAUGUUGGUCUCGAAUGAUACACUAUAGCUGACAAGCAGUCGGUUGGGAAUAAAAUGUCGGUCGGGAAAGGGUUUUCCUGUCUGGACUUUCCCCAAGGAUCUUUGCCGUCAGCCAGCUCACGACAAAGAAAGUUUUUGCCAUCAGCUUACAGAAAACUGACGGCAAAGAAAGAGCCAACGACAAAGAGCAUGUUUGCCGUCUAGCAUAGCAGCCGACAAAGAGGGAGGGUGGUCCACUAAGGAGUACCACCUGACGACCACUUUCUUUGGCGUCUGCUAGCGGACGACAAAGAUUGCAGCUAAUGGCUACAUACGGCCCCCCCCACACCUCCCACUCUCCAUUUCUCUUUCUCUCUCACUCCACCGUGCCGACCCCGACCCCAACCGCCGCCGCCGCUCCCGACCCCCACCUCCCUCGCCGCCCCUGACCGCCCUGCCGCCCCGCCGGUCCACGACCCGCCACCCCGCGGUCCGCUNNNNNNNNNNNNNNNNNNNNNNNNNNNNNNNNNNNNNNNNNNNNNNNNNNNNNNNNNNNNNNNNNNNNNNNNNNNNNNNNNNNNNNNNNNNNNNNNNNNNNNNNNNNNNNNNNNNNNNNNNNNNNNNNNNNNNNNNNNNNNNNNNNNNNNNNNNNNNNNNNNNNNNNNNNNNNNNNNNNNNNNNNNNNNNNNNNNNNNNNNNNNNNNNNNNNNNNNNNNNNNNNNNNNNNNNNNNNNNNNNNNNNNNNNNNNNNNNNNNNNNNNNNNNNNNNNNNNNNNNNNNNNNNNNNNNNNNNNNNNNNNNNNNNNNNNNNNNNNNNNNNNNNNNNNNNNNNNNNNNNNNNNNNNNNNNNNNNNNNNNNNNNNNNNNNNNNNNNNNNNNNNNNNNNNNNNNNNNNNNNNNNNNNNNNNNNNNNNNNNNNNNNNNNNNNNNNNNNNNNNNNNNNNNNNNNNNNNGAUCCAGGGGCCACGCCGUCCCGGCACCCUAGCCACCCCGACACCCCGCCGCCCCGGUGCCCCGCCGACCUACUCAGUUGAGCUCCCCCCGUUUUUUCUACUGCUAAUAAUUAGGUUACUUUGUACUAUUGGUUUCUUUUUUUCUACUGCUAGUAAUUAGGUUAGUUAGUAUUUUUAGAGUUGGUUAGGUUAGUUAGGUUAGUUUCUAGGUUAGAUCUUGAAAAAAAUUAUUAGGAGAAGAAAAUAAGAAGAAUUAGAAGAAGAGGAGGGGCAGGAGAAGAAGAAAAAGGGGAGGAGAAGAAGAAGAAGAAGAAGAAGAAGAAGAAGAAAAAAGGAGAAGAAGAAGAAGAAGAAGAAGAAGAAGAAGAAUAGGAGGAGGAGGAGGAGAAGAAGAAGAAUAAAAAGAAUAAGAAAAGGGGCAGGAGAAGAAAAGAAGAAGAAGAAGAAGAAGAAGAGGAGGAGGAGGAGGAGGAGAAGAUCACCGGUCCCCGACACCCCGACCCCGACACAACACCCCGAGACCACCUCGACACCCCAACACGACACCACCGACACCCCGACCCCGAUACCAUCGACACCCUGACACCACUGACACCUCGACACGACANNNNNNNNNNNNNNNNNNNNNNNNNNNNNNNNNNNNNNNNNNNNNNNNNNNNNNNNNNNNNNNNNNNNNNNNNNNNNNNNNNNNNNNNNNNNNNNNNNNNNNNNNNNNNNNNNNNNNNNNNNNNNNNNNNNNNNNNNNNNNNNNNNNNNNNNNNNNNNNNNNNNNNNNNNNNNNNNNNNNNNNNNNNNNNNNNNNNNNNNNNNNNNNNNNNNNNNNNNNNNNNNNNNNNNNNNNNNNNNNNNNNNNNNNNNNNNNNNNNNNNNNNNNNNNNNNNNNNNNNNNNNNNNNNNNNNNNNNNNNNNNNNNNNNNNNNNNNNNNNNNCACCCCGACCCCCGAUACCUCCUCAAAAAGGUGCUCUUCGGCCUUCCAGAGGCCGACGGGGUCAUAUAUUUGUGAAUUAUGAGUUAGGUCAGGUAUUCAAUUAUUAUUAUGUACAUAUACAUAUAUAUUAUUAUUAAUUAGUUCAUCUUAUUAGGUAUUCAAUUUUUUAUUAUGUUCAUGAUGAUGAUACACACUUAAUUUUUUUAUUAUGUUUAUGUUGUACUAAUUUCAUUUACUCUUUGUCAUUGCAGGUGUUGACAGAUGGUGGGCGCGGGUCGAGAGCGCUCCGAGCCUCCUUCUUCGGCGCGUGCUGGGAGGUGUGUUGUUAUUCCACCCCAGCACCUUCGGAGAGCGCAGAUAGACAGCACACAGACACCAGCGAGCGCUUCUUCUUCGACCGAGAGAGGUCGAGGGAAGACGAAGAGGGGUAGAGCUAGAGGUGGACGUGGCGGCGGGAUAGGUAGGAAGGCUGCUACGCCUUCCUCGCCGCCACCCCAGCUGAUUCUUUGGACCAUUGGAGUGCUUCGUCCCAGGUGGACCCGUCUGACUUGGACCCUUCUCGGACUCCGGUCCACAAGCCUCGGGCCAACGAUCCUACAUCCGACGAGACUCGGGUCCUAGAGUCUUCGUCCCAGGAGACUCGGGUCCCAGAGUCUUCGUCCCACGUGACUCCGGAGACUAGUGGCCAUGCUGAUGGUGGCGAGGACACCUUGUCUGACGAUAGCUACAACGAUGGUGAGCUAGUUGAGGGGGGCAAGAAGGUCUACCAGCAUGGUGGUACAGAUCUCCCAUCCGUGUCGGCGACCCGCGACCAGAGGUGGUUGAUUGAGCCUAAAGGGGAGAAGUAAGUGCACUUACUCUUUUUUAACCUUUUGCCUUCAUGUUUCUUCAAAUUAAUAUCUAAUGUGUUGGCCUUGUCAUACUGCAGGGGUUGGAUACACGCCUCUGAUGUCCGCAGGCCCAACCAGGUCCUUGGUGUGAUUUGCCGGCACCACUUCCCGGGAUGGGUCACAUUGCCCAAUGAGGGUGAGGUUCCAUAGCUAGCACUGACCUGGGAGAUGCACAAGGCUGCCCCGGCCCCGCCGAGGGAGAUGGUCGACGGUGUCGUGUGCAAUACGGUGGCCGACAUUGUGAGACGGCGGUUUUGGGUAAUUUCUCCUUUACAGAAUUAAAAAUCAACAAUACUUAGUGAUUGUAAUAAUCAGUGUUGUCUUGUUUGAUUGCAGACCUUCUACAGGUGUCUUGAGGAACACGAGGCGGACACGGCUAUGAUUCUCGAAGCCGAGUGCAAGCGCCUAGUCCAGAACUUAUGGUACGAGGCUCGGGUGCAGGCUGUUCGAGACUACUAUGCCUCGACUAACAUCAGGAGGGCCAAGAAGAAGUGACGCGGCAAGUAUUUGAGUAAGGAGAAGUACAUGAAGGUAAUUACCUAUUCUUAAGGCCUUGUACUUAGUUUCCUUGAUUUGAUUUGGAGGCAUAGCACUGAAAUUUCUCUUUGUCUAACUUUGGUGCCCCCGAGAUGGUGUGCGGAUAGGAUGGACUGUUGGGAGAGGUUGGUGGAUGAGUGGUGCUCUCCCCAAUGGCUAGCCGUCCACAACAAGGCCAGGGAUAAGUGUGCCCAGAUGCAAGGUGUGCCACACCAUCAAGGAAGCUCCAACCUGUUUGAGUACGGGGAUCACUUGGUAUGUGGUUUGAUCCCUUAAUGAUUCAUGCAAUUUCAUUCUUCAUGCUAGCUUGAGCCCUUAACUAAUAUUUUGUUCCUCUCUUUUAGGCGCGACACAACAAGAAGGAGUUGCCACUGCUGUACAACCUCUAUGCCAUGGCCCAUACUACCCCGUACAAGAAGGCCAAGGCAUUCUUGGAGGAUGACCUCGAUCAUCCUGAGAGCUCCACCAACAUAUCCUCCCUUACGAUAAGCUCAUGAGGUACAGAGUCUUUGGGAAGGCGAUGAAAGGGGAGGACUUCAACCCGAGCCAGAGUCCUUUUGAUCCUAAGCUUGUGAUGCUAUCUGAAGGGAGGAAACAUGGCUCAGUAGCCAUUAGGGGUGGACUGAUACGUUGUCCUAGAAGUCUCCCAGAGAAGAAGCGCCAGACGAGGUCUCUUCCUGAGAUGAGGCCUCGAUAACGACCAAUGGAGCUCGCCAUCAAGGCUAGGGCCCAGGAGCUUCUGGCGGAGGCAAACAGGUAGUCGACGCAGAGGGAGAGGGAGUUGGAGGAGAGGACAGCUAGUAUGUUGGAGGCGGAGAGGAACCGGAACGACGCGGGUCACCGGGCCCUAUACGAGCUCCUCGUGGUAAGUUUCUCCUGCAUAUUAGCCAAAUCAUGUACGUAAUGUUCGUUUCAUUACUAACUAAUAUGACUGACUUGUGAAAACAAAAUGUGCAGUCCGUUUGCGAGAAAAACGACCAGACCCCUCAGCCGAUGCACCAGCACUAGUGCAGAACCGGGCUAUAGCACUAGUUCGUAGGGGCCUUUAGUCCUGUUUCGGUAACCGGCACUAAAGGGUGGAGACUAAAGGCCCCCCUUAGUACCGCUUCUGCACGAACCGGGGCCAAAGGCCCACCAUGUGGCACAAUCCCGCGUGGUGAUCUGGGGGAUAUUUAGUACCGGUUGGUAACACCAACUGGUAAUAAAGGAUUUUUUUAUUUUUGAUUUUAUUUUUUUCGAAAAAAUUGAAUAUUUUUUCCGAUUUUCAAAUUUCUGAAUUAUUUGACGAUUUUGUCUCUAAUCACCGCUCAUCAUUGCUGUAAUCACCCCUCAUCAAUCCAAAUCGUCUAACUUCCUGGCCGGUCACCCAUCCUCUCACUACUCCAGCCUGAGCAUGCUUAACUUCCGAGUUCUAAGUCUGCACGUGUUGCUUACCUGACAAUAGUAAGUUGUCAAUCAUAUUAACCCUCAGGAAUUUAGCUUGAACAUGAAGUCACAUGUUUCACCGUUUUAGUUUGAAACUAUUAUUCUAAAAAAUAAUUAUUAUUUAGUAACCAAGAUACUUCUUGAAUAAGUAGUCUGACCACAGUUUGACCAUAGUUUGACCAAAAGUCAAAAAAACUAAAAUAACUAUUUAUUAACACUAAUAUUUCUUGAAUAAUUAGUUUGACCAUAGUUUGACCACAAUUCGACCAGAUUUAACAAUUUUUUUAAAAAAAACUGAAAUUGGAGCAAAUCUUUUUUUCCUUUUAGAAUUUGAGGAUUCUAAAAAAUUGCAAACAAGCAGUAGGCGGUCAAAAUUGGAUGCGGAUUUUCGUGCUGAUUUUUUGAUAUAUUAUGCGUUUUUUGACAUCGUAUGCAAAAGAUAUGGCCGUUUUACAUUUUCAUAACACUUUUUUUUGCAAAACAUGUCCAAAUUUAAGUUUUUUAAUUUUCCUAACUAGUAGAUUUAGUAACAUAACUACAUCUCGAACGAUUUUACUUUUUGAAGUUUUUAUCNNNNNNNNNNNNNNNNNNNNNNNNNNNNNNNNNNNNNNNNNNNNNNNNNNNNNNNNNNNNNNNNNNNNNNNNNNNNNNNNNNNNNNNNNNNNNNNNNNNNNNNNNNNNNNNNNNNNNNNNNNNNNNNNNNNNNNNNNNNNNNNNNNNNNNNNNNNNNNNNNNNNNNNNNNNNNNNNNNNNNNNNNNNNNNNNNNNNNNNNNNNNNNNNNNNNNNNNNNNNNNNNNNNNNNNNNNNNNNNNNNNNNNNNNNNNNNNNNNNNNNNNNNNNNNNNNNNNNNNNNNNNNNNNNNNNNNNNNNNNNNNNNNNNNNNNNNNNNNNNNNNGUUCGUGGCACAAACCGGUACUAAAGGUUAGCCCUGUAGUACCAGUUUGUGCCACGAACCGGGACUAAAGGGGCUCGUGGGGCCCCGCCUGACGCCAGCCUGCCACCACCCCUUUAGUACCGGUUCAACACGAACCGGCAUUAAUGCAUAGCCGUUUGAACCGGGACUAAUGGUACCAUUAGUACUGGGCCAACAUUGAAUCGAGACUAAUGUGUCUCACAUUAGGUCCUUUUUCUACUAGUGCAGAUUGGUAUAGCGGACGCGGUGAGUUUCAUUUGAAUGGUCAUUAGUUACUAGUAUUCACAUUUCAGUUGCAUCAUGCUAACUAGACAUUGCAAAUGAUCUUUGGUGCAGCACGCCUCCCGGCAAGCAUCGACCGAUCCUUCUUCAUCUCAAACUAGCGCAACCCCGACCAGUCCUUCUCCGUCUGGCACUGGCGCAAGCCAAACCGUUCCUUCACCUCCAUGAUGAUGGUAAGUGUUUUGCUUAACAAAUGCAUACUUAGCUUAAGAAAUGACCUACUUAGCUCUAAAAUGACCUAUACUUAUCUUAUUUUCCUCAAAAAUGACAUAAUAACCUUACUUAGCUCCAAACUGACAUAUUCUACCUAGGAUAGCUAUAAAAUGACCUAUACUUAGCAUUUUUUUUCCUCCAAAAUGACUUGAUAUGCUUAGUUAGCUAGAAAAUGGCAUAACUACCUAGGAUAGCUCAAUAAUGAUCUAUGGCUAGCUUAGCUAGUUCAUUUAUGACAUAAUUAGCUCACUUAGGUAAAAAAUGGCAUAACUACCUAGGAUAGCUGAAUAAUGAUCUAUAAUUAGCUUAGCUAGUUCAUUUAUGCCAUAGUUAGCUCACUUAGGUAAAAAAUGGCACAACAACCUUGGUUUAGCUCCCAAAUGACCUAUACUUAGCUUAUUUCCUUGAAAAUGACAUAACAACCUUACUUAGCUCUGAACUGACAUACUUUACCUAGGAUAGCUAUAAAAUGGCCUAUACUUAGCAUUUUUUUACUCCUAAAUGACUUAAUAUGCUUAGUUAGCUAAAAAUGUCACAACUACUUAGGUCAGCUCCAAACUGGCCUACACUUACCAUUUUGUCCUCCAAAAUGAAUAAAUUUGCUUAGUUAGCUCAAAAAUGGCAUAACUACCUAGGUUAGCUCCAAAGUGACCUAUUUACCUAGCUUAGCUCUAAAAUGACCUACACACUUAGCAUUGUUAGCUAGCUAAAGCUAAAAAUGGCAUUUUUACCUACCUUAGUUAGAAUAAGAAGAAGAUAAAGAAGAGGAGAGGAGAAAAAGAAUGAGAAGAUAAAUUCUUAUUUUUCUUCUUCUUCUUCUUCUUUUUCUUCUUCUUUUUCUUCCUUUUCUUCUAGCUAGUCUUCUUCUUCUUCUUCUAACUUUCAUCUUUCCUAAUUUGUAGAUUUGAUUUAGAUGAGGAAGCUUGCAUUGAUGGAGUGUACUCUUCUACUUGUGCUUCCUUUUUGUUUAUGGAAACUUGUUUUGGAUAUGUAUGUAUAUAUGGAUAUGUUGUUGGAAGCCAUUGUAUGGUGGAUAUGUUGUUGGAAACUUGUAUGUUGGAUAUGUUGUUGGAAACUUAUUGUUGGUAUGCUUGUUGAAAUUAUUUUGAAAUGUGUGUAUAUAUAUAUAUCUGUGAAAUUCUGUCAAACUGAAUGAAUUUAAGAAAAAACAGAAAAAACAGGGGCUAUACAGUCUCUUUGUCGUCUGCUGGCAUAUGGCAAAGAGCUUUGCCGUCUGCCGGCAAAGCUGCCACAUGGCAGCUACCUGUGCAACUUGGGGUGCUCUGGGCUGACCUAUUUGGCAGCUUUGCCGUCAGCGGCAGACGGCAAAGACCUUUGCAUAUUUGCCAUCCGCUGGCAGACGGCAAAGAUGCAAAGGCCUUUGUUGUCUGCCAGCUGACGGCAAAGCACACCCUUAACCCCUUAACGGACCUAAGCUGCCACGUGUGGUGUCCAGGCUCUUUGCCGUCUGCCAGUAUACGGCAAAGAGGGCUUUGCCGUAGCUUAUUUAGCCAGACCUGUUGCCAUUUUUUGGCUGACGACAAAGGCCUUUGCCAUACUCCAGGCAUGCCUUUAUCGUCAGCCAUGGAUGACCGCAAAGUGCCUGAUUCCUUUAGUGUUGGCACAACUUGUAUUCCCGACCAAUCUGGCUUUUGGGGAUGUAGUGCAGUGGUGUACUGAAUGCAGUGUCGUGGUGUAGUGCGGGCAAGUUAAGAAAAAAAUGGACACAUUCGAGGCUAGCACCAUGAUGAACAAUACUGAGGUAGAGGACAUGAUGAAGAAGUUGGGGAUCACGGAGGAUGACUUUGAUGAUGUGGUAGUAGAGGAAGAGGAGGAGCUCCCUGCUGAAGCAAUCCAGUGGAUGGCAAUCAUGCGAGUGCACAUAGAGAAAACUUAUGCUCAGUACUGGUUUUCAGAAACAUGAGGGUGGCUUGGGACUUGGCGAAAGAGGUGAAGAUCUGGCCACUCAACAAUAAUAUGUACAUGCUGCAAUUUUCUUGUUUAGGCGACUAGGAGGGAGUCAUGGAUGAUGGGCUCUGGACUUACCGAGGCAACACGGUGCUUUUGGCGUCGUAUGAUGGAUUCACUAAACCAUCAACAAUAGCCUUGGACACAAUUGAGAUGUGGAUCCAAUUCAUGAUCUACGAGAUAGCUACCCCUACCCCCAAUUGAGCCUGGCGCUUGCUAGACCAUCCCAGUUCUCUGAGUUCCAUUGAUCUUAAAAGUUCUAAACUAUCCAAAUAACCCUCUUUCCGAUGCAACCUUGGGACCACAUCCAUCACAUAUAUGGCCGACUAUUUUCCAUGGGAAAGACUUAAUGACUUAGGGUUUGAUAAGGAGAAUAGGAGACGGAGAAUCCCCUGAUAUUUGGAACAAUAAUAGGAUAACUAGAGAGCAUACAAAGAGGCCGAGAACUUCACAAACACCACAGCCGCCGACAAGCUCGCUGAACACAUUGAUCACACUAUGUCAUCAAUGGAUGAACAACUUAUUCAAUCGAUACUUAUUCCCAUUGAUGCCGAGACUAUAUUGAAGAUCCCUCUUUGCACGAGACAAAUAUCUUAUUUUUGGUCUUGGAUUGAGGAUAGAAGGGGCAUGUUAACUGGGCAUUCUGCUUACAAGAUGAUACGGUGAACCAAGAUCAGUAGAGAAUCAUGGCUGUAUGAGCAGGGUGGCCGAUCAAACUCAGAGGCUGAUUGUCAAGGAUGGAUAGACUUAUGGCAUAUAAAAGCCCCCCGAAAAUCAAGGUGUUCAUGUGAAUAUUAGCACAAUACUCACAAUGUCCUUCUUCAUCAUAGAAACAUGUCGAUGACAAGUGCUUGUUGUUUGUGCAGGUCUAACGAUAUGUGCAGGCACGCCCUGCUGAAUUGCUUGGUUUCAAGGAGCACUGAGCACUAUCAUACGAGCAAAUUGUCGAGCUAUUGAGUCUGAAUGUAAAUGAUGACGCCAAACAAUGGCUAUUCACCAUGCAUGAGGUGUUAUCACAUGCGGACGAUUUUAUCAUGUUUACGAUCACUUUUGUGGACGAUAUGGGGAGCUCGGCACAAAGCUAUACAUGAGGAGAUAUAUAAAAGCCCUUUCACUUUUCAGGCUUUUGUGCAGAGUUACUUAACUGAGCUGAGAGCUACCCAAAGCACUCAAAGUCCAGUUCCAGGGGCACACGUGAUUAGGCCAAGUCAAUGUAUCGCUCCUUGGGAUGAUAUGGUGAAGGUCAAUGUGGAUGCGGCGGUUGGACCAGGCGACACUCGAGGCGCAAUGGGAGCUAUAUGCAGAGAUCAAGCAUGUAAUUUUCUGGGUGUGUCGGCCAUUGUGUUCCCACAUAUAUCAGAUCUUGUUACUGUCGAAUCUUCAGCAAUCAGGGUGGCACUUGCACUUGGUGAUAAUCUCUAUGAGAGGAAGAUUCAGGUGGCUUCAGAUUGCAAGGUGGUGUUGCAGAUAUACAUCAGAAGAGCGCAGCUAUCUACAGAGCAAUCAUAACUGAGAUCAUAGAUCAGAAGGCUACUUUUACUAAUUGUACAUUAGCCAUAAAUUUAGGAGCUUGAAUGUUGAAGCUCACAAACUCGUGAAGCAUGCCUUAUCCCUAGGGGUUGACCGCCAUGUUUGGUUAGGUAACCCCAUAGCUAAAGUUGUCUCGCCUUGCUUCAAAACUACUGAGCGUGCGCUGCGGUUUUGACCUAAAGCCUCCGUUUGCUGGAAUUAAUUGGAAUAGUUGAGAAGAAAGUGACCAACGGAUGCGUAAUGCGUGGAAAGCUGCUGGAUAGUUCGGGCCGAAUCCUGAAGAAAGUUCAAAGCGCUGUUUGGUGAGCCUACGUAGUAUUAGUUCGUUGGUUAGGUAAAGGUUGGCAAGCCAAUGAUGCUUAGCUGGUCUUUUUGAAUGUUUAGCCACACUGGAACUGAGACAUGGCCUAGACUCCCAUGGGGGGCAGCAGAGGGGAAUCUUGGACAAUGGGCGAAAGCCCGAUCCAGCAAUAUCGCGUGAGUGAAGAAGGUCAAUGCUCCUUGUAAAGCUCUUACGUUGAGUGCGCGAUCAUGACAUAUCUCGAGGAAGAAGCCCAGGCUAACUCCGUGCCAGCAGCCGCGCUAAGACGGGGGUGGGGGUGGGGGUGGGGGGAAGUACUCUUUGGAAUGACUGGGUGUAAAGGGCAUGUAGGCGGCGGGGUUGAAAAUGAAACUGUGAAAAUCAUAAUAAGUGGCGGAAUGCUCUUGAAACCAAUUCACUUAAGUGAGACAGAGGAGAGUGGGUGGUUUUCUAUUCGUCCCUAUAAACACUAAUCAUCAACCCGUGCACCUACACGGGCUAGAUAUACCAUCAUAGAAUCUUGUAAAUAUACUUUGUAAGCCUAUAACUGGAAACAUAAAACAUGGAACAUGCUUUUCAGUUUUUAUUUUAUAGUGGUGUUUAGUCUUCAAAUUUCAGGCAGAAUUAAAAGUGGACACGUAUGAAUUCUCAAGUUCAUUGAUCAAGCGCAUGCAGUUGUUAUGGUAUACAAAAUCGAACAUGUUGAGGACUCACAUGCAUAUUUGUAGGAAAAACUAAAAAAAAAUUGUAAUUAUUUCUUACAUCAUUACAUUCAAACCCACACAAAGAAAAUACUCAAAUAAACAUCAUUUUUCUUUAAACAGAAGGAUCCAACUGACGCCAUAAAAUGUAUCUUUUCCUUAUAUUCGCCAAUUAUUGCUCAAAUAGCUGUGCAUGUGCUGUGUAAAUAAGAUUUAGAUAUGGUACAUAGAACUUUGUUAGAUUUAGACCAUAGCUUCAGUGUGAAUGUUGCUGCAAUGGCACAGAAGUAUGAUCGGUUUGGCAUUGUCUGCUUUGCGAUGAUCCACUCCCGUGCACAGGCUCUAUCCUACGGAUCGCCCUAUCGGACAGCUAGCAGUAUAUGUCAUGCCAAAAGCUUCUUGACCAACAUAUGCGCUAGUAAAUCUAAUUACUCUAAAUUAUGAAAAUAUAGUUAUUCUGAAUUAUGAAAAUAUAAUUACCCUAAACUAUAUAUGUACCUUAGAUCGUAGAGGCCACCAUCGAACAGAACUAUAUAGGGAGUAGUUGUGCGGUAGUACUGUUGAGAUGUAGAAGUGGAAAAGCAAUAAUGCAUAACAAAAUCAUAUUCUAUCACACGCUUAGCUUAUACUAUAUAUAUUGGCACACAUUUUCUUUGCAUAUGCACCUGGUAGAUUAAACAAUGGAAGCAAACACAGUAGGGCAAACCAAUUUCAGAUUUUUAUCUCAAAUCAAAAGCCUAGAAAGGGUGAUCCAGGAAAAACAUUAAUCGCUGCAUUGUUGAGAGUCUCAUGUUUCAAUUUCACCAUCCAAUCUCAUAGAAAAAUGUAGGCAGCCGGUGAGGAAUCAGCAGAUGGUUGCCAUGUGCUUCUCGAUAUUUCUUUUCCCUAAUCACCAAAGAACACAUAGGCGAGCCCAGCAGUAACUUGAUAUACAGGAGGCUUCUUUGGUUUGCACCAGUGUAACACGAAAGAACAGAUACGCAGCCGUGAAAGUCGCUGGCUGCAUGAUGGAAGACGCCAACCACAUAUCGUUGAUAUUGAACGCAACGCUUGAAUAUCUUUUUUGACCUCUUCGUUCACCAUAACCUUUCAUAGUGGGAUCCAUCUUUCUUAAGCUUUGACACUUGGAAAUAAUACUUACCAUCAUAUUAAUCAAACCUUGCUGCAUCCACCGAUUUUUUUUCCAACUCAUGCAUGUGAAACCAUGGAUAUUUCAUCAGCAAAAAGUACGAAAAAGGACACAACUAUGCACUAUUAAUUAUGUCUGUGCUCAGACAUACCGCUCUCCUGCAGUAUCCACAAAAGGAAAACCAAGAUUUUCAGUUCUCACGCGCCUGACAAACAUCAUCUAUCUUCUGCUUGCAAUCUUUCCUGAUGAUACAUCAUGUCCGUUGGGGGUAAUAUGAAUUCAAAAGGAUGGAAAAAAGACCUGGAAAGAGGGGAAUUAGGGAUACUGUGCUAAAUUGGGACAGGAGAGGAGAGCAUUAUGCCCUUGAAUGGAAUCCAGGAUGUGAAACGUUGUGCCGCCAUAGCGAUGAUGGCCACAACCAUACUUGCACUAGUAGAAAACAGGGCAUUUGUCCCGGUUCGUAAGGGCCAUUAGUCCCGGUUCAUGAACCGGGACUAAAGGGUCGUUACUAAUGCCUCCCCCCUUUAGUCCCGAUUCUAACACGAACGAACCGGGACAAAAGGUCGCGGCCACGUGAAGCUCCACCUUUAGUCCCGGUUGGUAACACCAACCGGGACUAAAGGAAAUUUUAUGACUUUUUUUUGAUUUUUUUUUAUUUUUUUUUAAUUUUCAAAUUUCCGAAUUAUUUAAACUCUAAUCUCUAAUCACCCCUCAUCAUUCCAAAUCAUCUAACUUCCCGAACGGUCACCCACCCUCCCACUCCCCCAGCCUGAGCACGCUUAACUUUUGGGUUCUAUUCUCCCUCGUUUCCAAGUCUGCACUUGUUGUUUUCCUGACAAUAUUAAUAUGUCAAUCCUAUUAACCUUCAGGAAUUUUGCUUGAGCAUGAAGUGACACAUUUCACUGUUUGAGUUUGAAACUAUUGUUUUAAAAAACAAUAAUUAUUUGAUAACACUAAUAUUUCUUGAAUAAUUAGUUUGACCAUUGUUUGACCACUGUUUGACCACAGUUUGACCACAGUUUGACCAGAUUUGACCAAAAUUCAAAAUAACUGAAAUAAUUAUUUAGUAACACUAAUAUUCUAGAUUAAUUAGUCUGACCAUUGUUUGACCAUAGUUUGAAUUGUUUUCGAUUUUUUUCACUCUACAUCUUAAAAGCCCCGUAUCUUUUUUCUGUUAGGUUUUUGAGGAUUUUGAAAAUGUUUAACGGGGUUCCCCCGGUUAAAUUUGGAUGUAACUUUUCGAGUAGAUGAUUUUUUAUAUAAAAAACUUUUUCAUCCGAGUUAGUAUGCAAAAGUUAUCCAUUUUACUAAAUUCUAGAGAGAUUUUGCAAAUAAAGUCGAAAUUCACAUUUGCAAAUUUUCCCAACAACUAGACCACGUAUCACAUGGAAACUUGCUUUUUUUAUUAUUUUUUUGACAUUUUCAUCAUUUUCUUUUAUUUUUUUAAAACUGAAAAGGCGAUCCAGGGGGUGGAGUUUGAAAAUGGGACCUUUAGUACCGGUUCGUGCCAUGAACCGGUACUAAUGCCUCAAACCCCAUUAGUACCGGUUGGUGGCUCGAACCGGGACUAAAGAUCUAACCUUUAGUACCGGUUGGUGCCACGAACCGGUACUAAUGGGCAUCGCACACUUUAGUCCCGGUUCGUGGCACCAACCGGGACUAAAGGGUCCAGACGAACCGGGACAAAUGGCCCACGUGGCCUCUGGGCGCACGAACCGGGAUUAGUGCCCCCAUUAGUCCCGGUUCUAGACUGAACCGGGACUAAUGGGCUAAACCGGCCUGGACCAAAGCCCUCUUUUCUACUAGUGUUGCUUCAAAGAGGAACAUCAGUACCGUACCUCCUCCAAGCCUCGAGCAAGCAACACAAUAUUGUACAGGAGGCCCCAUGCCAGCGGUAGGGGCCGAUCGCCGUUCAAUUCCUGCAGAGGGCCUCUCAUCCUUCUAGUACUGAAUAUGCUAGCAGUCGACUAAAAUAGAUGAUUGAGCUGAUAGUGUUAUCAUUGCCAUCUGUAAUCGAUAUUGAAUACCUCCUCUUGCAUGCUAGAUCUAAACAUAAAAUUUAGCUCAACUGUACACAUCUGUUUUGACUCGACAGUAAGGAACCAUAAUAUUGCAACCCUGAGGAACAAAGCAAUGGAUGAGUACUUGACAACAAUUUAGCUCAAGUGUACAGCUAAAAAUUUAAUUAUGAAGGACAAAAUUGGUUGCGACAAAAUCAGUCACUUGACAACAAUUAUCACAUUUGUCUAUGAAUAUUUGAACCUAUGGUCUUUGUUGCGCCCUGGUCGGAUGGAUUAAAAAACGCAACCAUCUAGUACAUAGGGAGAUUGUGCAUAUUUCUUACCUCUAAUAAUCUAAUCAAGGCAGUAGAGGAGGAUUAUGUGCCCUGUGUAACAGGAACACGCAUCAGUCGGAGUAGGAUCCAGGAGGCCAUUAUUGAACCAAUUUUCACAUAUCACCAGCUAAUGAAAAAUAAUUUACAAAUAGUAACUCUCAUCGAAUGGAAAUAAUAUCAUGCAUGGUACUUAAGCCAGCCGUACCUGAAACUUGAUGAAUCUAAUAUUUGUUCAAGGAAGUGUCUCACGGCCUUUAACUAAAACUAACAAUUUACAGUUGACAGUGAUCUAGUUUCAUGAAACUAUAAUUAUUAGAAGUCACCAGAUGUCUGCCUCUCUUCGAUUUCUGCAAGUAGCACCUAGGUGAGCUCACCAAAUCACCCCAUGUUGCUUUAAGUAGGUAGAAAUUUGGCAGAUACACAAAUAUUAGUACGAUAUCCAUUAAUUCUAAUAAUUGAUAAAGAAGGACACUCCUCUCAUGUGUGUGUGUGUCUGUGUGUUUGGUGCUGUGUAUUUCGAUGUGAGAUCAGUAAUUCCAACUCCCUACAAUUAAGAUAUGAAUAGUCAGUGGAAACUUACCAUUGGAAACCAUGGCUUGGGGAGCAUGUUCAGACCUGCAAGUUGCUGCUCUCAAUCUAUUGCCCAUGUAUAUGGAUGAUUAUUAAUCUGCUCAUAUGUUUACACCUCCAGACAUUGCCACCGCAGGGAUUAUUAACAUGAACACAACCAUCAUCGCCAUUAAGUUAGCAAAAUAGAUCAACAUACUUGUCGCCAUGGCGGGUAGGAAAAGUUUCACGUGUGAUGUUCUCUAUUGAUAUCACGUAAUCCUUGUAACUAACAGUCAAACGACAUGCUAGGCAAUCACAAAGGGAAACGUUUCAGGCCGGGGAACCGGCCGAACCUUCGGCCGGUCGCGAGCCACGCUGCACUAGUAGAAAAGAGGGCUUUGGUCCAUCCCGGGUUAGCCCAUUAGUCCCGGUUCAGUCUAGAACCAGGACUAAUGGGGGCAUUAGUCCCGGUUCGUGCGCCCAGGGGCCACGUGGGUCAUUUGUCCCGGUUCGUCUAGACCUUUUAGUCCCCGUUGGUGCCACGAACCGGGACUAAAGGGUGCGAUGCCCAUUAGUCCCGGUUCGUGGCACCAACCGGGACUAAAGGGUUAGACCUUUAAUCCCGGUUCGUGCCACCAACCGGUACUAAUGGGGUUUGAGGCAUUAGUACUGGUUCAUGGCACGAANNNNNNNNNNNNNNNNNNNNNNNNNNNNNNNNNNNNNNNNNNNNNNNNNNNNNNNNNNNNNNNNNNNNNNNNNNNNNNNNNNNNNNNNNNNNNNNNNNNNNNNNNNNNNNNNNNNNNNNNNNNNNNNNNNNNNNNNNNNNNNNNNNNNNNNNNNNNNNNNNNNNNNNNNNNNNNNNNNNNNNNNNNNNNNNNNNNNNNNNNNNNNNNNNNNNNNNNNNNNNNNNNNNNNNNNNNNNNNNNNNNNNNNNNNNNNNNNNNNNNNNNNNNNNNNNNNNNNNNNNNNNNNNNNNNNNNNNNNNNNNNNNNNNNNNNNNNNNNNNNNNNNNNNNNNGCCUUUUCAGUUAAAAAAAAUAAAAGAAAAUGAUGAAAAUGUCAAAAAAUAAAAGAAAAUAAGUUUCCCAUGUGAUAUGUGGUCUAGUUGUUGGGAAAAUUUACAAAUAUGAAUUUCGACUUUAUUUGCAAAAUCUCUCUAGAAUUUAGUAAAAAUGGGCAUAACUUUUGCAUACUGACUCGGAUGAAAAAGUUUUUUAUAUGAAAAAUCAUCUACUCGAAAAGUUACAUCCAAAUUUAACGGGGGAACCCCGUUAAACAUUUUCAAAAUCUUCAAAAACCUAACAGAAAAAAGUUACGGGGCUUUUAAGAUCUAGAGUGGAAAAAAUCGAAAACAAUGCAAACUGUGGUCAAACAAUGGUCAAACAAUGGUCAAACUAAUUAUUCUAGAAUAUUAGUGUUACUAAAUAAUUAUUUCAGUUAUUUUGAAUUUUGGUCAAAUCUGGUCAAACUGUGGUCAAACAAUGGUCAAACUAAUUAUUCAGGAAAUAUUAGUGUUACUAAAUAAUUAUUGUUUUUUAAAACAGUAGUUUUAAACUCAAACAGUGAAAUGUGUCACUUCAUGCUCAUGCAAAAUUCCUGAGGGUUAAUAGGAUUGACAUCUUACUAUUGUCAGCAAAACAACAAGUGCAGACUUGGAAACGAGGGAGAAUAGAACCCGGAAGUUAAGCGUGCUCAGGCUGGGGGAGUGGGAGGAUGGGUGACCGUUCGGAAAGUUAGAUGAUUAGGAAUGAUGUGGGGUGAUUAGAGAUUAGAGGAUAAAUUGAGCAGUGAUGAGGGGUGGUGAUUAAAGAUUAGAGGUUAAAAAAAUUCAGAAAUUUGAAAAUAAAAAAUUUCAAAAAAAAAUUUCAAAAAAAAAAAUCAUAAAAUUUCCUUUAGUCCCGGUUGGUGUUACCAACCGGGACUAAAGGUGGAGCUCCACGUGGCCGCGACCUUUAGUCCCGGUUCCAGUUUGAACCGGGACUAAAGGAGGGAGGCAUUAGUAACGACCCUUUAGUCCCGGUUCAAGAACCGGAAAUAAAGGCCCUUACGAACCGGGACUAAUGCCCCCUUUUCUACUAGUGCUGGCGCCCCGCGCCAGCGCCCCGCGCGAGACUCCUGUUAUUGUUGGGCCCCACGUGGACCACCCCUCCUCCCUUUUUUAUCUUUCCCCUAACUGCUGCCUUCAUCCCCUACCUCCAGACACAUCCUUUCCCGUGGCCAUUUUUCUUCUUCCUUUUCCCUGCGCUGCUGCCUACCGGCGGCCGCUGCCGGCCGUGUGCUUCGCCGAGCCAGGGGGACUACCCGACUGCUGCUAGUCCUCCUCCUCCGCACAUCUUAUCCCCCAAAACAUCUCUCCUUCUCUCUCAAAUAAGCCAUGGUUCCAGACGAGACAAGGUCUGGGAAGGAGGCUGCAACCGGUGCCCGGGGAGCCUGCGAACGGCCAUGAGACGACGAGCAUGGUGACCUCAGGACGGCGAGGAUAGGGCAACGCUCCUCCAAGAAAACAAUCGAUGUCGUUAUUUUUUCUACAUGCUUCAACCUGCGUCGGAAUUUGCUACAAACGGCAUCCCAUACUGCUGCCACCGGUGUCACAUUUUUCUGCAAUACAGAAUCGACCUCGAAUCGAUGUCACUUUUUGCUACAACCGUUUUCAUUUUUUGCUACAUAUGUUCAGGCUGAGUUGUGACCCGACGACGGCGGCGAUGACUUUUUGGCUGCAACCGUAAUAGACUUUUGGUACAUCCAGCAACAAUUUUUGCUACAUCCAUUCUUUUUUUGCCGGCAACGAUCCAAUGGCGAGAUACAGCCGCCGGCGAUGAUGACAAGUUUUUCCGCCGGAUAAGCUGCAACGGGCAUCGUCAAAAGCUGGAACCAACCAUCAGCAGAGGUGCAUCUACUGUGGGUGGUGUCCCGGCAACCAUAUCGGGCACCUCUCGCAGAGCUCGACGCCCAUGGCCAUGGCGACAGCCCUCGCGGAGCUCGACGCCCAUGGCCAUGGCAGCACCCCUCGUGGAGCUUGAUGCCGAUGGCCAUGGCAGCACCCCUCGCGGAGCUCGACGCCCAUGGCCACGGUAGCAUCCCUCGCGGAGCUCGACUCCCAUGGCCAUGGCGUGCCCUAGCAGCCACGGCGGCAUCCCUCGAGCGGAGCUCGACGAACAUGGCCGUCGUGUCCAUCACCAGGCGUGGAAUCAUGCAUCUCGCGGGUCACAGGGGGGCGCGCGUUCCGCGCGAGGAAGGAGACGAGUUUGGGGGAGAAUCGAACGGUUACAAGCGCGCAAAUCUUACGGCUACCAAACGACCGGACAAACUUUCGGCCAGUGCGCCAGCGCCUAUCGUUGCCCAAUCACAAAAGACAAUCUGGAGGAAGGCAGCCGCUUGCACUGCUGGGGAGAGGGUCUAGAAAAUAUAGAACUUUCCCCCAAAAUAAGAAUCUCCUGAAAAAAACAGAGCAGGAGUAGAUGAUGAACCGCCGCCGACAUGUACCUGCCUUUACCUUCUCGCAUGUGCGCCCUCGAAUAUCAAUGGCGCACCGGCAUGUGCGCCCUCCUUCAAACUACCAUGGAUACACAUCCACAUAUGCAUAGGCCAUCUAGGAUUCAGAAACCUGAAAUAAAAGGAGAUAUCAAAACUCAAGUGGAAGGGCAAUGAGUAGAGAUUGAAUUGGUUCAUUUUCUUCUAGAUGGACUGCAUCAGGGAUCGUACCUUGCAGUAUAUAGGAGAACAUGGAGAGGCGGCAGAGGAGGAGGAGUGGCGCUGGCAGAAGAGAUGCGGCCAUGCGGGGAAACCUGUUUUUUCUUUGGGUUUCCAUACGAAGACCUAUUUUUUCUUGUAAAGAGAUGUACCUGUGGGAUAAUUUGCUAGGACUCUCAGGGAUUUCAUCUAACGGCUGCAGAUAUUUCAUACUGAUAUCUGAUGAUUAAUUUUAUUAGUUUUAUAUAGGAUUAACGUGACCCUUUUAUUUGGGUUCCACACAAAGAAUUAUUUUUCUUGUAAGGAGACAUACGUGUGGGAUAAUUUGCUAGGACUCUCUUAUCGAUUUCAUCCAACGGCUGUAGAUAUUUUAUACUGAGAUCAGAUGGUUAUUUUUGUUAGUUUUGUAGGAUUAACGUGAUGCCUCGUUUGGUGCCUUCAAUUAGUAAAUAUAUAUAAAAUAAGAUAUAAAAUAUAAGUUAAGAUUGUGAGGUACUAAAAUUAUUAUUUUUUGAAAGGAAAAGUUGAAACAGACGCUCACUUCCAUGAACACGUGGACACACAACCGGUGGCUCCAUGCAUGCAUGCAUGAUACAUCGCACGCAGUACGCAAGCGGGCUGUUGCCAAGCUAACUAAUGGCGCCCGGCCGACAACACAGUACAGCUAGUAGAGCACUCGCUGCCAAACGCCUACGUGAGAGACCCUCGUGAGCCCAGCUAUACAACCUCCUCUCCUCCACCCAUCCUCGUUCACUCCGCAUCUGCAGCCGAAUUCCCCCGUCUGCACCGCUCAGUCCCCCGGACAGCCGGACCUCUCCUCGCCUUGCCAUGGCAGCCGCAGCACUGAGGGCGCAGCUGAACGCCCAUAUCGCCGGCAUGUACACCAAUGUGAGGCCCUUCCCCUCCCCUCUAGUCGUGUGGUAUUGGAUUUUGGCUUGGCUGGACGACUAACUUGGCCUUUGCCUUUGCUUUGGCGUGGUCGAUGUCGAUGCAGGGUGUGGUGGACGAGGAUACAUUCGAGGAGCUGCGGGACGAGGGCACCGCCGCCGAGGUCUCCCGCCUCUUCAUCUACGACGCCUCCGAGAUCAUCGACGACAUCGACCUCCAGAUGUCCGCCCCCACGCCCUCUGUCAUCUCUCCGUCUGCUCUCUGUCUCGGGAACUGACUCAUCUUAAUUAUCUGCUCUGGAAAUCGCAGGGAGGAGCCUGAAUUGGACUUUGACGAGGUGGAAGCCCUGACGCAGCAGCUCAUGCGGUGCACCUCCAGGUGAUGACUAUCAUAAACCAUUUCUCUCUCUUCCACCUGCUUAUUUUUAACUCUAUGUUUGUUUGCCCGCUGCGUCAAUGUCGUGCGAUUCGGAUCUGUUUAUACUGGGCAAAGGAUUCUUAUUUGUCGGUUGCACUACCCCAUAGGCGUAAUUAGAAGAAUCAAGUUUAGUCGAGUUUAGUGUAACAGAGUUACCAGUAUCCCGAUUAAUAUCAUUGUUAUGAUGAGGAUAAAUUGCUGGCAUUUUUGGAAUAGUCUUGGUAUUAAUGAUCUGCUAUUCUGUGUAUUGCUAAUGGUGGUUUUUCUGGUAUUAAUGAUCUGCUAUUCUAUGUAUCUCUAAUGGUGUUUUUUCUAGUUUGUCCACAGCUUUGAUGUUGUUUUUUCAUUUUGAUGUGUCGGCACGGGGUGUGUACCUCAUGACACGGCCAGACAAUUGAGGUUUGUGUCGUUUUACAGGCGUCGUAUAGCCAUAGGUAGAAGAGCUGAGUUUAGUCAUAUAUCGUGUAACGAAAUUGUUGGUAUUCUUCCCAAUGUUAAUCAAAUCGUAUAGCUUGGCGAGGGGAAUUUUUGUCGUUUUGCAAACGUUUGUUCUACUAUCAUGUCUGUUCUUCGGGCAAUGCCAUUAUUCUAGGUUGAGAAUGAAAAAAAUUGUCGUUUUAUAAGCAUGGCUGGUAUUAAUGAUUUGCAAUUCUACAUAAUGCCAGUGGCCAUGUUUCACCAUUGGAACGGUGUUGUUUCUAUUCAGAUUUGUCAGGCGCAGGGUGUGUACGUCAUGGACGUCAUUUGGGUGUCGUAUAUCCAAAAUUAGAAGACCUCAUUGUAGUUGUGUGUCGUGUAGCGGAAUUGUCGGUAUUCAUGACAAUUUCAUGGUCCGGCAAGAAAAACUUUGUCAUUUUCUAAAUAUUUCUGGUACUACUGAUCUGCUAUUGCACAUAGCGGCAAUGGUGUUUUUUUUUCUGCUUCAUCAAACAAUUUAUGGAGUUGACAAUCAUGAUAGGAAAUGGCUCCUUGAGAAUAUUAUUGAGUUGACGUCUCAGUUUAUAAUAAGUUUGAUAAGUUCCUAGUUUUCUGAUCUGCAUUUUUUUUGCAUGUUUCAGUGUUGGUGCACAGCAAGUGAACCUCGCCUGCAUGCACUUCGGCAAUUUCUAUGCCAUACAAUACAAACAAGGGUCAAAACUUAGUAGCUUAUUUAAUACUGCUACACAAUAAUUAUUCGCAACAUUGUUUUUCAAGGUCUCUAUGUAAACCUGACAGCUCAUGUUGUCUUUUCUGUCGUUAUUUUCAGCUCAUAUACCAAUCUAACAUUGUUAAGAAGUAUCCUGAUUUGCUUUUUCACUUCAUCUGCAAUCACGUUAUUGAUAUUACUCGGUUCACUAUCUGAAUAUGCUACUCUUUGAUGGUUCUCUUGUAAUUUAUUGGCUCUAGACUUUUGUUUAUAGCACAACUAAAUUCUUAUAUGGCUAGAGAUUUUUCUUUUUGGAAAUAUAGGGUUACAAUUUUUGAACCAUUUCAUCUCAGUUCUGUUAACCUCUUCAGAAUUUGACAAUGUGGUAAUUUUGCAUUAUUUCAGGUCUCUCGUGUCAUUGGCUCUUGUUAGGAAUGAGUUCUAUAUUGUGCGACAUGAGUUGGAGAUCGUGAUGCAGGUAGCACCGUAUGUGCAUAAUGUUGGAUGUUGAUACCAACUUUCCACUAGUUUCAUAACCCAUAGAUUGGUCAUAUUAAGAUAGAGAAAUGGGAACAAUCUUUAAUCCUUAAUCUAAUUCUUUUGACAUUUAGAUUUGGAGCACUUAGUUUGAGGUACCGAAAAGUCUCCUUUAGCCGUUAAAUGAUUAUGUGGUAAUUUUGUCAUCAUGUUCGGUAGAUGCAUAGGGUAGCUAAAAAAAGUGGGAGAAAUUCUCUGUUUCCCAGCUUAAAUUAAGCUUCACCAAAUACCCAAAUAAGAAACUAGCUAACUUGUAACAUGGUGAUUAGUGAAACCAUGUGACUUGAGCACCAUUAUGUGCCAUAGACUUAUCUUAAUCAUUUUUCGGAAGGUACUUCUCUUAAUCAUUGACCUGUUAUUCAUAUUUUGUUGCAGCUCGAAGAGCAGAUCGCGGCAUGUGGUCCUGACUCCUAAGUAGCGGCAAGUGAAGGGGGAAGAGCCUGGCCCCAUGCAAUCCCUUGCAUUAUGCGGUCCAUGUGUCUUGGAAGAUGUAGCCAUUUUCAAAGGGUGUCUAGCACUAUAGGGUGCGCGUAAAACUUAGAUGAAUAUUCUCGCUUCGGAACUUUGGGCUCGUAACCCUGUGAAAGAAAACUGUUGUCGUGUGUUGAUGUCAGUGUGAAGUCUAUAUUCUAGAGUGUCGUGGAUGUGUUGGCCCCCGCCUACAGGCUGUUUAUAAAACAUAUACUUGGUUGGUUGGUCCUCUAGUGACUUUGUUUUGCUGUUUCUUCUGUUUGUUUUUCUCUAUAAGCAAGUCUUGUUGUUGGUUGUUGUACCUAGAGUUUAGCCAAUCACCAUAUUUGGGCAUAUUAAACAUGUCGUUUCGGUCUGAAAUUUCAGCAUGGCCUUCUUAUAAGAGUACGACGGCACUUCCACGAGCAGUAGCCGGAGGAGGGGAAAAACAGAG
This 93069-nucleotide long non-coding RNA is filed under the name Triticum aestivum (bread wheat). Its description in RNAcentral is "long non-coding RNA (TAES_LNC002650)". The stretch from base 33595 to 34029 matches the Rfam family "Bacterial small subunit ribosomal RNA", at positions 39 to 536 of the family's 1533-position model. Lineage: Eukaryota; Viridiplantae; Streptophyta; Magnoliopsida; Poales; Poaceae. The record is from RNAcentral.